This 89193-nucleotide long non-coding RNA is filed under the name Populus trichocarpa (black cottonwood). RNAcentral's name for it is "long non-coding RNA (PTRI_LNC002708)". Lineage: Eukaryota; Viridiplantae; Streptophyta; Magnoliopsida; Malpighiales; Salicaceae. The record is from RNAcentral.
CCAAAGCGCGGUCCCGAACUGGUACUUCCGAGGGCCUCUAAAUUCUGGAUUCGUUUGGUGCUCCAGGAACCAAAUUAUAAGCAUUGUGUAGAUGAAUAAAGCACUACUCACCAUCCACAUCUUUAAGUUAAAAGGCUUCAAGAAAAUCCAUGUUGUAUCUUCAGUCUCAAGUGGAACUAUCAUGGACAAUCCUGACUCUGCAUAAGGUUGAGUGAAUUCUACGUAUUCUGCUCUUCCAGCUAAUAUGGUUAUAUCUCCAAUGGCAGCAUCAUAAGUCUUCCGAUUAGCAAGUGGCACAAAAGUCAAACAAUGGCACUCAGCACAAAAAUAAUGUUGAAAAAACAGCUGAUAGAACGAGACAGGAGCAAAAUAAAGGCAAAAUCAUACAACUCCUCAGAUAGGCCUCAAUGGACAAGUCAAAGUUUGUCUAGUUAAACUAUGAGAAAAGUCUGAAGUAUCUCAUAGAAAUGUAUGGUGGAGAAAUUUCAAUUUCUUAUCAGAAACAAUGCUAUAUGAAUUUAUUCUUGGUUUUGAGUAGCAGCCAAUUUUGACUCUGUGUCAUCUCUUCUAUUCGGAUAAGAAUUUAUUGUCGGCAAAUUAAGGAUAUUUAUAUAUUCUAUCUAUAAUAUAUAAUAAUAAAUCAGAAACAAUUCCAAUUAAAAUAUUAGAAUAACAUAUGAACAACUUUUUUUUUAUAUCAUCACCAUAAUUAAAUCUUCUCAUUUUUUUAUUUUUUUUUAAUCUUUAACAACGUCUACUGGCAAUAGCGUGGUGGCAUUAAGACUCUAACACCUUGUUAAAAAACCAAUUCAAUUAAAAAAUUUAAUUUAAAUCAUUCUUUAAUAAAUAUCUACAAGCAAGGUUAAAGAGUCGAUUCUUUAAUAAAUAUCUACAAGCAAUUCAAUCGUCGUUACCUUGUUGUAGACACCUUCAAUCAUAUCACCAUACUGCCCAUCAAACUCGAAGAAUACGGGUGGUAUAGAAUAAUUCAAUCGUUUCACAACUUCGUCAAAGAGGUCAACGCAAAAACCUACUGGCCGCUUCUCGCCAAUUCGAAAUGUCACAAACUUAUCGAACGAGGUUCUUCGAGGGACUAUUAUUCGCAAUGGCUUUGCUUCAGAAGGCAUUGCCCAUCCUUUUGGGUCUCGGCCGUUGAGAUCACCAGGCCAAAUCACUGGACCGGACAACCCUCCUGUGGUUUUACCACCAUCAUUGUUUCUGCACCUUCCUUUGCCUUGUUCCACGUAGAGGGUAUCCGAGAAACCGCAAUUUGGCAACCAAAAAUCCAGUUCCUUACAUUUCUUCCCAACCACAUUAACAAUCCUUAAUGUAGGAGAAUCUGACAGCAUCCCAUCCUUGAAACGUAUUCUACCACUCAAACCAGUGAAAUCACUUUCUAAUACACUGUUUAGAAACAUUUUUGGACUAGUAAUGUUGCUACCUAGUUUUUCUAUGGCCUGUGUGAUAAUACCAAUGCUGUCAUAGGCUCUUAAUGCUUGAAUUCCUGGCUGAAAAUCAUUUUCAUUUAGAUACUCUGACCGGAAAAUUUUCUGGAACAGUGCUUCGAAUCUUUUGUAAGAACUGUUGGAAGAAUAGUAGGUUUUGAUUCCUAGAGUGCCUUCCAUAGAAGAAAAAACAGGAUUGUCCACAGAAUCCAAGAAACUAGUAAUGCUGUUUCCAACUAUCCAGACUGUGUCAUUGCCUACAAGCCCCGCUUUCUUAGCUUCUCCGAAAAUACAAGUGAGCAUAGGCAAAGAUGACUGAAGAACAAUAAAAACACGAGCUUCUGUUUGAUUUUGUAGCUUAAUAAGCUCAUCUUGAACAACAUCUAUUGGAUCUGUUAAAAAUGAAAACGGUGGAAGAACCAAGCGGUAUUCAAUCUCCGAACCAACCUCUUGUAGAGCCUCGGUUAAAAGAGCUAAAUUGCCAUAUUCACUUCCUAACACCUCAUCUUCAUAAAUCACUACUACCCUUUUCCAAUUAUAAGAAUGGACAAGAGCUGCAAUGCAUCUCAUCUGUUCUGACCCAUCACUGGCCAUUCUAAUUAGAAAAGGCCAACGAAGUGAAGUUAAUAUCGGGGUUCUGGCUGGUGCUGCAAAUGAAAGGAUUGGAACUUGAGACUGGUUUCCAAUAUUAGCAACCAGGGCUGCUUCCUCCCAUUUGUCCAUGCCAAUAAUCACUUUCACUUUCUUCUCUUUGAUCAGCUCUUCAGCUGCAAGAAAAACUGACCAGUCAAUAUACUGCUUCAAAUCUUGCUACUACUAAGCUAGAAACUCAAAGUCAUUUAGAGAUGGCUAGAUUAUUACCUGCAUAAGCUGCUUGAAGAGGGUCUCCUUUAGGAUUCUUGAAGUGAAGAGAGAGCUUGUGGUUUCUUGAGAUGUUGUUGAAGUUUUGGACUGCAAUUUCCAUUGCUGUUUUCUCUUCUUUCCCUGUACGGGAAUUACCAUCGAUGAUGGCACCAAUAUUAGUAACCUUGGUCGUGCUGGCCGCAGCUUCAACUCCAUAGGAGAGGAUGAGAAGGAAGGUGAUGAGCACAGAUAAAAGAAAGCAAGGUUUUAGAACUUUAUUAACAGGAAUAAGAGGGCAAGUGCUUAGUUGGGAAUUUACUUUGGUGAACAAAUUAGUCCUUUUCAUUUGUUAUACGAAGUUUUGAUUUUGGAAGUCUGAAUCCUUAUAAUAUCUGAAAUUGCUAAGAAAAUUGGUAUAGUUGAAGAUUCUAUCUGACCUGGUCAGCCUGGACCACAUCAAACUAUUUGUCCUUGGAACCCAAGCUACCAAGAAUGGUGUCGAAAUGUCUAAUAUUGAAACUUUGACUUUAAUAUGUGCUAAUUAAUAAUUGCCUACACGAGUCAAAUUUCUUGUUUUCAUCACAUUUGAGGGGUCGUUUCGGUUUAGUGAUGCAAUUGCGUAUUAAACAAUUGUAGUUUAUUCAGUCUAAUCAAAGAUUAAAAAUGAACGACGAAAUCACUAAACCAAAUAUCUUGUUAAAAAAUAUAAAAUUAUUUUAUUUUGUUGUUUAUUAAAAGUAGAAUAAUAUUUUUAGUUUUUUUAUUUAAUUUUUAUAUAUAUAUUUUGUAUUUAAGUUAUACAAAUUCUUUGUAAGUAUUUAAUUAUAUUAUGCACUAUAAAUGAAAUUGUAUUUCUCUUUAAUUUUUUUUUGGAUUCCUUAACAAAUCUAAGAAGAGCUAAAACUAAUAAGUAGAAAUUGAUGUUUAAUAUCAGAAUGAAUCCAUUUUUUAAGAAAUUACUUCUUUAAUAUCAGUAGAUAACUUUCCAAACAAAUAAUGUUGAAUUUUAUCAUGUUUUCCAUGUAGUUUUAGCUUAUUUAUUAUCGUUUUUUCUCUAGUUGUUGUGGUACUUGAGUUUUUGCCAUAUACCCUUAAUCUACAUGUUUUCUUCGUUCUUCCAAUAUAUUUAUCCUCGUUAAACUUCUUCUUCACGGCGAGUUGUUAUCACUGAUAAACAAAAUUUAAUGUUCGCGAGCUCACCUGGCGAGCGUAUGUCAAUUUUAGGGUUUCAAGAUUUGAUAAAUGUGAUCCAACGACCUAAAAACUGGUGCAUGUGAUGGUUAAUACACCUUCUGUCACCUUGGUCCCAUAAAAUCAUCAAGAUGCCAAUUGAAUUUCAAAUUAAAUAGGUUCAAAUCCCUAGAAAUGCUUUGUAUUCCUGGCAGCUUCAUGUUCUAUGAGUACUAGAGUGUUUGUCUACGUAUUACAAUAACAUCUGUGUUUUAUUUAAAACACAAAUGUAAUAAGAUUUGAUAACAAGAAAAACAUAAGUUAUUAUUUAUGGGUCCUACCAAAUUAUGCGUUUGAAACGCAUGGAAAACAAAAGCAGGUCCUACCUGCUUCUUGCGGCUGCACCAUGCUACACUGUUCAGUGAACAGUACAGCAUUCCUCCACAGUCGCACUGUUCACUAAAGUGAAUAGUGCGAGUGAAUUUUUUUUCACUCCCACUAUACGUGAACAGUUUUUUUUUUGAAAAACCAGUUAACUGUUUUUUUUUCAAAAAACCAGUGCAGUUAAUUAAUUUCACUCGCACUGUUCACGUGAAUGUGAACAGUAAUUUUUAUUUUAAAAAAAUAGUUUAAGGUGAAUUAAAUUUAUUCGUACUGUAAUCUCAAUUUUAUUCCUGAUAAUAUUUUACCUAAUUUUAUUGUACGCUCAAAAAAUCAUGGAAACUGUAGUUCUUGUCGGAUGAAUUUUGUAUGUAAUAGAAUUGUAGAUAGUUUAAUGGAAUAAUAAUUUUUUUUUAUAAAGUAUGAUUUAUUUCACGAUGUAAUAGCAAUAGUUAAAUCUACAAUAUUUAAAUUAAAAACCUUAAAUAUUCAUAUAUAUUUUUUUAAAUUAUUUUAUAACCUCAAUUUCAAAAGCAUUCUUAACCAAACACAUUAAACUACUUUUUGUUCAACCUCAAUUUCAACUACAGUUUUAACCAAACAUAUAUUUUUCCAAACCAACUUCAAUUAAAAGUACUUUUUAUAAAACAACUUUUUUCAAACCACAACCACAACAGCUACCGCAAUACCAAACACACCCAUAGCGAACUGUUUGAAAAAAAAAAGAAUAGGUGUGAUAGCUAAUUUAUAAGAACAAAGCUAAAGAACAUGAAAAAGAAUGAGGGGUAUGAUAUUUUAUUAAGAGUUUUCUCAAAAGAUUACUUGUAUAGCUCUUCUCUAUAUUUGUGUAUAAUGCUUAAGAUUACAAGUCUAAUUAUAGGCCUCAAGUCCUUGCUAAUCAAGGAAUUAAACUAUUCAAAAAAAAAUCCUAAUCUAAUAAGGAAUCUAGCAUUCUAAUUAAACAAGAAUUCUAAUAAACUAGUUUAUUACAAAUUAAUCCUUCUUCAUCAAGGAUUGUUAUAUUAACUAGGAUUCCUCCUUUAACUAAUAUUAAAACUCCUAUAAACACUAAAUUCUAUUAGCUUAAAUCCUAGUUGAUAUUGAAUUUCAACACUCUCUUUUAAUAUCAAUUGUCAUCAUUCUUCAUAACUCCCAACAUAUUUCACUAUCACAAUUUUUAUAUUUACCGAUGAAAUUUUCCAUCGGUAUUUAUACUAUCAUUCCGUUAGUAAUUAAUUUACCAACAAAAUCACUGACGGAAAUGCUUCGUCGGUAAUUUUUUGUCUGUCGAUAAAUCCGUUGAUAAUAAAAAAAUAUUAUUACCAAUGGAUUUACUGACAGAAAAAGCGUGCAAAAACAAUUACCCACUUUAUUCUGUCGGUAUUUCCCUUGGAAAAAUACCGCAUGUAAUUCCAUCGGUAAUUAUUUAAAAAUAUUUUAAAAAAAUCCAUUUUAAAAAACUAAAAAAUAAUUAAAUUAAUAUAAAUCAACACUCUAUAAUACUCAAAAUGCUUGGAAAAAAAGAGAGAAGAAAAUCAACUCAAACAAAUUUGCAACAAAUAAAUAACAUGAAAAAAUAAAUUCAACUAAAAAAAUUCAUAUGAAAAAAAUGAAGUUGCGAUUGCUAAAAAUUUAAAAAUCCUGUAAAUAAAUCAACUAAAAAUUGAUCUCAUAUGAAAACAAAUCUUGAAACAAUAUUCAUACAAUUAUUAAGAAUAAAAACAAUUAAAAAUAAAAUAAAACAAAAAUAUAGUGAAAAACAAAACAUGAAAAAAGGAGAAAAAAUAAAAAUCUUACCUUAAUGUGAUUGCAAGUGAAGCUAAAAAGAAAGAAAGAAAAACAAAUUCGUUAGUAUAUUAAUUAAAAAAAACUGAGACGAAAAAAGAAAAAAGAAGAAGAAUACAUACUUGAGCAAGGAGGAGAAAAGAAGGAGUUAAGGAGAGAAAAGAAGAAAAAGAAAUGGAUAUUGAUGUUUUUUACAUAUGGGGAAGAAGAAGAAGAAGAACAAAUGAGCCCUGUCUGUUGUGAAAUUAGAAAUUCUAAGCUUUUUAUUGGAGCAUUUUACCGACGAAUAAUUAAAUAUUAAUAUUUUUAAUCAUUCCAUCGGUGAUUCUGUCUGUAAUAUUUAAUUUAAAAUUUUAAAUUAAUUAAAAUUUUUCAGAAACCGUCAAAUAUCACCGAUGACUUUUCAAUUUGUUGGUGAUUCCGUCUGUAAUAUUUAAUUAAAUUUUUUAAUUUAAUCAAAAUUUUUCAGAAAACCGCCAAAAAACACCGAAGACUUUUCAAUCCGUCGAUGAUUUUUUAUGUAAAGAACAAUAAUUAACAAUACAAUUGAGAAGUGAACGAUUCUAGAGCUCUUUGGAAAAUACCUACGGAAUUUUUCGUUAGUGAUUCCCUUUGUAAUUGAUAUUAUGAACAAUGUUCACAGUUUACCAAUGAUUUUAUCGACGGAAUAAAUUCCGUCGAUAAUUUUGUUGGUAUAAAUGACACGUCAUCAUUUUUUUUGCUUUGUUUUAAUUUUUUUUCCAUAGUAAUUCUCUCAGUAUAUACCGAGAGAAUUAUUUGUCGGUAAAAGCCAUUAGAAAUUUACCAACAGAAAUAUUCCAUCGGUAUUUUCAUUUGUAUUUAUCAAUUUUCUGGUAGUGUCUCUCAUCUUUGCAAAAACAUCAUAUUUGAGUGGCUUUUUGAAAAUAUCUACGACUUGGUCUUGAGUCUUCACAUACUUAACUUCAACUUUCUUGUUUGCAAUGCAAUCUCUUAGAUAAUAAACUGGAUUUUUAGCUAAUGCAAUGGCUGAUGAGUUAUCCACAUAAAUCUUUUUAGGCUUCUCUUAUGACAUUCGCAACUCCUUCAAUAAUCUUCUUAGCCAUAUGGAAUGACAAACACAUGAUGUAGUAGCUACAUAUUCAGCUUCACAAGUAGAUAAUGUAAUAAUAGAUUGCUUCUUUGAACUCCAUGUGAAAACUGUGUCUCCCAUAUAGAAAACAAAACCUGUAGUGCUAUUUCUAUCAUCCAUAUCUUCAGCCCAAUCACUAUCACUAUAACCCACAAGAUAAAAGCUAUUAGAAUAACUGUAGAAUAAGCCAAAAUCUAUGGUACCUUUGAUGUAUCGUAGAAUUCGCUUCAAGGCUUUGAAGUGAGUCAUAAUUGGUGUCUCCAUAAACCUACUCACAAGUCCUACUCCAUAAAGAAUAUUCAGACGAGUGCAUGAUAAAUAUCUCAAACUCCCAACUAAGCUCUUGAAUGUUGUAGAGUUUAUCUUCUCCCCUUCAUCAUUGUUUGACAUCUUCACUCCACACUCGACUAGAGUAUUCACUUUUGCACAAUUCUUUAUUUUGAAUUUCUUGAGAAUCUCCUUUGCAAACUUCUCUUGAGAAUCCUUAAGCAGUAGGACAUGAUACCAGUAUUCGUCAUCUCAAGCUCCUUGAUCAUUGCUUGCUUGAAGUCUCUAAACAUCUUUGGAUUAUUUUCUGUGAAGAUUAAGUCAUCCAUAUACAAACAUACAAUAAGUGUAUCCCCACUCUCUUUGAUCUUUACAUAGAUACCAUAUUCAUGAGGGCACUUAACAAAUCUAUUCUUUAGGAAAUAGCCAUCAAUGUGACUAUACCAAGCCCUUGGGGCUUGCUUCAAUCCAUACAAGCCUUUAUUUAACUUUAAAAUCUUGUCUUCAUGUCCAUUUACUUCAUAACUCAUAGAUUGCUCAAUGUAGACUUCUUCUUCAAGAAAAUCAUUAAGAAAAGGUUGAUUUGACAUCCAUUUUAUAGAUUAUCCAUUUAUGUUAGGCAACGGUGGCAAUGAUUAAUCAAAUGGUCUCCAAUCUAGCAACAAGAGCAAAAACCUCUUCAUAGUCAAUCUCAUGCUUUUGACGAUAACCUUUUGCUAGUAACCGUGCCUUAUAUCUCUUAACCUCUCUCCACCACCAUCAGAAACAUAAGAAGAAAUAGAGAAGCAAUAGAGACAGAAAGAGGAACCACCGUUUGAAACCAUUGGCAGCCAUGAAAAUGACGCCACCGCGAGCCACCAGCACCGCCAACGCUGCCAGGUCAGCUUCUUCUCCUUCGUCAUCCCCGACUCCUCCAUUAUUCUGUAUGAACAGUGGAGAGUGAAUUAAUUCACUCUCCACUAUUCACGUCAACAGUGGAGAGCUGCUCUACUGUUUACUACGUCGGAUAAGUCCAGCUCAGCCCAAAAUGAUUGGGCCGAGUCUAGCCCAAUCCAAAAAUAAUUUUAAAAAAAGCCUUUUGAAAAACAUUUGUUGAUUUUCCCACGUAUGUUUCUAUUAAUUUUUCUUAAUACUGGAUUGUAUUUUUAUACUGUAAAGAUACAAAUUCGGUAUUAAAAUACCCGGUUUUUGUCAAAACAUUGAAAAAAUUAUAAAACAAAAAAAAGUCUUGCUUUCAUGCAUACGACCAAGUCUCUCAAAAAAAUAAUAUCGUGUUUUCAUACAAAGAAAAUUCAAAAAAAUAUAUGUUUUAGCAUGCAUUUUGGCUUUAAUAACCAGUUUAUUAAAGUCAUGAGAACUAGGCCAAUAUUUCAAAAAACACCCAAAAAAUAUCUUGUUUUGUUUUAGUAUCUAAGAUUAUGAAUUUAUAUGUAAAAUGUAUUUUUGAUAAUAAAAAGAUGGUUCUUUUAUAGAUAUUAGAACGAUUAAGUUUUUACCCGAUAAGAUAAAGAUCUCCUUACCGAUGAAGACUUUUCUUAAACCAUAGGCGGACCAACAAUUAGAAAACACGACAAGACCUUAGUUUUUUUAUCAAAUAAUUAAACAAUGCAGCCUACCUUAGGUGGGACGUUUUUGAAGUGCUAAUAUCUUGUCGUUACGCAACCAGUCCCCGUACCCGAUCUUUAAGACCAGUUAGGGUUUCUAGUGAUCAAAAUACUAGGUGGCGACUCCCAUUUCAUUUUUCCACUAAUAAAAGAUAAGAAUUCCUUGUCUCCCCACAUUUUCCAAAUACAUUACAAGAGUGGAAUAUUGCCGCAACGCCGCACACGUGCGACAAAAUAGCGACUCCAUUAGGGACUCGGUGGACUAAGCUUUGUUUUCGUCUGAUUAUUGUGUUUUGUUGUUGGGUUUGUAUGUUUGUUUGUUAAUUAUGCAUUUUUUUUACGCCUUGAUUCUUUUACAUAUUGUUCAUGCAUUGUAUAGAAAUUGAUCCAUGCAUCAUUCACUUAUUCUGUGAGAGUUGUCAUAACCUAAUUUUGUCCCUUUGGCUUUUAAUUUAAUUUUUACAGGGUUUAAAAUAAAAAAUUAAAAGAUCAGAGAUUUAUUUCGAUGAAAAGUGUGAUUUGUCAACUUUCGUGAAAAUUAAGGACUACAAUGUGCUUUUGUCAUUCUAUCUUUAUCUUCAAGAUAAUCCCUAUCUUCGAGAUAAUCUUUAUCUUCGAGAUAAUCCUUGUCUUUAAGAUAAUAAUAGUUAUCCGCUUUCAAAUUUGAUUCUUAAUCAAAUUCAAACUUCAAAGAAGAGAAUGAGUUUGAUUGAAACUUGGUUUCUCACACACGAAGGGACUCUGACACUAUAAAUACAGAUCUCGGGGUAAAAAAAAAAGGGGGAGGAUAAAAGAAAAAACCCAGGAAAAGGCCAUUGCAGAAACCCUACAAAAAAAAAUAAAAAUAGACAUUUACAAAAAAAUAAAAAGGGUGCGGCCGAAUCCUAGAAUAGCCGCCGCCCCCUCCCCCCAGCUUUUUCCUCUCUACUUCCCUGGUCCCAAACCAUUAAAUGCUCCUAUUCAUUGAUUUUCUUUCCGCCAAUCUCAACCCCAAGGAGCUGCAACUCCUCAUAAAAAUUAAAAUAAAAAGUCUUUCUCCCUCCCAGUCACCGACCUUCAGCCUCUCUUCCCGCUCUCACUCUCCCCAUUAACCACCAUCCUUCAUCUCAGCCUCCUCACCGAGAACACAAGCCUUCACCCAUCAAUCCUCAGCCACAGGGAAACCGAAGGAAACCAUACACAGACAGCCCUUUCACUUCCUUUUUCUGCGACCGAUCGAUCCCUCAAACUGACCACACACGGUCUUCUUCCCCCAUCCGUAAUAUUUCUCUUUCUUCCCUAGCCGACUACCAUGAGCAAUGGAGAAGCAGCACCCGAAGACCCAAUGGUUCCAGCCACAGGCAGCUGCAAAAACAGAGAAGAGUUUUCCUCAUAACUCAGCUGCAGCAGCAAAAGUCGUGUGGUGUAGUUUUUUUUCCUUCCUCCAGCGGUGCAGUUUCUUCAUGCACAAGAACCGUGAGGCUCCAGCAUGGCAGCCAUGGAUUGUCUAGCCUCCAUUGAAGUAACGCUUAGAAGCACUCUUCUCGCCAGCCUUUGCACCAGCGGUGAACAUCAACAGACUACAAGCUCCAACAGCCACUCCUCUCUCCCCACCGUGCUCUUCCUGCCAGCGUCCACUAGUUCCUCGAUCGGGAGAAGAUCCUGCUCCACCAGGGUCAGCUUUCUCUUUUCUCUUCCGGCCGUGGCUCUAGCCAUCGCUAGUGUCAGUGAGUCGCUUCCCCUCCUGUAUUACAAUUCACUUUAGUAGCUGUGAAUUAUAGUUCACUUGAUACUGUAGCAAGUGAAUUAUAAUUCACUUGUCUCAACCGGGUCACUGGCUUAGGCCAGUGACCAGACCGGGGAGGUUGGGUCUACCCAGCCAUGCAGGCUGGGUCAGACCCACCCAAAAUAAAUAAAUAAAUAAAAAUACAUAAUAAAAAAAUAGUUUUUUUUUAUUCAGAUUUUUGUGGGUUUAUUCAUUGGCGCCAGAGUCAGAAAUUAUACCGUAUUUUGUGGAUUGCACAAUAUUUACCAACGCCAGAGUUGGAAAUAUUCAUAGUUCACUGGCGCCAGAGUCAGGGAUUAUACCGUAUUUUGUGGAUUGCACAAUAUUUACCAACGCCAGAGUUGGAAAUAUUCAUAGGUAAAUAUUCAAUUAUGCCAGAGUUGGGGAUAUUAGAGGAUGACCAUAAAAACAGAACACAAACAAACCUUUAGCAAUUUUAGACAAAAUCAGCAAUGCAGCCUGCCUCAGGUGGGACGCUUAAGGGGUGAUAGUAUCUUCCCUUUCGCGUAACCAGUCCCGGACCAUAUAAUUUCUGUUGACCAGUUAGGGUUCCUAGUGACCAUAAUACUAGGUGAUGACUCCUUAAACAAGACCUUUUCCCCUAAAAGAGCAAGAUGUCAGAUAUCUGUUCUUAUUUAAGGUCGCCGCGAUGUCCGGGUGUGACAAGAGUUAUAUGGAAAACUGUAGGUUAAAUGGAGGACUAGCAGCUUACCUUAUGACUUUUAGUCAAGGUUUAAGUUUGUGUGAACCCCAACUCUUCGCUGAGUGCUUAGACUGGUAAUGAUUGGUGCAUAUAUCAUCUCAUUACCUACUGAGCCCCUAUAUUGCCUUCAAGAGGGUGAUUACUCGGUCAACGAAAGACCCUUUUUUAGAGACCAAGUAGUAAACCUACCCCUUGUCUCACAUAAAAAGAUUAGAACUUACUUUUAGGAUGUAUGUUCCCUACACAUUGUUUUGCAUCAAUACAAGCCCUUUUUGAAGCAUAUUGAAUUCAGGACUUACGGGUGACACAAUAGCUGUUGUUGUAACCCAUUUUUGGGUCCCCACAAAAAAUAUAUAAAAAUAUAUAGCCAAAGGAGGGUAGAAAAAUAAUAGGAGGCAGAAGCGCUCAGAAAAUGGUUGGAAAAUUGGUCAAUAAGGUUAAAAAUACAAAGAUUGGAUUUUUGACAGUAUAUUCUUGAAGGAGGAGAACCCUGUUGAGAAGGAAAAUUUGAGGAGAAAAGCCCAAAUUUGGAUGUUUAUGGACUUAAUUGGAUUUUUAAAUGAAUUUGUAGGAGAUUUGUUUGUAAGAAAAAUUGAUUUUUAAGUCAAUUUGGGCUUUAAUUAGAAGAAAUUUAAGUUCUGGGGCCAAAAUAUAUUUUUUAGGAAUUUAUUAGGUCAAAUCAGGGGCCUAAUUGCAUAAAUAUUGAAGUUUAAGGGCCAAUUGGGGACUUAAUUGAGAAAAUCCGAAACCAGGGACCAAAUUGGAAGAGGCGCGUAAAUGGAGGGGCUGGAACUAAUUGAUUCAGGGGCCUAAUUGAAGAAAUUGGAAGUUUUUGAUCAAUUAAGGGCUCAAUUGCAUAAAUCAGAGGCCAAGGACUAAAGUGAAAAACGCGGCCAACAAGAGGGGCGGAGACCGAAAUUGGCAGGGAUGCAAUUGAAGAAAAAAAAGAUGAUUAAGGGCUGAUUUGGAAUUUGGAACGGCGCGUUUUCUCCAAAACGACGCCGUUUCAUACAUUCAAAAAAAAAAAAAAAAGAGCAGAACGGUGUUGUUUUGAACGACACUGUUCAUCUUCUUCCCCCGAUCACGCAGCGGGGAAGAAGGAAAAAGGUUUGCUUUAAUUUGAAUUUUUGCCGGCCACUCUCUCGCCUGGAGCCCACCGAUCGGACACAAUGGCCGACCACCCACCGCGCACCUACCAGAAAGCCGGGAGGGGGGCCGGACCUUGGCAGUCGCGCCAAUGGCCGACCAGCCGGCUGCUCCCCAUGAGAGCAGUACAAAGCCACGCCCUUGGCUCUAUAAAUAGGACCCCAAGAGCGCUGGUGAGGGGGAGAGAGGACCAGAGAGAGAGAAGAGAACAGAGGGGAGGGAGCAAGGAGAAAACGAAAAAAAACAGAGGAGAGAGAGGGGAAGAGAUAGAACGAAGGAGAGAGAAGGAAGAGAGGAGAACGAAAAAAACAGAGAAGAGGAACGGGAAGAGAGGAAGGACCAACCCGAAAACAAAAGAAAAAAAGCAAACCGAGAAAACGAAGAGAAAGGGAGGAACGGAGAGAACGAACCAAACCGUCGGAAAUAGCCGCAGCGCCGCCGGGAGUCGCUGUCCGUGAACAAGUCGCCGCCACCCGCCUACGCCACAGCACUGCCAGAAACGCAGGAAGCCACCGCCACCCCGCGCCAGGUAACUCUUCUUCCUCCCCUAUUCUGGUGUUUCUUUAUUUCCUUCUCUGCAUGCAGAACGAAUAGCGUUCUGCAUGCAGGGGUGGGGGGAAAUUAAUUCCCCCCGCCCGUUUUGAGUCUGGGCCAGGCGGGUCCUGGCCCAGCCCUGUCUUCUGGGCCGGGUCUGGCCCUGAAGAGAAUAUUUUUUUUGGGCCGAGAUCGGCCCAAUCCAUUUUGGGCCGAAAUCGGCCCAGCAAUUUUGGGCUGAGUCCGGCCCAGUAGGUUGGGCCGGACCAGCCCAGCCCAUUUAAUAUUAUAUAUUAUAUAUAUUAUAUUUUGUAUUAUUUAUAUAUAUAUAUAUAUAUAUGUAUAUAUGAAAAAAUUAUAAAAAUUUUGCAAAAAUUAUAAAAAAAUAUAUGUGAUCUUGUUGUAAUUUUAUUACUGUAUUUUGAUUAAUAUCGGUUGUUAUUUUUAUACUGUAAAGAUACAAAUCCGGUAUUAAAAUACCCGGUUUUCAUCAAAACAUCAAGGAUUUUCAAAAAAAAAAAAAAUGUCUUUUGCUUUCAAAAAUUCUCUAAAAAUAUCUUUGAAAAUAUUGUUGAUUUUUUUGCAUUUAUUUUAUCAAAGUGGAUUAAUAUUUGGUUGUAUUUUUAUACCGUAAGGAUACAAACCCAGUAUUAAAAUACCCGAUUUGCGUCAAAACGUACAAAAAUACAUAUUAAAAAAUGUUUUGUUUUAAAAUACAGCCUAGUCUCUCCAAUAUAUAUAUAUAAAUAUUAUAACAUCAUCUUUUUCAUAUAACAAAGAAAAUUUCAAAACAAUAUAUGUAUUAGCAUGCAUUUUGGCUUUAAUAACCAGUUUAUUCAAGCCAUGAGAACUAGGCCAAUAUUUCAAAAAUUCUAAAAAAUCUUUUGGUCUUUUAGUAUAAGGGAUUACGAAUUUAUACGUAAAAUGUAUUCCUGAAAUUAAAAAUAUGAUUUUUACAUAGACGCUAGAACGGUUAGGUUUUACCCGAUAAAGAUAAGGACCUCCUUAUUGAGGAGGACUUUUCUUGAACCAUAGACGGACCCACAACUAGAAAUACAAUAACACCUUAAGCUUUUUAUCAGACAAUCAAGCAAUGCAGCUUACCUUAGGUAGGGCGUAUUUGGGGUGCUAAUACCUUCCCUUUACGCAACCAGUCCCCGUACCCGAUCUCUGAGACCAGUUAGGGUUCCUAGUGACCAAAAUACUAGGUGGCGACUCCCACACCAUUUUUCACUACUAAGAGACAAAGAACUCCUUGUCUCACCAUAUUUACUAGAUAUAUAUUUCCAAGCCCUUCUUGAAGCAUAUUGAAUUCAGGACUUACGGGUGACACAAUAGCUGUCACUCAGGAAAUUUCUGUUGUAGAGUUUGAGCAAGAAUCAAAAUUCUUGUUUCAUCAUGUAAGAAUUACAACUAUAUAUCACCCGUUGAAAGGCGAGUUUAUAAUGUAAAACAUGCUCAUACAUUUAAACGUGCAUGCUUGCUGUUUGGAAUAAAGGUCCCUCAAUUCUGUUUUACUCAUUAGAGUCAAGAGUUGCCGACAUCUGACAGUGUUGAGGAGGAUUCGCUUAAACUUCCAAUCUAGAAGCAUAGCUUGUGGUAAAAGGAUUCGUUGUUCUACCAUGGACCCAGCUGGUGACUUAUGUCGAGAUGCCAUCUAUAAAGUUCUGAUAUGCUCAUCAAUGGAGACUAUAGAGAAAUGUAGGCUUCUUUCUAAGGAGUAUAACAAGUUAACCUACGAAUCCUUUUUCACAAAGCUACACAGCCAAAGAACUAACAUUGUCUCUAGUUUUCUUAUCCAAAGCAUGAUCAGGAAUGAAUAUUAUGUUUUUUUUUUGUUUCAACUGACGCUUUGAUUUUCUUCCUGGACACUUGGAGAUUGUAUCAUCAACAAAUCAAGGAGUUCUACUUUGUCGCGCACACAAUGGACCAUGUUAUUAUGUGUAUAACUCUUCCAUCCAAUAAUGGCAAAAGAUCCUGAAUCCAAAGACGCGAUAUGAUACUAUAGAAUCUGGCCUAAUGAUUGAAAGGUCAAAGCUUUUACGAUACAAGAUUGUUAGAUUCUCAAAGCCCAAGUUUUGAUCUCAUAAAAAAUUAUAUAUGUACGACUGUAUUAGAGUCGAGUUGUUUAAAUCAGUAACUUGGAAAUGGAAGCUGUUGGAUGAAGUGAAGUUGCCUCAUGAAGAGUCCCCUUGUCGCAUGAUAAAAGUAUCUGUGAAUGACUCACUUGGAAGAAAAAUGUAUUUGCAUUUAAUGUAAAAAGAGAGAGUCAUUGUUUGUUUCCACUUCCCCUGCCAACCUCUGAGGGUAAUGAUAACUUAUUAGUACUUAAAAGUGCAUUUUUAUCAUGGUUUUAUAUCAUCAUUUUGCACUUGAAGUAUCAAUAACUCCUUAACUAAAGCAUGUUUUAUAAUAAUAAGUCUGAUACCAUAAGAUACCUUUAAUUUUUGGUAAAUAUUCAUCUUAAAUGCAGGCCUAUCACAUAAAUAAAAGGAUUGAUUGAUGAGUUUAAGUACGGAAAUUGAAAGGACAAAGAGAGGGCCAAACUUAGAAAAGAGAUGCUGGUUCAGUCCAAACUGGAACACUGUUCGGUCAUUGGGUCAUAUCUGGAGCUGUAGAUCUUGGAUUUAGGUUUGCCUUAUAUGGAUAGAAAGCUAAGACAUAGGCCUAAAACUUUCAUGGGGAGUCCAAGAUUUAAAAAGGCCGUUUUCAAGUCCAAAUUAUAGCAACAACGAAGAAGUCUGAAUCUCUCCUAAAGCCCAGACAUUGUUUAGUGUUCAGCCCAUAUCUCAGGUUAUUGAAGUCCAAAUGACCUCAACUGUUUUUUCCUGGAAAGCUGAGACAAUUUCCUAGAACUUUCAUGAUUUAAGUCUGUUCAAAUUAUGACGUUAUCAAUGACUUUUGUGGCAGACAAGGAGAUAAGGAUUGUCACCAAGUCAAGAUAUGGCCACCCACUCAAUAAUUAGUCAACAAAUGAAUAGUUCUGAAUUUUGGCCUAUAAAAGGAGGCAUUUGCCAUGUAUUUAGGCAUCUUGGUUUUCAGAUCAAGAUCAUGCUCUCUCUCUCUCUCUCUCUCUCUCUCUCUCUUUGUAAUGCUUAAGUUUUGUUUAUAUUAAUCUCUUGUUUAUGCUUUUCAUUUCCUUUCCUUUACUUACUUAACUUAUAUCUUAUUUAUGUUCGUAUCUUGUUUAUUUUUGUUUCUCUUCUUCAUUAUGUUUAGCUAAGUUUAUUAUGUCAAGGUGAAAAGGUUACACUAAUGGUGUAAAAAUAAGUAUAGUGUAAACUCAACAUGGACUUUAAUAUUUAGUACUAACAUGUUUUAUAUUUGUUAUUUUGUUCACUUUUAAUACUUUGCUUGUUAAAUGGUUAAUCUAGAUUUAUGUUGUAUAACCUUGGUACAACAAAUACUUGGCACUUUCAUAGCCCAAACUGUAUGGUAUAACCGACACCUGUGCUAUGAAAGGAACUUGAUUUGUUGUUAACAUAAGUUAUAAUCAUGAAUGUCUGACAACAUUUACAAGUAUUAGCAUUAUUCAAAUAAGAUAACUAAUGUAAUCAUGUUAACAAUUUAUAAUUUGAUUGGAACCUCCUUUGUGUGUGGUUUCCAGUUGAAUAAUAAGAGUUUAUACUGUACUUGUUUGAAAUACCAUUAGUGGAUUCUCUAACCUUGACAAUUGUUCUUAUCAUUAUUUAAUCCUUACAUUAAUCUUCCAUCUCAAAGUCCUCUUUAACUUCUUCUUAAUACUACUACUACUACUACUACUACUACUACUACUACUACUAUUAGAAUUAUUAUUAUUGUUGUUGUUGUUGUUGUAGUAGUAUUAUUGUUAUUUAUAAUUUAUACCUCCCUGUGGAUCGACCCCGGUUUUGCCGGGUUUUUUAUUACUUUGACACUCCUGCACUUGGGAGAAGACAUCAAUCUUUUGGUCGUGUCAAUAACAAAGAUAUCAGACUUGUUGAAUACAAAGGAAAGCUCGUCAUGACCUGCAUUGAUAGGGAGAGUAAUUUCAUGGAUGUAUGGAUCAUGGAGGAUUAUGACAUAAAAUGAUGAAGCAAGAGGCAUUUGAUAAACAUAGGGGUUUUAACAAGGAAAGAAUCCCAUGUAAGUCCUUUGGCCUUUUGCAAUGCUGAUGCUGUGUUAAUGGGAGAAUAUUUUCCUGACGUGACAUUCUUCAACUUUAAGACCGGAGAUAUUGACAUGUUACGAUUAGGAAAGGGUGUGCUUUAUGGAUGCUUCCCAUUCCAACUUAACUUUGCCACAAGAAAAAAGCAUAGCUAGUUCAUUGCCCCAAUGCAUGAUUCUCUAUACGGAAUAAUCUAGAUGAGAUGUGAAGAAUUGCAAGAACUUCGAAGAUUAAGUCUAAAAGUUAGUGAGCAAGAGGCAGAUAGAUUUUGUAAAGGAUGACAUCAACGAUCAUAUUGUCAAUAUGCCAUUACCAAGGAGGGAUAACAAAACAUUGAUGAUUGCGGAAGAAGCUAAUUAUAAAUGUUGUUUUGUCAAUUUUGUUGUUCACCAUUUUUGUUUUGGGAUCACAUCUCAUCAUUUAAUGAAAUAUGUCUUUUCUUUGUCUUUUUGCUGUUUUGGAAUCAUGAGAUGUUUAACAUUUUAUUUUGAAAAUAUUUUUUGAUUAAACUCUAACUUGCAUUUAAGACUAAUCAAUCCUGAAUGAUUAAAAGUGUUUUAAUUCCAGAAAAGACUUGAUGUUCGUUAAAAUGACAAGAGGUGACCGAACAAAUUUUAAGCUCACACACAAAAUUGAACCACACACCAUAUAAGCUAAGUUUUAGCAGUAUGCCUAAUGACACACGAUGGACUCAGUAGUUAUGGAUUCACGAAUCAAGACUCUUACAAGUCCAAAGCAUUACACGGGACGAGGUCAAAAUUUAUCGAUUCUAAUUAACCUUGCUUGAAAUGAGAAAACACCAUCUUUGUUCACUCAUUUCACAAUUCUUGAAAUAUAUCCUUUGCAAUCCCAUUUUGAGCCUGGUGAAAUAUUUCAUUAAAAAAGAAAUCUUGACAUGGAUUACACCCCACACUAGAAGCAAACAAGAGAUUUUUGUUAGAAAAGGAUAAAAAUAAUGAUAGAAUCAAUAGUAAAAGGGAUGUUAAGAACAAAAGUCCAAUGAUUGAGAGGGGGCUUAGAGAAAGGGCCAUAGACUAGAAGGGCAUGUAAGAAAAAUUUGAGGAAGGCUAUGUGAAAGCUAAAAAAAGUGAAAAUUGCCUAGAAGGCAAAUCAAAGAUAAAGGAAGGAGAAUGUCUACCAAGUCUAGGAAGGGUAAAAGAGGUUUCAAUCAAUAAAAGACACAACAAAUGUCAAAAGUCAAUGCCAGAAAAAUACUAAGUUACAAACAUUGUCUUUUGAUGUCAGUGAUAAAGCCUCUGAUGUCUUCAAAAGAUCGAAUUGGUUAUUCAUUAAAGAAAAAGUCGAAUUUGCAUUAUGACCUAUGACAAGAGAGUUCUGAUGGUUACAUGACAUAUCCUCUAUAAAGACAACAGUAGAAAGAAAGUUGAUGAAUAUUUGAUGUUGUUUCUAAGUCUUUGAAACUCUCAAACACCUUUUUGAUCCUAUGAAAUUUCUAUUUUUCAUAGCCAUGAACCAUAGCUUGCAUUACAUGCUUUAAGAAGCUUUUUUUUUUUAUCAAGUAAACAAUUUGAACUGAUAAAUGACGCUUUCAAAACUUGAAAAGCUUUUCCAUAAGGGUCGUGGCUUCAUGAAUUAAGCUACUGGUUAUUAUGCAUGCUGAUAAAAUUGGUGCUCAAAAGAACAACUUUUCUUGAUAAAUCCUUAAUUUUUGACUUGGGCAUCCUGUUUCUUUGAAAUUCACAGAAAAUCACCUUAUCAUAUGCCAUCAAAUGAUAUACUCAAAAGCAAAGAUUAAAAUUGAUACAAAGAACCAUAGACAAAGUUGUUUUAAUCUUACAACGGGUCAAUUCCUAAUAUCAAAAUACAAGAUAAUCAAAGGACUACAUGUAUUGAAUAACGUGUGUUGGGUCUUUGACCAAAAAGCUUGAUUUUUAAAAGAUCUUUUCAAAUAAUGACAUCUCUGAUUUUAUUUUAACAAAUUAGACUUUGAAUAGACAUGAUCUUUGAAAUAUGAGAGUUGAUUCUAGAAUAAAAAACAUUUGUCAAACAAGAACAUUGACCGAGUUUAUAAAUUCUUGGAUAAAAAUGACAUUGACACUUCUUGAGAAGUAGAGCAGCUAGGGGCAAUACAUUAAACCCUGAAAAGGAAGAUAAACAAUAUUCAGAUUAGCCGGGGCAAAGAAAGAAUCAAAUGAUGAGUCAGCAAAGUCCAUCAGAGUUAUGAUUAACAUCUAGUAAUGAAAAAAACCUCCUGAUUAUAGACAGAUGAACGAGCACGUUCUGAUCAACUAGGGGCAAUGUUGUUCAAAGACAACCCAUGAUCUAGUAAACCCCGGCAACAAUUGAGAGCAAAGAUGUACCUGAAGGACAUCUUUAUAUCAUCAUCCUUUGAAACAUGGAUAUCGAUUUAUGUGGGCAUACUGUUGCAUUUGAAUGAAUGAUGAAAAGAUGCAAACCACCAAGACUGACUAUGGAACAAGGAUAUACCUAAAGGACAUCAUCAUAUCAUCAUCCUUUGAAACAUGGUUAUCGACUGAUGUGGGCAUAUGGUUACAUUUGAAUGAAUACUGAAAAGAUGCAUACCAUCAAGACUGACGGUGGAACAAAAAUAUACCUGAAGGACAUUUUCAUAUCUUCAUCCUUUGAAACAUGGCUAUCGACCAAUGUGGACACACGAUUGAAUAUAAAUGAAUGGCGAAAAGAUGCACACCACUAAGACUGACUGUGGAAUAAAUGCUACACUUGAAGAACAUUUUCAUAUCAUCAUCCUUUGAAACAUGGUUAUCAACCGAUGUUGUCAUAUGGCUGUAUUUGAAUGAAUAUCAAAAAGAUACAUCCCACCAAGACUGACUAUGGGAAUAAGCUCCAUCGAAGUAAAAGUGCUCUUUACCGUAUGAAUAUGGGUGAUUAACUUCAUUAAUGAUGUUAAUGGAUUUUUUUUUAUAAUCUAAUUAGAUGAGCCAAAAGGGAUCCAUUGAGAAAAGCAUGGACCCUACAAUAAAGAGCCUUUUACUACAAGCUAUGAGAUGCAUGUGUGGAUGACUGGAUAGUUUCCAAGAAGAUUGAUGAUAAUAUAUACUUGAAAAGUAUUGUUUCAACUAGAGACAAGUCUGUAGUUGAUUAGCAAUCUAAGACGAGGAUGACACUAGAAAACCUCUUGAUGAGUAUUAGCAGGACGCACAUAACUAAGCAAAGAACAGUUACCGAGAGAAUCCAAGAGAUGACUGAUUUGUUAAGCUCCUUCAUGAUGAAUCAAACAACACCACACUUGAGGACAUUGUCAAGCUUGAUAAAAAAUAAAAGCAAUAAUCAUCGUGGACAACCCAAAAUGGGCACUACACAUAUAUUUGAGUGGAAGGCUAGCACGCGAAUGAGUCAGUCAGUCAGAAGAACAAGAAAGGUUUUUGAUAGCAAGUAAUAUGAUGAAUCAAGCAACACCACACUUGAGGGCAUUAUCAAGCUUGAUAAACAAUGAAAACAGUAAUCGUCAUAGACAUCCCAGAACGGCUACUGCAUUUACAAUUGAGUGGAAGGCUAACACAUGAAUGAGCUAGUCAGUCAGAAGAACAAAAAAGGUUUUGGAUAGCAAGUAAAGACACCCAAUGCCAAUGGAACAUUAAAUGGGGGGCUAUAUUUCAAACCAGGUAAGGAUGCAUGCAUGUCAUCUAACCUCAAAACAUUGCAUCAAAUAUUUUUGAAUUGUUACAAGAAAGAUCCUCAAUGAAGUUCAGCGAGAUUGUGGACAAAUAAAGAAUCAUUGAGUUAAUGAUAGCAAAGAAAUCACAGCUUUGACCCUAGAACGAGAAGAAGAUGAGAUGAACCCUACCAUUAGGAAAAUCUCAACGAAAUAAAAAGAUUAACCAUAUCAUCAAGAAGAGUCUUCAGUUCGAAUACUGCCAUCAAGAAGAACAUACAUAGAAUUUACCUUUGGUUAAAAGGAAUCAAUAUAUGAGAUUUCAGGUUGACCAAGUUACAUACCGACUUUGGUUCUAGUUAAAAGGGAUCGCCAGAUGGGAUCUUAGAUUGAUCGAGCCACAAAAUAGAUUUUGGUUAAAAGAGAUCGCCAGAAGGGAUCUCAGGUUAACCAUCACACAUAGAUUUUAGCUUUGGUUGAAGAGAGUUGCUAGAUGAGAUUUCAGGUUGACCAAGCUACGCACCGACUUUGGUUCUGGUUAAAGGGGAUCACCAUAUGGGAUCUCAGAUUGACCGAUCCACAAAACAGAUUUUGGUUAAAGGAGAUCGCCAUAAGGGAUCUCAAGUUAACCACCACACACAUAUUUUAGCUUUGGUUGAAGGGAGUCGCCAGAUGGGAUUUUAGGUUGACCAAGCUACUCACGUACACACAGAAUUUUGGUUCUGGUUAAAGGAGAUCAUCAUAUAGGAUCUUAGGUUUAACUCAACCAUAUAAGGAACUUAGCUUUGAUUAAAAGGGAUCACCAGAUAAGAUUUCAGGUUAACUAACCUACGCACAAAACUUUGGUUCUAGUUAAUGAGGAUCGACAGAUAGGAUCUCAGGUUAACCCAACCACAUAUAUUCUUGAAAAAUCUCUGCAUUUUUAACCUUGAAAAUGUUUUUCCGUCUAGGUAGGUCACCCAUUACUAUAAGAUUAUUUUUGAAAAAUCUUCACUUUUUUUUAUUUCCACUUGGGUAAGUCACCCAUAAUAAUGAGACCACUUUCACUUUUCAUUCUAUCUGGGUAGGUCACCUAUUACAACGAGAAUAUUCUUCACAUUUUCUUUCCACCUGGGUAGAUCACCCAUAACAAUGAAACCACUUUCACUUUUCACUCCAUUUGGGUAGGUCACCCAUUACAAUGAGAUAAUUUUUUACAUUUUUCCACCUGGGUAGGUCACCCAUAACAAUUAGACCACUUUUCACUUUUCAUAUUUUUUUCCACUUGGGUAGGUCACCCACUACAAUGAGACCACACAUAUAUUUUCUUUGCUUCUGGUUAAAGGAGAUCGCCGGAUGGGAUUUCAGGUUGACCGAGCUACACAUAGAUUGAUUUUAGGACAGACUUUGGUCUCGGUUAAAGGGGAUCACCAGAUGGAAUCUCAUGUUAACUCAACCAUACAUAGAAUUUAGCUUUGGUUAAAGAGAUUCGCCAGAUGGGAUUUCAGGUUGACCGAGCUACACACAGAUUAAUUUUUGGAUAGACUUUGGUUCUAGUUAAAGAGGAUCGCCAAAUGGGAUCUCAGGUUAACUCAACCAUACAUGGAAUUUAGCUUUGGUUAAAGGGAGUCGCUAAAUAAAAUUUCAGGUUGACCGUGCUGCACAUAAAAUUUUGGUUCUAGUUAAAAGAAAUUACCAAAUGGGAUCUUAAGUUAACCGAAUCAUACACCGAUUUAGCUUUGGUUAAAAGGAGUCGACAUAUGAGAUUUUAGGUUGAUUGAGCUGUAUAUAAAAUUUUGGUUCUAGUUAAAGGAGAUCAUCAGAUAGGAUCUUAGAUUAAUUCAACCAUACAGGGAAUUCAACUUUUGUUAAAGGGAAUCGUCAUAUAGAAUUUCAGGUUGGUCGAGCUACAGACAGACAGACUUUGGUUUUGGUUAAAGGAGGUCACCAAAAAGGAUCUCAGGUUAGCCCAACCAUACAAAAAACUUAGUUUUUGUUAAAGGAAGUCGCUAGAUGGGAUUUUAGGUUGACUAAGCUGCACAAAGAUUUUGGUUUUGGUUAAAGGAGAUCAUUAAAUGGGAUCUCAAAUUGACUUAACCGCAAACAUAGAUUUUUUUGGUUAUGGUGGAAGAGGAUAGCUAGAUGGGAUCUCAAGUUGACCGAGCCGCCAACAUUAUCAUAACAUAGAAAGAAAAAUGAGAAAAAACCUACCAUUAGGAAAUUCUCAAAAGAAAGAAAAAAGAAAGUGCAAAUCCUACCGUUAGGAAAAACAGUUUUAGGUUCUGGUUAAAGGAAAUCGUCAGAUUGGGAUCUUAGAAUAAACAAGUUGCAUAUAGUUUUGAUCUCUAGUUUUGGGUUAAAGGGGGUUGCUGUAAAGAUAAAGUUUCAGAUCAACCAAGCUUCGAGAAGAUCAAUUUCAAAAGUUGAUUUUGUUUAUCUUUACAAAGCUUACUACACAAAGUCUUCGCUUCGUAAGUAUUGUAAAGAGGGGACAUCUAUUGUUACCCAUUUUUUGAUCCCCGCAAAAAAAGAGGAGAAAAUACAAAAAAAAAAUAUAUAUUCGAAAGAAUACCAAAAAAAUAAUAACAAUGAGAAAAGGAUGUCAAAACGCCUAGAAAAUGACCAAAAAUUGGUUAAGGAGGUUUGAAAAUACAAAGAUUGAAGUUUGACAGUAUAUCGUUGAUUGAUGAGAGCCUUGUUGAUAAAGAAAAUUCAAUUUGAGAAAGAAAUGUCCAAACUCAGAUGUUUAUGGACUCAAUUAAACUUUAUUGAAGGUUUAAUUGAAUUUAUAAAGGGUUUGAUUGCAAGAAAAUUUAAUUUUUAAGUCAAUUAGGCUUUAAUUGGAAGAAAUUAAAGUUUUGGGUUCAAAUUAUAAUUUUUAAGAGUUGAUUUUGUCAAAUCAAUGGCUUAAUUGCAUAAUUAUUGAAGUUUGAUGGGCAAUCGAGGACUUCAUUGAACAAAUCACAAAUUAAGGAUCGAUUUGGAAAUUGAAACAUUUUUGGUGCCAUUUCUUUUUAAAUGAAAUGAUGUCGUUUUGAACAACACCGUGCAUCCCCUUCCUUCCCCCCACACACAGACAGGGAAGAAAAAGCUUUCUUUCCAGUGCUAUCUCUCCCUCGACUUGACCAAACACUGACAUGUCAUACCCCUCCACAUGCCCUGCAAUCACGCUGAAAAAAGGAGAGGGGAGCCAUGCCAUGCAAGCAGCUCCUCAUUGCCCACCUUACCCUGCGCUAUGGCAGGGGUAAGGUGGCUCUCUCCUCCUCUGAUUAUAAAUACCAGAGAGGGAAUCAUAAAAAACAGGGGGGAACAUUUUGAGAAGAAAGACAGGGGAAACAAAAAAAAGAAAUAAAAAGAAAGAAAAGAAAGAACCAGAGAGAAAAGGAGGGAAGAACGAAAAAACAAAGAGUAACAUAGGGGGGAGGAAAAAUUUGAGAGAGAGAGGAACGAAAAACAAAGAGAAAACAAAUAAGGGGGGAGAUUUGAAAAAGGGGUAACAUGAGAGAAGAUUUUGAAAAAGAACAAAGAGGUUACAGAGGAGAAAAAAAAGAGCAGAAGGGAGGAGAAGAAGACCACUGCAACAACCAUUUUCAGUCUGCCAUCUCUACCGCCUACCUUCAUUGUCGCCGCCACAAGAACCGCCUUGAGCCACUAUCGACAACAGCUCCACCACCAACAGAAACAGAAGAAGAAAUGAAGAAGCAAUAAAGAAAGGGGAAACAGAGACAGAAAGAAGAAGCCAAGCAUAAACAAAGAAAAAAGAAGAACCACCGUCUAGAACCAUUGGUAGUCGCGACAACAACCCCACUACGAGCCACUAGCACUGCCACCGCUGUCAGGUCAGCUUCUUCUUCUUCGUCAUCCCCGGCUCCUCCACUAUUCUGUAUGAAUAGUAGAGGGUGAAUUAAUUCACUCUCCAUUGUUCACGUCAACAGUGGAGAGCUGCUAAACUGUUCACUAGGUCGUACCGGCCCAAAAUGACUGGGCCAGGCCUGGCCCAAUCCAAAAAUAAUUUUUAAAAAAUCCUUUUAAAGAAAAUUUGUUGAUUUUCUUGCGUAUGUUUCUAUUAAUUUUUCUUAAUACUGGAUUGUAUUAUACUGUAAAGAUACAAAUUCGAUAUUAAAAUACCUGGUUUUUGUCAAAACAUUGCAAAAAUUAUAAAACAAAAGAAAGUCUUGCUUUCAUGCAUACGACCAAGUCUAAAAACAAAAAUCAUAUCGUGUUUUCAUGCAAAGAAAAUUUCCAAAAAAUAUAUGUUUUAUCAUGUAUUUUGGCUUUAAUAACCAGUUUAUUAAAGUCAUGAGAACUAGGCCAAUAUUUCAAAAAAACACCCAAAAAAUAUGUUGUUUUGUUUUAGUAUCUAUGAUUAUGAAUUUAUAUGUAAAACGUACUCUUGAUAUUAAAAAGAUGGUUCUUUUAUAGAUAUUAGAACGGUUAGGUUUUUACCCGAUAAGAUAAAGAUCUCCUUACUGAGGAGGACUUUUUUUAAACCAUAAGCGGACCAACAAUUAGAAAACACAACAAGACCUUAGUUUUUUAUCAGACAAUUAAACAAUGCAGCCUACCUUAGGUGGGGCGUAUUUGGGGUGCAAAUACCUUCCGUUUAUGCAACCAAUCCCCGUACCCGAUCUCUAAAACCAAUUAGAGUUUCUAGUGACCAAAAUACUAGGCGGUGAUUCUCAUUCCAUUUUUUCACUGAUAAAAGACAAGAAUUUAUUGUCUCCUCACAUUUUCCAGACACAUUACGAGAGUGGAAUAUCGCCACACACAUGCGACACCAAGAACUUAUGGUUAUUGAUUUUGAAAUGUUUAUGUUAGAUUUUCUCAUGUAUUUCAUGGACAUAUUGUAUAAUUGAUAGGAAGAAUGUAUUAUGAUCCAUAAGAGGAGCAAUCAUUCAUAACUUUUGUUGACAUGUUAAUACUUGUGAAAGUAUUAAUAGUUUGUCAUCAUCAAAAAAGGAAAAACAAAUAUUAGCAAAAGGCUAUCAUUUGCUUAUAGUUUUGAUGAAUCAAACUAAUAAGUUACUAAUCAUUUUCUUAAGGUUAUAAGUUACUAAUCAUUUUCUUAAGAUGUUGUUAUAGUUUGAUUCAUUUUCUUAGGAUGUUGUUAAGGUUAUAGUUUUGUGUUGAUAUAGGUUCUUUACUAUGUCUAACAUUUCAAGGAUUAUUGACAAGUCUUGAAGUUGUGAUAAAAAUAUGAAACUAUUAUAAUGGUAUACUUUUCUACAAAAUUAUUCUUAGGAUGUUGUUAUAUAUGAUUCAAGUCUUUUUAAAAACUAAAUUCUUAAAACCAACUUUUUAUACCUAAAUUAUUAUCCUGAAAAAUUAGUCAUAAAAUUCCCUAAAAUACCUUAUGACCCUUAAAAAGUCUAAGACCUCUAAUACACCAGAUAACCAUACAAAACACAUCUCUAAAGCCUUUUGAAAUGCUACACAGCAAGCCAAAUAGUAUGUGGUAUACCGAUUAACUAAAUUAGAUAUAAAAUUUCAAAGACAACUACUAAUCUAGACAUCCUUGUUCGAUAAACAUUUUUGAGAUCACUCAUAUACUAGAUGAUUUUUUAGUAUAUGUGGUUGGCCACUUAUUACUUGAAUGAGUUGAAAUUAUUCUUUGUAUCUUAUACUCAAGUGUGUGAGAGUCAUACCAAGGUUGUUCUUGCACUUAUGUUUGAAUUUGAGAAUACCUUAUCUCUCAUCUUCCAACUAGGAUAAGCAAAACAAGCAAUUUAAUUUCCAUCUCCAUGACACCACUUUUUUCUCUCUUGAAUAAUAUAAUUUUUACAUCAUUUAGCUUAAACCAUAUUGUAUACCAAUCUUUAAAAAUUCAAAUUUCUUGGCCUAUUCUAAUAUAUUCUAAACAACUACAAGCUUAAUUUUCUCUAUAAAUUGGCCUCUUCUUAUAUAUUUUAAAGGUUGUUACAAUCAUUAAGCUUUUACUCCUGUUUUUACAAAAUCAAUUCCUUUAAUUUCCAAGGUUGCUUUUUAUUAUUCUCUUGCAUAUUGAUUGCUUCACCUACCUCAUUUAGAAGAGAUAGAUUACACCUAUUAAAGCCUUGAGAUUAUUUUCUAAUAUAAUCUAUAUAUAUUUUUUUGUAUAUUUGAUAUCAUUCAUUUUUAGUUAAACUUCUUGUUAAAGUGUAUACAUAUAGCACUAUAACCACUUGGAUUUCAGUUAUGACCUUUUAUGUGUGAGCUUGUAUGCGUUUCGGUUUAUCUUCAUAAAAAAUACAAUGUUGGGUUUAAUCUUGUUUCCAGUGUUGAAAGGUCGAUUGUUUCUUUGACAUAGAGUGUGGAGUAGACGGUUAGUUAUAAAAAAAAAUGGAGUACGUGGUUAGAACAAAUCACUAUAAAAUUUAUUUGUAUCUCUCUUACCUACUCUUUAUUUAUUUUUUAUUUUUCAUUUUUUUGCACUAUUACUUAUGUUGUUAUGUGGAUUAUAUGUUUAAGCACGCCAUUUUCGUGUGUGUAGGUGACAAAAAUUGUUGUGGUCAUGUGCUUGAUAUUAUUGUGUGGUUGAAAAGGUUGUCGUGAUUGUGUUCCUUGAGGUAAUUUGGUCUAAAAUCAAAUUAUUGGAUAUAGUUAAAAAAUACCUCAUCCAUCUCCCUCUCUUAGAUGCUCCAAGGAUAUCAAAAGAAUUAUGAGAUCAAGAAUCAUGAUUAAGUUUGUUUUCAAUUUUUUAAAAAGAAAUCUAAGAUCAAUUAUAAUUUUGGAAAAGUUUAAUUGGAUCUUGAAAGGUUUUAAGGUAAAUAUACAUAUAUUUUAUUGUAAAAAAUGAAUUUAUAAAGAUGAUGGGAGAUAAGUUUGAUAUAUUUUUAAUUUAAAUGGUGUAAAAAAUAGAGUUUUAGAGGAAAAAUAGAUGAUGAGUAGUUAUUUUCAUAAUCCAAAAGUCAUUUGAAAAGAUAAAACAAACCACGAGUUUUUUAAAUUAGAUAACUUGUUAUUUUUUAAACCACGAGUUUUUUAAAUUAGAUAACUUAUUAUUUUUUAAACUACGAUCGAGUCUUUUAAAAUUUUAAAUUUAUUUGUCACUAACUAAUAUAAUAUAUAUUUUUAAUUGAGAAUUGAUGGAGCCAUAUAACUUUAGGGGUUAAGAAGAUUUUUAAAUAAUAAUGAUAAAUAUUUUUUAUUUUGACCUUUUAUUUUGACCGGAUAAAACUAUAAUUAAAUUUCGGUCUUGAUUUUAGAAACAUUAGUUUAUGAUAAAACUUUUUAUGUAAAAUUAAUAGAGGAAUAAUACUUUAAAAUUUCUCACAGAUUCAUAAAUCUUUAUGAAAGGAUUUUUUUAGUAAAAAAUAAUAUUUUGUUUACUUAAUUAAUAAAAAAUAAUCUAAUUUUAUAGAACUUAAUCUUGGUAGAUUUGUAUUGCAUAAUAAAAGUCGAUUAAAAAUUAAAAUAUAUUUUAGAAGUAGUCCCAUAGCAUCGCGCAAACAUGUUUGCAAGUUUUUUUAUAAGAUUUACUUCCCUUUACUUUAAGAUUCAAGAGUUUUGCAAUAUAUUUUUUGCUUUCAAUUCAUGGAUUUAUUAAAUUUACCAGCAAAUGAGCAUAAAUAAUACCCAUGAGUUUCCUGAGUUUAUAUUUAUGAAAAAAGGAGAUAAAUCACCCUCCCAAAUCAUAUCCUGAAUCUAUAGACUUAGCUUAGUGUAUACAUCUAAUCCUAUUGACAAUUUUCAGUGCUUAGUCAACAUCGACUUAAAUCACUGCAAAUGGAGUUCGGAGAACUAAUUAAUAUUCACAGUAACCUUGAUCUCUGGCCAAGUUCUUCAUUUUCUUUUCAUCUUUUUGAUCCUUAUGUCGUGGAAUUUAUGGCAUUUCAAUCUCAGCUUGCGAGGAACCCUAAUUAUUCUCCAAAUUGUCAGAGUUACUCACAUAUUCCCACUUCGUAGAGCCCCAUUCAUCCUUAUCUAGUGCUUGAGCAAAAGUUGAAGCCCUCCUAGGAACUCUGGUUUUUUCUCCGUUAUAAAAGUAUUUUGUAAUUCUAUCUCCACUGCUUGAACCACUCUUACCACCUGGAGUGAGAUGGCCUCCAUCUGCUUCUUGAUGAGGCCGUGAACUCGUUAACAAGCGAAAGAGAAAUAGUAGAAAACAGAUGGUAGAUACCGCAGCAGAUACAAUGUAGAUUCCCUUGAAGCUGCGGACGCUCAAGCUUUCGACAUUAUUAUUAGUUGCCGAAGUUGAACACUCAGGUGAGGGGGCAAACCAGUUUUCUUCCAAACGUGUUAUGUUCCCAUCCUCCGAUAGGCAUAGAAUCUCUCUAGAAAAAUCAGCAGCAAAAGGAGAGCCUUUCUGGAAUGCCUGAAGGUGCGGAAAAUAUCAUAAUAUUUAGUAAUAAACAAACGUUCAAAGAAAUGGCUACACCGUGUUUCAAGUCUUUAAAAAGGUUCCUGACAUCAUAAGGUAAAGAAAAUAGAAUUGCAUGAGUGCAUAUUAAUACUUACAAAGCCGAACCCUCCAAAUCUGUAUGCUGCUUUUGUGCUGGUGUAACUUUUACAAUGUUGAUUGAGGAAAAGUCUCUCAUAUGGGAGUUCAAGAAAAGCAGCAGCUAUGCUGUUCCUUUCAAAUUCAGUUGUGUAAUUAUUUUCAUGGUCAAAGAUCUUGAUUUUAUCGUGAUCAAAUCCAAGAACAUCCUCGAGGUACUUCUGGACGAAAGAAUCAUUAUCACAACCAACAUUGAACUUGUCCUUCUUUAGUUUCUCAAACUCUGAAAAAUUCGGUUUCAUUCGUUGCACGGUGAGCAUUGAAGUCAAACUGGCAGUGUAGCUUGAGGUUAAGAUAAAGACAACACAAAGCCACGCUACCACCACAACUGGAGUGAAGUUGCUAUAAAGUCUCUCCCCUGCAAAAUGUAACAAUGAGCUUCAGAUUAAGGUUACUAACAGAGAAUGCGCCAUCAAAGAGUCUUGGAUACAUAUGCCAUAUAUAACUUGUGAAACUGAAUACUUACUCUGAGCAAAGAAUAGAGAUGAAAAUAUGAACCAAAACGCGGUCCCGAACUGAUACUUCCAAGGGCCUCUAAAUUCUGGAUUCGUUUGGUUCUCCAGGAACCAAAUUAUAAGCAUUGUGUAGAUCAAUAUAGCACCGCUCACCAUCCACAUCUCUAAGUUAAAAGGCUUCAAGAAAAUCCAUGCUGUAUCUUCAGUCUCAAGUGGAACUAUCAUGGACAAUCCUGACUCUGCAUAAGGUUGAGUGAACUCUACGUAUUCUGCUCUUUCAGCUAAUAUGGUUAUAUCUCCAAUGGCAGCAUCAUAAGUCUUCCGAUUAACAAGUGGCACAAAAGUCAAACAAUGGCACUCAGCACAAAAAUAAUGUUGAAAAAACAGCUGAUAGAACGAGACAGGAGCAAAAUAAUGGCAAAAUCAUACAACUCCUCAGUGGGCCUCAAUGGACUCGUCAAAUUUCAAUUUCUUAUCAAAAUAUGCCUUGUUUGUUUUCGAAAAUUUUUCUAGAAACUAUUUUCUUUAGUUUUCUAUAUUUGAUAACCAUCCAAAAAUCUAAUCAAAGAAAAGUUAAUUCUAAUCAAUAAAAACAGGCAUGUUUUGUGGCAGGAAAACACUUUUCUUUUUUUAUUAUAAGAAAAACAAUUUCCUUUACUUACCAAAAAAACACGUGUGUUGUCUCCUUCUCUUGUGACCAAUGACAAGACCACAUGCACCUCAUCUACACUUGCCAAAACACAUGCUUUAUUAUUUUUUUUUUUUUAUGAAUAGAAAAACUCUAUUUUGCCCCCUGUUGUGUGUGGGAGAUUCAGUUUUCGUUCCUUUUUAUUAUUAUUAUAACGACUGCUUUGUUUCUUUUAUUUUUUCUAUUUUUCUUUAGCCUUUUUCUUAUUGGCAUUUCAUUUUCCUUGUUUUUUCAUUUUUUUUAUUUCCUAGUGCUUUGGUAAUAACAAAUAGAAUAGUGAAAAUUUUAUUCAUAUGAAAAAAACAUAUUUUAAGCUUUUAAAAUUGAAAAAAAAAUAUUAAUAGGUUUUAUUUAUGAAAAAUUUCAUAAGGUUAUAUCUCUAUAAUAUUAUAUGACAUAUAUAGUUAUAUUUUAUAAAAUAAGCUAUAUAUGAUGAAUAUAGGAUAUAAUAAAAAAAUUCAUCAUUAUACUUUUUAGAUUUUAUUUUUUUAUUGUAAGUGAUUAAAUAUUAUAUUAAAUAUUUUAUAUAUAUUAUAUAAACUUGAAAAAAAAUUAAUUCAUUAAUAAAUUAUUUUUCAUUUAAUUUUCCAUAACAUAACCAAAUACUGGAAACACUUUCCAGUUUAUUUUUCAUAACACUACCAAAUAUCAAAAAAUAAUUUACUUUUCAAAAAUUUAUUUUCUCUUAAAUUUACUUAAAAAAAAAAACUUUCCUGCAAAUAAACUAAUUCUAUAUAAAUUUAUUCUUGGUUUUGAGUUGCAGCCAAUUUUGACUGUGUCAUCUCUUUUAUUCGGAUAAGAAUUUAUAGUCGGCAAAUUACAAUUGAUAGAUGAUACUUAUAUUCUAUCUAUAAUAUAUAAUAAUAAAUCAGAAACAAUUCCAAUUAAAAUAUUAGAAUAACAUAUGGAUUUCUGAUCAGAAUGGGCUCGUAUUACUUAAAUGUGUGUGAUAGAAACCAUAAUUAAAUCUUAUGAAUAAAGUUUUUUUUUUUAUCUUUAAUUAAUAGCGUCUACUGGCAAUAGCGUGGCAUUGACUAGUUAUUUUACAAGGCUGUAUUGAUAUGCAUGCGUUCAUACUGAAAAUUAGAGAAGAUCACGUUUGGACGUUUUGGUUAUCGAACAAUUGGGGUUUCUUGCACGAAGAAGAUUGUGUAUUUGAUAUUAUAAAAUAAUUAAUUCAAUUUAAAAUUUUGAAUUUUUUUAAAUAAUAUAUCUUUUCAGUAAAAAAAUUUUGAAUUUGAAACUUAUAUAUAUCCAUAAUAUCUUAUAUUUAAUUUUUAUCAAAUAAAUAAAAAUAACAAGAUUAAAACUCAUUACUGUUUCAUCAUUAAAACUCUAAUAUUAUAUUAAAAAUUAAUUUAAUUAAAAAUUUUAAACUUUUAGAUAAUAUAUCAUAAUAUAAUUUAUAUUAUUUUUUAAUAGAAAUAAAAAAGCACAGUUAAAGAGUCGUUACCUUGUUGAAGACACCUUGAAUCAUAUCACCAUACUGCCCAUCAAACUCGAAGAAUACGGGUGGUAUAGAGUAAUUCAAUCGCUUCACGACUUCGUCAAAGAGGUCAACGCAAAAACCUACAGGCCGCUCCUCGCCAGUUCGAAAUGUCACAAACUUAUUGAACGAGGUUCUUUUAGGGACUAUUAUUCGCAUGGCUUUGCUUCACUAGGCAUUGCCCAUCCUUUUGGAUCUCGGCCGUUGAGAUCCCCAGGACAAAUCACUGGACCGGACAACCCUCCCGAGGUUUUACCACCAUCACUGUUUCUGCACCUUCCUUUGCCUUGUUCCACGUAGAGGGUAUCCGAGAAACCGCAAUUUGGCAACCAAAAAUCCAGUUCCUUACAUUUCUUCCCAACCACAUUAACAAUCCUUAAUGUAGGAGCAUCUGACAGCAUCCCAUCCUUGAAACGUAUUCUACCACUCAAACCAGUGAAAUCGCUUUCUAAUACGCUGUUUAGAAACAUUUUUGGACUAGUAAUGUUGCUACCUAAUUUUUCUAUGGCCUGUGUGACAAUACCAAUGCUGUCAGAGGCUCUUAAUGCUUGAAUUCCUGGCUCAAAAUCAUCUUCAUUUAGAUACUCUGACCGAAAAAGUUUCUGGAACAGUGCUUCGAAUCUUUUGUAAGAACUGUUGGAAGAAUAGUGGGUUUUGAUUCCUAGAGUGCCUUCCAUAGAAGAAAAAACAGGAUUGUCCACAGAAUCCAAGAAAACUAGUAAUACUGUUUGCAACUAUCCAGACUGUGUCAUUUCCUACAAGCCCCGCUUUCUUAGCUUCUCCGAAAAUACAAGUGAGCAUAGGCAAAGAUGACUGAAGAACAAUAAAAACACGAGCUUCUGUUUGAUGUUUUAGCUUCAUAAGCUCAUCUUGAACAACAUCUAUUGGAUCUGUUAAAAAUGAAAACGGUGGAAGAACCAAGCGGUAUUCGAUCUCCGAACCAACCUCUUGUAGAGCCUCGGUUAAAAGAGCAAAAUUGCCAGAUUCACUUCCUAACACGUCAUCUUCAUAAAUCACUACUGCCCUUUUCCAAUUAUAUGAAUGGACAAGAGCUGCAAUGCAACUCAUCUGUUCUGACCCAUCACUGGCCAUUCUAAUUAGAAAAGGCCAACGAAGUGAAGUUGAUAUCGGGGUUCUGGCUGGUGCUGCAAAUGAAAGAAUUGGAACUUGAGACUGGUUUCCAAUAUUAGCAACCAGGGCUGCUUCCUCCCAUUUGUCCAUGCCAAUAAUCACUUCCACUUUCUUCUCUUUGAUCAGCUCUUCAGCUGCAAGAAAAAUUGACCAGUCACUACUGCUUCAAAUCUUGUUAAUGUUAAGCUAGAAACUCAAAAUCAUUUAGAGAUGGCUAGAUUAUUUACCUGCAUAAGCUGCUUGAAGAGGGUCUCCUUUAGGAUGCUUGAAGUGGAGAGCUUGUGGUUGCUUGAGAUGUUGUUGAAGUUUUGGACUGCAAUUUCCAUUGCUGUUUUCUCUUCUUUUCCUGUACGGGAAUUACCAUCGAUGAUAGCACCAAUAUUAGUAACCGUGUUCGUGCUGGCCGCAGCUUCAACUCCAUUGGAGAGGAUGAGAAGGAAGUUGAUGAGCACAGAUAAAAGAAAGCAAUGUUUUAGAACUUUAUUAACAGGAAUAAGAGGGCAAGUGCUUAGUUGGGAAUUUACUUUGGUGAACAAAUUAGUACUUUUCAUUCUGUUAUACGAAGUUUUGAUUUUGAAAGUCUUAAAAUCCUUGUAAUACAUGGAUAUACACACACACACACAUUCAGCAAAGAUUUAUCUGUAGAAGGGGAAGACCAGAUUCUAUCUGACCUGGUCAACCUGGACCACAUCAAACUAUUUGUCCAUGGAACCCAAGCUACCAAGAAUGGUGUCGAAAUGUCCCAAGUAUUUCUACACCUUGACUUGGAUAAAAGUAAACUACACGUACUAAUUAAUAAUUGCCUACUUGAGUCAAAUUUCUUGUUUUCAUCACACCUCUCUCACAUUUGAGGGUCGUUUCAGUUUAGUGAUGCAAUUGCGUGUUUUGACAAAGUGUGUGAUAUUAAACAAUUAUAGUUUAUUCAAUCUAAUCAAUGAUUAAAAAUGAACGACGAAAUCAACCAAACCACAAGACUAAAUCUUGUUAAAAAAUAUAAGAUUAUUUUAUUUUAUUGUUUAUUAAAGAUAUAGUAGUUAUUACCAGAAAAUCAACGAAAACGAACGAAAUUACCGACGAAAUUUUUUCGUCGGUAAUUUUUACUGACGGAAAUAAUUUCGUCUCUAAUUUUGUCGGUAUAUACCAACAGACCAUUUCUGUCUGCAAUACGGUCGGUAUAUACUGACGGAAUAUGUCCAUCGGUAUAUACCGACCGUAUUGCUGACGAAUUAUAUAGAUUUUUGAAAAGUUGCAACGGUGUGAUGAUGUGGAUUUUUUUCAGAUGAUUUUACCGAUGGAAUGACCGAGGGAUUCAAACUAGGAUCUCCGUACAGUGACGUGGCACAUUCACCGGCGGACUUACCGACAGAAUGUUUCGUCGGUGAUUCCAUCGGUAAAAGCCAAUAUAUACCCACUAUGCCGACUCUUUCUUCCUCUAUUUCUCUUUCUUCUUCCCCUUCUUCCCAUCCCAACUCUCCCCUCCCAAAUUGCAGCCAACCACCCAUCCCAUUUCUCCCACUCUUCUCAACACAAGCACUCAAGUUUCUUAUACUUUUAAACGUGGUCACAACAUCCGUUCUCCGAGCAAUUUAUUGUGGAUUUUAUCAUUUUUUGUAAGUAAAUCUAUCAAUUUUAGUUUUAACAUUUAAAUGUCAAUUUUAUUGUUUUUUAUUGUUUUUUUUAGUAUAUCUAUUUUGUUAACAUAGUACUUGUUUGAUUGUUAUUUGUCAAAGAAACUUGUAGUAUAAAUGUAUAAUUUUGUAAUUGUUAUAGUUUGUUUUAGAUUUUGUCAAACUGUAUUUGUUUGUAAAUUGUUGAAACUUUGUUUGAAUUACACCGAAUUAGAUGUGUUGUGAUGAAAUAAAUAAUAGCUUGUUUAAUGGGUCCGUUUUAAUUUUUAUCAUUUCUAUUGCGGAGUUGUGAUUUCUGUAAAUUUAUAUAUGUAUAAAUUUGUAUGGACGUUGAUAAUUGAUAAUUAAUAAUUAAUAAUGAAUAUUUAACAUAAGUGUUUUUUUAGUUUGUUCGAUAAUGUCGAGACAAACCAAUAUUUUUGCAAAUUUAUUUACGUAACAUAGUUAAUUAAUACAUGUUGUCGUCAUAAUUUUAUAGAGGUUCGAUAGAAGUCAUAGAUGAUCAUUCAUGGAUGUAUCAGGACGCACCCCAAAGAUUGCGGAGGAUGGAUUAUUGUAACGGAGUUUAGGGUUUUAUUAAUUUCACAACAUCUAUUCCGAGGAAUUUUACUAAUGGCGGUAUUAGAUGUCCAUGUAGGAAAUGUAAAAAUAAAAAGUUUCUGCAUCAAGAUGUUGUUUCUAAUGAGGGUUCAUGGAAGAUUACUUGUGUUGGUAUGCACAUGGAGAACUAUUUGUUUCUAAUGAGAGCAUGGUAGAAAGGGUAGUUGGGUUAACUUCUAGUGCUAGCAACGUGCAUGAAGUUGUAAAUGACAACAGUAAUUCUUACAAGAAUAUGGUUAUGGAUGCAAUGAGAAUGAAUGAAGGUAAUGUCAGUGAAUGUCCAAUCAUAGAAGAAUAACCUAAUGCAGAUGCAACAAGUUUUUUUGAUCUGUUGAAAGAUUCUGACGAACCAUUAUGGGAUGGUUGCACGAACCACAACAAAUUAUCGGCCGUAGCACAGGUGUUCACCAUCAAGUCAGAUCACGGGUUGAGUAAGGCCGGUUAUGACAAGAUUAUCGAAAAGGCGAGAAGCAUUUUACCUGAAGGGAAUAGGCUGAAAGAGAACUUCUAUGCUACAAAGUCCAUGAUGAAACCCCUCGGUUUAGGAUACCAGAAAAUUGACAUGUGCCCUAACUUCUGCAUGUUAUACUACCUUGAAAAUGUUGAGCUAAUCGAGUGCAUGACAUGUGAGCAUUCCCGUUACAAACCCAGAAGUGGCAGGGGAACGACUCUCGUGGCAUAUAAAAAACUUAGAUACUUCCCAAUCACACCUAGACUGCAGAGGUUAUUCAUGUCACCAAGGACUGCUGAGCACAUGACAUGGCACCAAUCACAUCAUGCGGUUGAUGGAGUUAUGAGCAUCCUUCUGACGGUGAAGCAUGGAAACACUUUAAUAGUGUGCAUCCUCACUUUUCAGCUGAAUCAAGGAACGUGCGUCUUGGGUUGUGUAUAGACGGAUUCAACCCAUUCGGGUCAUUUGCUGCUCCUUAUUCUUAUUGGCCGAUCAUACUGACCGUUUAUAACUUGCCAUCGAGGAUGUGUAUAAGGCCAGAAUUCAUGUUUUUAUCUAUGGUCAUACCAGGUCCGAGCAGUCCGGAGUGGAAUAUAGAUGUUUGUCUUCGACCGUUGAUUGAUGAGUUGACGUAGUUGUGGUCCUCUGGAGUUUUGACUUAUGAUAUCUCGAGGAAACAAAAUUUUGUUAUGAGAGCGGCUUUGAUGUGGACUAUCAAUGAUUUCCCAGCUUAUGGAAUGGUUUCUGGUUAGAGCACGUAUGGAAAAUUAGGAUGGUCAUACUGUUUGGAAAACAACAAGGCAUUUAACGCUAACAAACGGGGUUAAAGCUUUUGUUUUACUGUCACCGUCGUUUCUUGCCACCGAAUCACAGGUACAGAAAGAACUUCUUUAUUUGUUGAGUUGAAAAGGAUGUUGCACCCCCACGUCUUUCUGGUGAAGAAUUGCAUGAUGUUGUAUCAGAGUACGGUUACAUUGUGUUUGGUCUCCAAUCAGGUAAGUAGAAGUUUCCUGGUUUUGGUUUGACCCAUAAUUGGGUAAAGCGAAGUAUCUUUUGGGAGCUUCCUUAUUGGAAGACCAAUCUUCUCCGCCAUAACCUUGACGUCAUGCACAUUGAAAAGAACAUGUUUGAGAACAUUUUCAACAUUGUCAUGGAUGUGAAGGGGAAGACAAAGGACAACAUCAAGGCUAGAUUGGAAUUAGCGUUGUUCUGUAACCGUAAAAAUAUGGAGUUGGUUUAUGAUGGGUCAUGGGUUGCAAAACCAAGAGCAAGUUUCGUGUUAGAGAAAAACGCACAACUACUAGUCUAUGUUUUCCCGAUGGACAUGCUUCGAACAUAUCAAGGCUGGUUAAUACGGAGGAAUGCAUAUUAUAUGGAAUGAAGAGUCAUGACUGCCAUGUGUAUAUGCAAAUACUCAUCCUAUUAGCUUUUCAUGAUUUGUUGCCAAAGGGGAUAUGGGAUGCACUCACGGAGAUUAGUCAUUUCUUCAGAGAUAUAUGCUCCAGCAAGUUGAAUGUUGAUCACAUUGAAAGGCUUGAAACGAAUAUCGUCGAAACAAUAUGCAAACUUGAGAUGAUAUUCCCUCCAUUAUUUUUCUACUCAAUGGAGCAUAUACCCGUAGAUUUACUGUUUGAGGUAAAAGUUGGAGGACCGGUGCAGUAGAGAUGGAUGUAUCCAUUCGAGAGGUUAGAUAUUACAGUUGCAACAUAAUUCAUAAUUAAAUGUUUUUUUAUUUUUUUAAUUGAUAAUUUUUGUUUAGUUCUAUAUAUGUAGGUACUUGUUCAAUCUUUAAAAAAAGGUUAAGAACAAGGCGCAUGUUGAGGUGUCAAUAUGUGAAGCCUAUAUUGUUGAGGAGAUCUCAACAUUUAUCUCAUACUAUUUCGAAUCUCAUUUGAGAACGAGGAUCAACCAUGUUUCAUGGCAUGAUGAUGGUGGUGAAGUGCCUUCAAGUGGGAACUUGUCAAUAUUCUUCAAUCCUGGACGACCCACACUUAAAAAUGUCAUAAGAGGAAGAUAUUUGUCUGAAAUAGAGUUCAGACAAGCACACAAUUAUGCCCUAUUUAACUAUGAUGAGCUGAGACCUUUUAUUAAGUAAGUAGAUGUUCUACUUAAACUUUGUCAAAAAUAUACUAUUUAUAUAUUAUGAUAUCAUAAACUAAGAUAAUUUAGAACAACCUUGCAAACAACAUCGAUGAUAUUUACUGUCCAAUAACUUACAGCUGAUCGAAUCCCAAAUCUUUCAAUUACAAGAUGAACAAUUUGUCACGUUGUUUAGAACACAUUUAAGUCCUAUCACAAACUCAUUAUCUCUUGUAAGGUAAUUGUACAUCAAUAUUACAGAAUAUUUGUUUAUUGAUUAUUGUUGUAUUUGAUAUACAAGGUUUAUCAAAUGGGAGAUAGUGUUGCUAUUUCACUGUCUUUACUAAGCCUGAGCCCUGAAAGAAAAGUCAAGUGUUAUAACGAGUAUUUUGUCAAUGGAUAUGUCUUUCAUACUCAAGAAUACGAGCAUGGAAGAAAGACAUGCAACAACGCUGUUUGUAUUAAGGGAUCAACUUCUAGUGAGUUUGAAGUUGACUAUUAUGGUAGAUUAGAAGAGGUCAUCGAACUGCAAUAUCAUAGCGAGCAGAAUAGAGUGUUUUUAUUCAAAUGUUAUUGGUAUGACACAACUGACAAAGAAAUCAAAGUACAUCCUCACUAUAGUCUCGUUGAAAUUAACUCAAAAGCUAGACUCUGCAACGUAAACGAUGCCUUUUUUUUUCGCAAAGCAAUGCCAACAAGUUUAUUACACAUACACCCUUUUCUUUAGAAAGGAUCGAUCAAGAGUUGAUUGGUUAUUCGUUUUAAAAACCAAACCCAGGGGUCAUGUCGAGGUUGUUCAGGAUGAGAACAAAGACACAAGUGUGAUAGAUGAAGUAUUUCAAGCUAGUGAGUUGGUUGAACCAUACCGAGUUGCUCCUUCGAUUGACUUAGAAUAAAAUUUGAUUUUUUAUGUUCUUGAUGAUAAUCUUGUUGAUGUUGACGCAGAGGAGUUGAACGUUGUUUUGAGCUCUAGUGGACUAGAGAAUGUUGAUGAAGAAGAUGAUAACCACAUUGAAGAGUGCAAUGAAGCUGAUAACAAUUCAAUUGAGGACGAAGAUGAAAAUUCUGACUAAAUAUGUUGUAAAGCCUUUUUUGUAUAUAAUGUAAUAUUAUGGAUGAUAUUUUGGAACAUGAAAUAUUUAUUUUAUAAUUGAUUGCUCUUGUUAUUGUGUUGUGCGUGUUGUAAGUUUGCAAUUUAAUCGUUUGUUCAGUAGGAUAGACAGACAAUACAAACAAAACAUGCGAAAGCUUGACACGAACACCAACGGAUAGACCGACGGAUUGUGUCCCAUCGGUAUUUUACCUAGAUUUGCAAAAACACUACAGCAUUUUACCACAAUCACCGAUGGCUAUAACGACGAAAUAGGUCCCAUCGAUAUUUUACCAAGAGUUGUAAAACAAUUACAGCCCCUGCCAUAAUCACCGGCGCGUUUCCCGAUGAAAUCACCAAUGGAUGGUGCACAUUCCAUUACGUGCGACUGUCAAACUGCCUGGUCGGUCGCACAGUUACCGAUGGAAUCACCAAUUGACGUGGCAAAUCCAAUGCGCCCAUGCUCUGACAUCUUUUUACCGAUGGAUUUGCUGACAGACUUCAAAAAAUCUGGAGGGAUUUUCAAAAUUUUAGUUCGAAAUUCAAAAAAAUACCGACGGAAUUUAAUGCCACCGCCCAAAAAAAUAUUAUUCUAUGUUUUGUCGGUAAAAUUGCAGUAUAAAACCGACCACCCCCCUCUGCGGUUCAUUUUUUCUCGGCUCCUCUCAUUUCUUCUCUUCUCCUCCUGUAAAUCCUUUGCGUUUCUCAUUGUAUUUUUAUUGUUUUGAUUGUAGUUUUCAACAUAUUAAAAGGUAUGAUUCUCUUUUCUUUAUCUUUGUAUUUUUUUUACUUUUUUUUUAAUUAUGAUUAUUUUUGUGGUGUUCUUUUUUUGUGUAUUGUUUGUAGAUAAAAUCUUGAAAUCAACAUACUAUUAAGGUAAACAUUUUUCAUUCCUAAAGUCUUUAGUUUUUUCUUUUUAUUUGUUCAAUUUAUUUUAUUGUUUGUAUUGCCAUAAUAAUUGAAAAUUUUGUUAAAUUUGAAUUGUUAUUGUUGAAUUUACCUUUAAAAUGUUAAUUGAAAUAUAUAAUUAAAUUUAAUUAGUUUAUCUUAAUUUUAUUAUAUUAUUGCUUGUUAUGUUUUUUAUUAUUUCAAUUAAUUUUAAUUGUUAUUUAUGAAUUUGUAUAGAUGUUAGUUGAAAAUAUGACCGAUGUUGAAUUUCUAUAGAUGUUAGGUUGUAUAGAGUUGAUUUUGCAAUAUUUGUGUAAUUAUCAAUAUUUGUAGGUAUGAAAACUGUGGGUAGUCUCUAAUAUAAGAGAGGUGCUGGUGAAUGUUUUUUAAAUAAUUGAAUUUAAUUAUUUAAUUAUUUGUAUAAAUUUGUGUAGAUGUGUAGAAUGAAAAUUGGCUUGUGGAUAUUAUCAAUAUUUGUAGGUAUGAAAACUGUGGGUAGUCUCUAAUAUAUGGGAGGUGCUGAUGAAUUGUUUUUAAAUAAUUGAAUUUAAUUAUUCAUAUAAAUUUGUGUAGAUGUGUAGAAUGAAAAUUUAAUUAUUUUAUUCUUUGUAUUUUAAUAAUUAUUUGAAAAUUUAGUUUCUUUUAAUUGUUAUUGUUGAAUUUUCCAUGGAAAUGUUAAUUAAAAAUGAAGAAUUAAAUUUCAUUGUUUUAUCUCAAUUUUAUUCUAUUAUUGAUUGUUAUGUUUUUUAUUAUUUUCAUUAAUUUUAAUUGUCAUUUAUGCACUUCUAUAGAUGUUAGUUAAAAAUAUAUAGAUGUUAAAUUUCUAGAGAUGUUAGGUUGUUUAUAAGAUUUUUCAAUGGAGUUAAUUGGUUUGUGGUUAUUGUAAAGAUUUACAGGUUUGAAAACUGUGAGUAGUCUCCAAUAUAGGGGAGGUGCUGCCAAUUUGUUUUUUAAAUAAUCGAAGUUACUUAUGUAAUUAUUCGUAUAAAUUUGUGUAGAUGCGUAGAAUGAAAUUAACAGCAUGUCGUCAGCAGACGGUUGCAUCUAGUUCUUCUAGCAGCGAGGAUGACUUAUCCUUAGGUGCUGAUCACGAAGAGGCAUCUGCGCCAACUUGUGAUGCUGCCUCUUCUAGCGCGGUUUCACAGCGCAGAGGUGGUGUGCCUUCACAGCGGGGUCAAUUCACCCGCAUGUACCAAGCACAAUGAAAGGUUGACAUUUCAAUGUCAGUUUGUUUAGGUUUUAGUUUUUUUUUAUACUUAUAACAUAAUUUAUGAACAACUAAUUAAUAUUUUAUUAAUUUUAUUUAAUUUCAGGUUCACAAACAUUGAGGCUACCCAGACAAUAAUAUCGGCGUUUAAAUCAUCGAUGGAGAUUUCAUUGUUUCAAUGGAGUCAGGUUUCCAGACAUCCUGAGUGGAGACCUAAUAUCGAUGCAUGGUUUUGACGAUUUUAGGUAGGUGUUAACUUUUAAUUUCCAGCUUAUUUUUAAUAAAUUAUUUUUAUAAUUUUAUAUCUUGUACUAUUUUUAUUUUAAAUGAAUUAUUUAUACACAACAUAAAUUUGAGUGGGAUAGCGUGGACAAUGAUGUUGUGAGGAGGGUAUGAGAGAAUCACGCGGCAACUAGGUAACAUCGAAAAUAAUAUAAUUUUUUGUUUUAUAAUUUUAUGUUCUAAAUUCUAAUUUGUUACUAUGGAAGUAGGUUACAGAGAGUUCUGAAAUAUUUACUGCCUAUGCCACAAUCACCGACGGCUAGUCCGUCAGUGAUUACCGUUGAAAAUACAGACGGAAUAAGUCCGUCGGUAAAGUUCUCGCGGAAAAAAAAAUUUUGGCGCGCUUCCCCGUCUGAAAGACCGUCAGUGUUUGGUUUUCUUAUUUCCAACGGAAUUAGCGAUGAAACGGGGAAGCGCGCCAAAAUUAUCUGAUUUUACGAGUUAACUUGUAUAUACAGUAUACAAUUGGGUUAGAAACUUAAAACCCAACAAACUCAGUCAAACUCGGGUAACUCAAACCGAGUUUACGAGUCUGACAAACUCUUCAACUCUAUGUGUAUUUGUUAACUGACAAACUCUAGGAUCUCCAACUCUCUGUUGAUCUCUGUGUUCAUCUCAAACAGAAGAAAAACACCUAGGCUUGGAGGUCCAGCGAAGAUUACUGGAAGCAACACAGUUCCAGCUACAAGAGAUGACGACGCAUCGUGCCACGCUGCGUGCAUCGAGGUUGUUCAAAACCCUCAACAUCAAGUCCCUACCAAACAGAUCUAAUGGGUCUUGAGUUAUUACUUACAGGGAGAGUGAGAAGAUACAGCAAAGGGUGGUGAGUGGAGUCGGGGGAGAGAAGAUGAGAGAGUGCAUCAAGGGCAGUUGAUUUCGGUGAUGAUGCUACAAAUUUCUUGAUCAAACGGUUAGUAGCUGAAGUAUCUCUUGUGGCAACGGUGGGCAUUGGGCAAUACUGCAGAGAAAAAACGCUGGGCUUGUUUGCUAAUUGCUGCUAAAUAUUUAAAGUUGUUCCACUUGGUUGAUAAAUUCAGAGGUGGUGAUGUUGGCUGUGAAAGAUAAGAUAGUGGACCAAUGGUUGUUGACUGUGGCUGAGGUGGUGAUGUUGGCUGUGAAUUGUGAAAGAAAAAGUUUUAUCAUUUAUGUUUUCUUUGUUGUCGUGUUGUGAGAUUGGGAUUCAUUUCUGCCCAUUGCUUUAUGAAUAAAAAACAUCAAUUAAGAAGGAAAGACAUGAGAAAAACAAUGUGGAUUGACUUUGUGAGUAAAGUUAUAGAAACUAAUCCUUAAUUAUUUUUUAAGUUUUAAUUAAUUUUUUUAAUUGUUUUAAUGUAUUAAUAUUAAAAAUAAAUUUUAAAAAAUAAAAAAAUAUAUUAUUUUAAUACAUUUCAAAGUUAAAAACAUUUUAAAAAACAAGUUUAUCGUAUUAUUAAACAAUCGCUAAACCCCACACUAAGUUAUUAUUUACUACUUGACUGAAAUUAUUAAUAUAUAAUUAAUUAAAAUAUUUUUCUUUUGACUUUAUGAUUUUACGAUUUGAGUUUACGAUCCGAGUUUAUAUUGUAUGUUCUGUGUCGUGUCAAAAAAGCAUUUUUGACAACCUUGCCUUGGACUCCAUGAUUCAGCUGAUUUUCUUUCCUUUGAACAUCAAUUCUUCUUCAAUAUCUUUGAAAAACUUAGCAAACUGUUGGAAAAAAAGAAUAAGGUGUAAUAGCUAGUUUAUAAAAACAAAGCUAAAAAACAAGAAAAAGAAUGAGAGAAAUGAUAUUUUAUUUAAAGUUUUCUCAAAAGAUUACAUUUAUAGCUCUUCUCUAUGUUUGUGUAUAAUGCUUAAGAUUACAAAUCUAUUUAUAGGUUUCAAAUCCUAGUGAUUAGUACUUAAAAGUGCAUUUUUAUCAAGGUUUUAUAUCAUCAUUUUGCACUUGAAGUAUCAAUAACUCCUUAACUAAACCAUGUUUUAUAAUAACAUAUAUAAUAAUAUAAGAUACCUUUAAUUUAUGGUAAAUGUUCAUCUUAAAUGCAGGCCUAUCACAUAAAUGAAAGAAUUGAUUGAUGAGUUGAAGUACUGAAAUUGAAAGGACAAAGAGAUGGCAAACUUAGAAAAGAGAUGAUUGAUGCAGUCCAAACUAGAACACUGUUCAGUAAUCGGGUCAUAUCUGGAGCUCUAGAUCUUGGAUUUAGGUCUUCUUUAUAUGGAUGGAAAGCUAAGACAUAGGCCUACAACUUUCAUGUGGAGUCCAAGAGACAAGGCCGUUUUCAAGUCCAAAAUGUAGCAACAACGAAGAAGUCUGAAUCUGUCCUGCAGCCCAGACACUAUUCAGUGUUCAGCCCAUAUCUCGAGUUCUAGAAGUCCAAAUGAUCUCAAAUGUUUACCCUGGAAACAUGAGACAAUUUCCUAGAACUUUCAUGAUUUAAGUAUGUUCAAAUUAUGACGUUAUCAAUGAUGUUUUUGGCAGACAAGAAGAUAAGAAUUGUCACCAAGUCAAGAUGUGGCCAUCCAUUCAUCAAUUAGUCAACAAAUCAAUAGUUUCGAAUUUUGGCCUAUAAAAGGAGGCAUUUACCAUGUAUUUAGGCAUCUUGGUGUUCAGAUCAAGAUCAUGCUCUUGCUCUCUCUUUAUAUUUUGUAAUGCUUAAGUUUUGCUUAUAUUAAUUUCUUGCUUAUGCUUUUCAUUUCCUUUCCUUGUUUAUUUAUGUUUCUUUCUUUUAUUAUGUGUAGCUAAGUUAAUUAUGUCAAGGUGAAAAGGGUACACUAAUGGUGUAAGAAUAAGUAUAAUAUAAACUUAACAUGGACCUUAAUGUUGGAUACUAACAUGCUUUAUAUUUGUUAUCUUGUUCACUUUUAAUACUUUGCUUGUUAAAUGGUUAAUCUAAAUUUAUGUUGUAUAACACUUGGUACAACAAGUACUUGGCACUUUCAUAGCCCAUACUGUAUGGUAUAACCGACACCUGAGCUAUGAAAGGAACUUGAUUUGUUGUUAAGAUAAGUUAUAAUCAUGAAUGCCUGACAACAUUUACAAGUAUUAGCAUUAUUCGAAUAAGAUAACUAAUGUAAUCAUGUUAACAAUUUAUAAUCUGAUUGGAACCUCCUUUGUGUGUGGUUUCCAAUUGAAUAAUAAGAGUUUAUACUAUACUUGUUUGAAAUAUCAUUAGUGGAUCCUCUAACCUUGACAUUUGUUGUUAUCAUUGUUUAAUCCUUACGUUAAUCUUCCAUCUCAAAGUUCUCAUCAACUUCUUCUUCUUCUUCAUCUUUAUUAUUAUCAUUAUUAAUAGUAUUAUUGGUAUCAUUAUUAUUAUUACUACUAUUACUAUCACUAUUAUUAUUAUUAUUAUUAUUAUUGUUAUUGUUAUUAUUGUUACUAUUGUUGUUGUAUUAUUGUUGUUUAUAAUUUAUACAAUUAACCUCCAUGUGGUUCGACCCCGGUCUUGUCGGGUUAUUUAUUACUUCGACACUCCUGCACUUGGGAGAAGACAUCAAUCUUUUGGUCGUGUCAAGUUUUUGGCGCCGUUGCUGGGGAGGUAAAUUCUUGUAGAAAUUAUAGUGUUUAUUUUAUUUUCUCUUUUCACUUUUCAUUGUAUUUAACUUCGUUUAUUUUGUUUUGUUUAUUUUUCUUUUGCUUUCUUCUUCUUUUUAUUCUCUUUUUACACGUGCAUGAGAGUUUGGUCACGUACAUUAAGUGGUAGACUUUGUAGGGUAUCGUCAUCAUUUUCAGAAAAUAUGGUCGAAGAAGAUAACCAAUCGCUUCAUAAUGAGAAUAUUCGGGUUAGAACACUUAGAGACCACAUGAAUCCCACAAGAACAAGUGCACCCUCAUGCAUAGUUUUUCCUCCUGAUGCAUCUCAUUUUAAUUUUAAGCCAGGCAUUAUUCAACUUUUACCUUCUUUUCAUGGUUUAGAUUUAGAAAAUCCAUACUUGCAUUUAAGGGAAUUUGAGGAGGUCUGCAACACCUAUAAUGACUCAAAUUGUAGCAUGAACACCAUUAGGUUAAAGCUUUUUCCUUUUUCAUUAAAAGAUAAAGCUAAAACAUGGCUACAAAAUUUGAGACCAGGAUCUAUUCGUGCUUGGGAUGAAAUGCAACAACAAUUUUUAAAGAAGUUUUUUCUGUCCCAUAGAACAAACUCUUUCAAAAGACAGAUCAUCACUUUCACUCAAAAACCAGGAGAAACAUUUUACCAAUGUUGGGAUAGGUAUCGAGACUUGCUUAAUACUUUCCCUCAUCAUGGUUUUGAAACAUGGAGAUUGGUUUCACAUUUUUAUGAAGGGUUAACUCCUAGAGAUAGGCAAAUGGUUGAAUUGAUGUGCAAUGAAACUUUUGAGGAUAAAGACCAUAAUGAAGCCAUGAAAUACCUAGACUUGAUAGCUGAAAAUGCACAAAAUUAGGACACUACAGGAACUUAUGAGGCACCAAGUAAAACCCAACCUCAUACAUCUAGUGGAGGUAUGUACAACCUUAGGGAAGAUCAUGACCUCCAAGCCAAGUUUGCAUCUUUAGCUAGAAAAGUCGAGGCACUAGAAUUAAAAAAGAGUGGUCAGCUAAAAUCUGUUCAAGACAUUGAGUGUCAAAUCUGUGAAACCAAUGAACAUUCAACCAAUGACUAUCCAACUUUGCCUUCUUUUAAGGAAUGUCUCCAUGAACAAACCCAUGCUUUAAACAGUUUCCAAAGGCCCAAUCAUAACCCAUACUCACAAACAUCCAACCCUGGUUGGAGAAAUCACUCAAAUUUCAAUUGGAAGAGUGUUAAUAAUAAUGCACAAACUUCACAGCCACCGUUUCAAGCACACCAUAAUUUCCAAAAUUCUCAUGGAUAUGCACCUCCUUAUGCUCCACCUCCUAAAAUAAAUCUUGAGGAAACAUUGCAUGCAUUCAUGGAAAAGCAAGAGACAAUCAACACUCAACUUGCUCAAAGCUUGACAGAUUUUAAAGAUACUCUUGCAAAAUUGACAUCUGCUCUUAGUUUUCAAGAGAAAGGUAAGUUUCCAUCUCAACCACAGCAAAAUCCAAAAGGGCAAUACAAUGUGAAUGCAAGUAGUUCUGGAAGCCAACACAUGGAUCAAGCCAAAUCAGUCAUCACUCUUCGCAAUGGUAAGGUUAUUGAAAACCCCAUUCUUGAACCUUGUUAGAAAGAUGAUGAGUCAAUCUCUGAGGGUAAGGAAGAGGUUGAAUCUGAACAUUGUAAAGAACAGACUGAUUCUUCGCCAGCACUUCCAUUUCCUCAUGCCAUGACCAAACAAAGGAAAGUCAAUCACAACUCUGAAAUCUUUGAAACUUUCAAACAGGUAAGGAUCAAUAUACCUUUAUUGGAUGCUAUUAAACAAGUUCCUUCUUAUGCUAAAUUUUUGAAAGAUCUGUGCACUGUGAAGAGAAAACUGAAUGUGAAAAAGAAAGCCUUUUUAGCCGAACAAGUAGGUGCUAUUCUUCAGAACAAUAAUGCUUUGAAAUAUAAAGACCCUGGUUGUCCUACAAUUUCUUGCUUUAUUGGAGAACAUAUAAUUGAAAGAGCUUUACUUGAUCUUGGAGCUAGUGUGAAUUUACUUCCAUAUUCAGUUUUUCAAAGUCUCAAUCUAGGUGAGUUAAAACCAACUUCUGUAACUCUUUUACUUGCCGACAGAUCUGUAAAAGUGCCUAGAGGAAUAGUUGAGGAUGUGUUAGUACAAGUCGUUAAAUUCAUUUAUCCUGUGGAUUUUAUUGUCUUGGACACACAACCUGUUGAAGCAUGUAAUUCAUUUCCUGUUAUUUUAGGACGUCCGUUUCUUGUAACUUCUAAUGCAUUGAUUAAUUGUAGGAAUGGACUAAUGAAGCUAUCAUUUGGGAACAUGACAUUGGAGAUGAAUAUUUUCAACAUUUGCAAGCAACCUGGAGAUGAUAAUGAUUUACAAGAAGUAGAUUCUAUUGAAGAAUUAGUUUAUGAUCAACUUCAAUCUACUUUGAGUAAAAUUAAGUUGGAUGAAUCUGAAGAUUUGCAAAUGAUUUAUUCUCAGGAAGAAAUCACGGAUGAAAAAGACACCGAAAAUGUUGAUACGGAUCUUUUGUCAAGAGUGACAACAGAUUCGACAUCCGACAUCACACCAAUCGACGAUUACUUUCCUGAUGAAUCCUUACUUUCUCUUAGUUCAAUGCCUUGGUUUGCUAAAAAUAUCAAUUUUCUUGCUACAGGAGAUUUGCCAACUCACUAGAGUACCGAAGACAAAGGUAAGUUUUUGAAUGAAGUGAAGAAAUUUUAUUGGGAUGACCCUUACUUAUUCGAAUAUUGUCCUGAUCAAAUAUUUCGAAGAUGCAUUCCUGACAAUGAGGUAAGUAAUGUCAUUAAACUUUGUCAUUCUGAAGCAUGUGGGAGUCAUUUCUCGUCAAAAAAGACUGCUGUGAAAAUCUUACAAAAUGGAUUUUAUUGGCCCACCAUGUUCAAGGACACACAUGCAUUCUGCAAAACUUGUGAAAAUUGUCAAAAAAUUGAUACUGGUCAAAAAGUUUUGCUUUAUAAUUCUCGACUCCAUUUAUUUCCUGAAAAACUAAGAUCAAGAUGGAGCGGUCCAUUUAUUGUGAAACAUGUGUAUCCUUAUGGGGCCCUUGAUAUUGAGAAUCCAAAGAAUGACAAUGUUUUGAAGGAAAAUGGACAUCGUUUGAAAGCUUACUUUGAUAAGUUUCCUAGUGAAAAUGAAUCCAUUGGUUUGAAUGAUCAUGUAGAUAAAGGUUGAUUAUUUUGUUUUUCUCACAUUGUUCUUGUGUUCCUUUUUGGUGUGAUUCUUGUUUUGCUAGUCUUUCUCACCCCGGUUAAAUGGCGGAUAACGGUACUCCGUGACUUUAGUCAGUUCUUUCAGUUUCCUAUAAUAACUGAUAUAUGUAUAUAUUUGUGCAAUUAUUUGCUCUUUCUCUCUUCUUUGAAUCUCUUCUCCAAUUCUCAUUUGAAAAUGGACACCACUCUUGAAAAAUUGAAAAAGUACUUUCCCGCUCUGCCUCAGAAUGCGAUUACAAAAAUUUGUCGUGCUAGGUGUGCAAGAUUGAGGUUGUUAAUGAAUCAUGGAAUUCCUGAAGAUAUCCGUUGGUUGAUUAAAGCAAAGGUCCGAUUAUUAGGUGAGUCCUCCAAUUCUUUCAUCUCAUACAUGCCUGGAACAGGUAAAAGCACUUUUGCAAAGAAACAUCGUGCAAAACGACUGAAAGUCUGUCACAGAUGUGCCAGAUGGAUUUGUAAUGCAACAUGUCGUUCUUUAGGAAUGGUAUCUAUAAAUCGUGAAGAUAAAAUACAAUUCAUUAAGGAUGGCCUGAGUAAGGGGUCUUUAGAUAAUCUUCUAUUAACCCUUGAGACGUAUCCUAGUGGAGAUGUGCAUCGUGUUAUUCAUGAUUUAUGGCCACAAUUCCAUAAGGAACAUGAUCGACUUAGUCUUGAGAAUCUGACUAUAAAAGACCAUGUUUGCCAGUUUUUAAGAAAACUGGAUGGGAAGCCUAUCCCCGACCCAUAGAGGGCGUUUAAGCCGUUCUUGGACGUAAAACCAAGGGAAGAUGUGAGCCACAAUCACAACUACCUGUACAUACACAUGCUUUUUCAAAAUAAAUAAAUAAAUAAAGAGAGAGAGAGAGACAGAGAGAGAGUGAGACUCCAGCUGGCCUACAUAUAGGUGGUAUGAUUGCAUCUUCAAUUUCUCAUCUAUAAAAUCUUCUCUUCCUUCCCCUCAUUUCUACUCAACCCAUACAUUUAACAAAUAUAAAAGUGUGUAGAAAUGGCAGGUUCCUCAAGUCAUCACAUCAGAAAUAUUUGUGUUUUCGGUGGAUCCAGUCCUGGGAAAGAAAAAGAGUUUUUAGAAUCAGCAAAUCAUCUUGGUCAGGUAUUAGCUGAGAGAAAGAUUCAUUUAGUAUAUGGAGGAGGCAGCCUUGGGUUAAUGGGGGGUGUCAAUAGCUGCAUUUUUAGGAGGAAGUCAAGUUUUGGGGGUCGUCCCCAAGGCUUUAGCAAAAGGGGAUAUCAUUGGAAAAACAAUUGGAGAGGAACUACAGGUCUCGACAAUGUUUGAUCGAAUGAAUGCAAUGUUUAACCAUGCUGACGCCUUCAUUGCCUUACCAGGUGGUCUAGGCACAUUGAAAAAGAUCUUUCAUAUUUCCUCUUGGGCCCAACUUCACAUUCACCAUAAACCUAUAGGUCUAUUAAAUGUUAAUGGUUUUUAUGAUAAUUUGUUGUCUUUUCUUGAUCAAGCUGUGGAACAGGAAUUUCUAACAUCUUCGGCACGACAAAUCAUAAUCUCUGCUGCUACUGCUGAACAAUUGAUCAACCAACUACAAUCUUUCACCCCUGUAAUUGAUCCUUCCAUGAGUCGCAUAAAUUGAUCAACUAAGGAAAGCCGUAAAAAGCUUAGAUUGGAUUUGAGCCUUCGUUUGUGAAUCCUCGUGUCUUUUGGUUUUAUUAUUAGCAUAUUAUUUUGUUUUGUUAUUUUUUAUAUUUGUUUAAGUGUGUUUCAGGUUUGUCAGUGUUCGUUGUUUCAGGUGAUGUCUUCUAUACUCUAUCUUUCUAUCUUAUGACAUUGAGGACAAUGUCUCGUUCUGGUUGGGGGGAGAGGGUAGUAGUUGACAUUAAAAAAAAAAAACUAACUUACUAACUGUUUUUGCUAUUAUUAAAACCAUUUGACAAAACUGUUAUUAGGAUGGCAGAGUAAGGAGGAAUUUUAUUGACUCUUGAGACGCAUCUUAGUAAAUAGUCUUAUCAAGGCCUAUCAUAAUACUUCUUGAAAUAUUCAGGUUUACAAACUCUCACAUUGUUAUCACUUGAUUCUGCUCAUAUACUCAUUUAACAAAUAUUCUUAAACCUUCAUUUUCACACACACACUUUAACAUAUGAUUGUGGGUUGCACAUUGGAUUAUUACAUUAUUUAUGUUCUUUUGUUAAAGGUAACAACUAAGGGAAAGGGAUAGUAUAUAAUUUUCAAAAAAAAAAACAAAUCGAUAAUAUUGAUGAUAAUAAAAACGUAGAUAAGUUUGGUUUCGUAGCCUCCCCAACCUAAGCAAUUAAGCUCGAAGGGGUGUUUUAACACCUAAUACCCUAAAGUCAACUGACUUGGGAGCUAUUGGCCCAAAACUUGUUACAUGGGUUAAGGAUAAAAGCUUAAGGGAAUCAAAUAUUGCACUAUCUACGUAUCAGUAUCUACAACCCGAGUCACUAAGCUCGUAGGGGUGUCUCAACACCUAAUGCCCUAAGACCAACUGGUCUGGGAGUCAUUAGCCGAAAGCUCGUUACAUGGGUUAAAGAUGCAUUGUGUUUUAAGUUAUAUAUAUUUCAAAAAAAAAGAAAAAAAAAGAAAAGAAAUAAUAGUAAUAAUAAUCUCAACCCAAGGAAGUUAACCUUAAACAUUAAAACAAAAUAUUGUUUUCUUCCAAUAAAAGCCCCAUCAUCUAUGUUUUUAUACAUUGAGCACAUAACAAGGAAGGUUUAUUAAUAUUUUGUUUAAGAGCUAUUGAGCAGAUAUAUAAAAUUUUUUAGAGUUUGUUUAUCUAGAUAGAGUAAUGGAAGUUGAAUGAUGAAUGCCUUGCUUUGUGGAAUUUGCAAAUUGUUUUUCUAUUUUAACGCUUUGAUUACUAGGGACUAGUAAUAAGCUGGUUGGGGGGUAUGAUUAGUACUUAAAAGUGCAUCAUCAUUUUGCACUUGAAGUAUCAAUAACUCCUUAACUAAACCAUGUUUUAUAAUAACAUAUCUAAUAAUAUAAGAUACCUUUAAUUUAUGGUAAAUGUUCAUCUUAAAUGUAGGCCUAUCACAUAAAUGAAAGAAUUGAUUGAUGAGUUGAAGUACUAAAAUUGAAAGGACAAAGAGAUGGCCAAACUUAGAAAAGAGAUGAUUGGUGCAGUCCAAACUGGAACACUGUUCGGUAAUCGGGUCAUAUCUGGAGCUGUAGAUCUCGGAUUUAGGUCUGCUUUAUAUGGAUGAAAAGCUAAGAUAUAGGCCUAAAACUUUCAUGGAGUCCAAGAUUUAACAAGGCCGUUUUCAAGUCCAAAAUGUAGCAACAACGGAGAAGUCUGAAUCUGUCCUGCAGCCCAGACAUUAUUCAGUGUUCAGCCCAUAUCUCGAGUUCUAGAAGUCCAAAUGAUCUCAAAUGUUUACCCUGGAAAGAUGAGACAAUUUCCUAGAACUUUCAUGAUUUAAGUAUGUUCAAAUUAUGACGUUAUCAAUGACGUUUUUGGCAGACAAGAAGAUAAGAAUUGUCACCAAGUGAAGAUGUGGCCAUCCAUUCAUCAAUUAGUCAACAAAUCAAUAGUUUCGAAUUUUGGCCUAUAAAAGGAGGCAUUUACCAUGUAUUUAGGCAUCUUGGUGUUCAGAUCAAGAUCAUGCUUUUGCUCUCUCUUUAUAUUUUGUAAUGCUUAAGUUUUGCUUAUAUUAAUUUCUUGCUUAUGCUUUUCAUUUCCUUUCCUUGUUUAUUUAUGUUUCUUUCUUUCAUUAUGUGUAGCUAAGUUAAUUAUGUCAAGGUGAAAAGGGUACACUAAUGGUGUAAGAAUAAGUAUAAUAUAAACUUAACAUGGACCUUAAUGUUGGAUACUAACAUGCUUUAUAUUUGUUAUCUUGUUCACUUUUAAUACUUUGCUUGUUAAAUGGUUAAUCUAGAUUUAUGUUGUAUAACACUUGGUACAAUAAGUACUUGGCACUUUCAUAGCCCAUACUGUAUGGUAUAACCGACACCUGAGCUAUGAAAGGAACUUGAUUUGUUGUUAACAUAAGUUAUAAUCAUGAAUGCCUGACAACAUUUACAAGUAUUAGCAUUAUUCGAAUAAGAUAACUAAUGUAAUCAUGUUAACAAUUUAUAAUCUGAUUGGAACCUCCUUUGUGUGUGGUUUCCAAUUGAAUAAUAAGAGUUUAUACUAUACUUGUUUGAAAUACCAUUAGUGGAUCCUCUAACCUUGACAUUUGUUGUUAUCAUUGUUUAAUCCUUACGUUAAUCUUUCAUCUCAAAGUUCUCAUCAACUUCUUCUUCUUCUUCAUCUUUAUUAUUAUCAUUAUUAAUAGUAUUAUUGGUAUCAUUAUUAUUAUUGCUACUAUUACUAUCACUACUAUUAUUAUUAUUAUUAUUAUUGUGAUUGUUAUUGUUAUUGUUAUUAUUUUUACUAUUGUUGUUGUAUUAUUGUUGUUUAUAAUUUAUACAAUUAACCUCCAUGUGGUUCGACCCCGGUCUUGUCGGGUUAUUUAUUACUUCGACACUCCUGCACUUGGGAGAAGACAUCAAUCUUUUGGUCGUGUCACCUAGCUAAUCAAGAAAUUAAAAUAUUCAGAGGAAAUCCUAUUCUAAUAAGGAAUCUAACAUUCUAAUUAAAAAAGGAUUUUAAUAAACUAGUUUAUUACAAAUCCUUCUACAUCAAGGAUUUCUAUAUUAACUAGAAUUCCUCCUUUAACUAAUAUUAAAAUUCUUAUAAACUCUAAAUCCUAUUAGCCUAAAUCCUAGUUGAUAUUGAAUUUCAACACUCCCUUUCAAUAUCAAUUGUCGCCAUUCUUCUCCCAGCAUAUCUCUCAUCUUUGCAAAAACAUCAUAUUUGAGUGGCUUUGUGAAAAUAUUUGUGACUUGGUCUUGGGUCUUCAAAUACUUAACUUCAACUUUCUUGUUUGCAAUGCAAUCUCUUAGAUAAUAAAAUCUUGUGUCAAUAUGCUUGCUUCUGUCAUGAAAAACUGGAUUUUUAGCUAAUGCAAUGGCUUAUGAGUUGUCCACAUAAAUAUUUGUAGGCUUUCUUGUGGCAUUCACAACUCCUUUAAUAAUCUUCUUAGCCAUAUGGAAUGACAAACACAUGUUGUAGUAGCUACAUAUUCAGCUUCACAAGUAGAUAAUGUGAUAAUAGAUUGCUUCUUUGAACUUCAUGUGAAAGUUGUGUCUCCCAUGUAGAAAACAAAACCUGUAAUGCUCUUUCUAUCAUCCAUAUCUCCAGCCCAAUUACUAUCACUAUAACCCACAAGAUCAAAACUAUUAGAAUAACAGUAAAAUAAGCCAAAAUCUAUGAUACCUUUGAUGUAUCUUAGAAUUCACUUCAAGGCUUUGAAGUGAGUCAUAGUUGGUAUCUCCAUAAACUUACUCACAAGUCCUACUCCAUAAAGAAUAUUCGGACGAGUGCAUGUCAAAUAUCUCGAACUCCCAACUAAGCUCUUAAAUAUUGUAGAGUUUAUCUUCUCCCCUUCAUCAUUCUUUGACAUCUUCACUCCACACUCGACUAGAGUAUUCUCUUUUGCACAAUCCGCUAUUUUGAAUUUCUUGAGAAUCUUCCUUACAAAUUUCUCUUGAUUAAAAAAGAUUCAAUAUUAUCUUGUUUGAUCCCAAUCCUAAGUAGUAGGACAUGAUACCAAUAUCCGUUUUCUCAAGCUCCUUGAUCAUUGCUUGCUUGAAGUCUUUAAACAUCUUUGGAUUAUUUCUUAUGAAGAUUAAGUCAUCUACAUACAAACAUACAAUAAGUGUAUCACCACUCUCUUUGAUCUUUACAUAGAUAACAUAUUCAUGGGGCCACUUAACAAAUCCAUUCUUUAGGAAAUAGCCAUCAAUGUGACUAUACCAAGCCCUUGGGGCUUGCUUCCAUCCAUACAAGCCCUUAUUUAACUUUAAAAGCUUGUCUUCGUGUCCCUUUACUUCAUAACAUAUAGGUUGCUCAAUGUAGAUCUCUUCUUCAAUAAAAACAUUAAGAAAGGCUGAUAUUACAUCCAUUUGAUAUAUUCUCUAUCUAUGUUAGGCAGCAGUGCCAAUGAUUAAUCGAAUGGUCUCCAAUCUAGCAAAAGGAGCAAAAACCUCUUCAUAGUCAAUCCCAUGCUUUUGACUAUAGCCUUUUUCCACGAACCAUGUCUUAUAUCUCUCAACAUCUUCUUUGACAUUCUUCUUUUCUUUGUAGAUCCAUUUGGCACCUAUUGGCUUCUUUUCAUUUGGUCUAGGAACCAAUCUCUAUGUGUAAUUCUUUUAAUUUGAUGCAAUCUCCUCAUCCAUAGCAAUUCUCCAUUUUAUAUCUUUUAUUGCUUCUUCAAACACUACAGUAUCACUUGUAGUAAGAUGACAAUAUAGUGUUACAUGAUCAAUAUGAUUAGUUACCUCAUAUAAGUCAUCAAGGCUCCUCAUAUUUCUUGGUGGAGUGCCACUACUUGAGCUUUUAUUAGAAGAAGAAGAAGUUAAACACAUUGGUGUUUAUGGAGGUGUGACUAUAGGUUCUUGAUGAUUUUCAUAUCUUUCUUCCUCUUCAUCAAGAAUCGGUAAGAAGUCAUAUUUCUCACCAUCAUUUACCUUCCAAUCUCAUGCUACUUCUUCAUUGAACUCAACAUCUUUACUAAUCACCAUCUUUCCUUCAUUAGGGUUGUAAAGCUUGUAUCCUUUGGACUUUUGGUUAUAGCCCACAAAUAUCAUCUUUUUGCUUUUGCCAUCUAGCUUGGUCCUUACUUGAUCAUCUUCAUGCACAUAACCAAUGCUUCCAAAAACUUUCAAGUGAGAGACAUUUAGUUUUCUUCUACUCCAUGCUUCUUUUGGAGUCAUGUCAUUUAAGUUUAUAGUAGGACAUCUAUUUGACAAGUAGAUAGCAUAAUCUACAGCUUCAGCCCAAAACUCUUUAGGCAUUUUCUUCGUUUUGAGCAUGAUUCUCGCCAUGUUGAGAAUGCUUCUAUUCUUUCUCUCCGCCAUGCCAUUUUAUUGUGGGGAUCUAGGCACCAUUAGGAAUCUCUUUAUACCAUUAUAUUCACAAAACUCAUUAAAAUUAUUAGAAUAAAAUUCACCCCCUAUUCGUCCUAAGUGAUUUUAUAGAAUAACCAUUCUUCUUUUCAACUAAUACCUUAAAUUUAUUAAAAUAAAUAAACAUAUUAGACUUUUCUUUUAAGAAAUAUACCCAAGUGUUUCUACAAUAAUCAUUAAUAAAAAAUAGAAAAUAUAAAUUUUUACCAAACAAGCAUGAUUUGAUAGGACCACAAACAUCGACAUGUAUUUCUUGUAGGGGUUGAUUUGCUCUUGAUAUAAACUAUUUUAGAAAACUCAUUGUUAAGAUCACAAUUUCUUGUAAUGAAAUUGCUUACCCACUAAACAUCCUUCACACAACUGAUUUGGAUGUAUAAUAUAUGGUAGACCCUUCAACAUCUCCUUUUGUGCCAUCAUCUUCAAGCUAUCAAAGUUUACAUGCCCAAGUUUCAUAUGCCACACAUGCAUUUAGGUAUUUAGGCACAUCCGUCUCUAUGUUUAACAAGAGCAUUCUAUUCUUUGUCAUGGAUACCUUUACAAUCAUAUCUCCUUUAGGGGGCAUUUGUUUGAUGGAAAACGGUUUCCUGGAAACCACUUUCUAAACUUUCCUGUAUUUGUUUGUUAUUAGAAAAGUUGGUCAAUGGAAAACACUUUCUACUCAAAGGAAAAUUUGGCUUGAUUGCCAGGAAAGUGUUUUCCUUUUAUUUUGGGCGGAAAACACUUUUCGGAAGUUAUGAAAAUUUCAGAAAUGUCAUAUUAUUUGCUGAUUAUAUAUAUUUUGUUUUGAUUUUUUUUUUCAAUUUCAUCUAUUAGAAUUUAAUUUUUAUAUUAACUUUGGUCCUCAUUUUUAUAAUUGUUAUUUGCUUUUCCCUUAUCAUUUUUUAAUUAAAAUUUUUUAUCUAUCAAAUUUGAUCCUCAUUCUUUUUAUUGUUACUUUUUUAUUUGAAAUAAUUUAUGAAAUGGUAAUUGUUAUUAUUUUAAUUUCUUCAUCUUUCAAUUUUUUUAUUUGUUAGAUUUGAUCUCUAUUAUUUUGAUUAUUAUUUAUUUUAUUUGAGAUAAUUUAUGAAAUUAUAUUUUUUUUCAAUUUCAUUCACUUUCAACUUUUUAAUUUGUAAGAUUUAUUCCUCAUUAUUUUAAUAAACUUGAAAAAAAAAUAUAAUAAGUUAUUUUCCAGCUCAUUUUCCAUGACAUAACCAAACACUGGAAAGUGUUUUCCAACUUAUUUUUCAUUACAUUACCAAACAUCGGAAAAUAAUUCACUUUCCUGGAAUUCACUUUCCAAAAGAAAACUACUUUCCAGCAAACAAACGGGGCCUUAGUGUCAAGUAAUGUCAAAGUACGAUCUUUCAUCUUAAUCUUAUACCCCUUCUCUAACAAUUAUCCUAAGCUCAAUAUGUUGCUUUUCACCAUUGGUAUAUAAUAGACAUCACCAAUAAAUUGAUGACUUCCAUCUUUCAAUUUAAUCAAAAUUAUACAUUUUCCUUUGAUGGCAACCUUAGAAUGAUCUGCAAAGGUGACAUUAUCUUUAAUUGCUUCAUCAAGCUUCAUGAAUUUAUCUUUGUCUCCACACAUGUGAUUACUGGCUCCAUUGUCUAGAUACCACAUGUUCUCUUUAUCUUGCAUUCUUUCAUUAUACACUAGUAGUAGAGUGGCUUUCUUCUCUUCUUCUAUCACAAGAUUUGCAAUCUUCUCAACCCUCUUGGUUGGACUCCAACAAUCCUUAGCAUAGUGACCUAUCUCCACACAUCUGAACAUUGGUGAAUGAUUGUUAAUGCUAGUUGAUCUUUCCUUUGUGCUUUUUGCACGGUUUCCUUUUGGGCUAAAGUCAACGUUGCUUCAUCUAUAGGCUCUUCAAAGCAUUUUUCAACUAUCUCUCAUACAUCUUGGGAACCUAGCCAGGCCUUUACUUGAAUACACCAAGUUUGAUAGUUGUUCUUCGUUAACCUAGGACAUUGAAGUGGAAGGUUUGAAUAGACCAUGUUAAAUAAUCACACCUAAGCUCUGAUACCACUUGUUUGAAAAGAAUAAUAAGGUAUGGUAGCUAAUUUAUAAGAACAAAGUUAAAGAACAAGAAGAAGAAUGAGAGGAAUGAUAUUUUUAUCAAGAGUUUUCUCAAAAGAUCACCUUUAUAACUCUUCUCUAGCAUAAGAAUUAUGUUGAUGAUGUAAGAUGAAUAUAUAUGUGAUUUGUAUUUAAUCGUAAUGGUUGUGACCAUAAUAUAGAUAUGAAUGACUAUAAUGACAAUAGUCCAUAUAUAUAAAUUAGAAUUUACCACAACAAUGGAAAUAAAAAAUAGAAAAAAUUAUAUAAAUCAGUGGCAAUAACAAAUUGUUCUAUUGUUUAUUAAAUGUGUUUGGAAUAAAAAGAAUUGAGUUAUGUGAUUGGAAUGGAAAGAUGCAUAGUGUUGCUACCCAAUUUUUGACCUAUGUUUUGAUAAAUUUUCAAAAAAAAAAAAACAGAGAGAGAGAGAGAACAUGUGGCGAUAACAUAAAGCAUCAAGGCUAAUAUUAAGAAAGCAAUAUGUCAAGGAGAUAAUUACUGAAUCAUAUAUAAUUACUGCAAAAUAAAAUACCAUAGAUAUAGGAUUUGCUUCGUGCUGGUUAUGGAAAAUAAUCACUACAAUAUAAAAUACUAUAUAUAUAGGAUUUGUUGGUGCUGGUUAUAGAAGACAAUCUCUGCAAUAAUUAUUGCAAUAUUUCCUUGAAUAGCAAGUGUAGAGAUUUUCUAUAUAAUUGAACCUCCAACCAUAUACAAAAAGGGGGGAGAAAAUUUACAGAGAAACAAUUUUAAGACAAAAAAUGAAGGCAACCACAAAACCCUAAACCUAAUUUUCUCUCCCAACCAAGAAAAGCAGCCACCCUGACUUUGAAAAGAAAACAGAGUGAGAAGAGAAAGUAAAAACAGAGAGAAGAGACCAAAAACAGAGGGAGGAGAAAGUAGAGAGAGACACAAAGAAAGAGUGAAGAAAAAAACCGAGAGAACCAGCAUAAGGUUGAGGUGAGAGAUAUAGAAAAACAGCGAGAACGAGAGGGAAGAUUAUCUCCAGUCUAUCUUACAUUGCAAAACAGGAGUUCACAAAAUCUAAGGGUCUUUUAAAACUCCUAAUAACAAAAAGAGGAAGGCUUUCUUUGGUUUUCAGAGGCCGGCAAAGGCUUUUCCAUCUAUCUGAACUUCAUCUUUUGCAUUCAGACAAGUAAGAUCUGCAGGUUAGUUUCCAUUUUUUUUCUUCCUUGCUAUAUUCAAACUUGGCAUCUGUUGUUUUUUUCUGUUCCAAACCUGUUCCUUCCUUUUACUCUGGAUAUUCGGUUCUGGUUGGACAAAAGGUCAUAUGCUUGCCCAUGGUUCAUGCAUGGCUUAGAGUUUAGAUUUUUUUUGUUCAUGUUAAAGUUACAUUUCUUUUCUUAUUCUCUUGCCGUGAGGAACCGUGAGCUUUAAAGGCUUUCAUUAUCUUUCCCUUUCUUUGUUCGAGUGUCUCUUUGCCUUAGGAUGUUGCAUAGUUUGAGUUUGGCUCCUAAAUAAAGCUCUAUCUAGAAAGUGAAACACAAGGGAAGUCCCUUUACAAUCAAGGCGGUCUUUUAGCAGACUUUUGGAUCACGUUUUCAUUUCUAUUGUUUUUUCUGAAAAAAGAGCUAAUUGGCCGUUGGUUUGUGUUUGUAGUUCUUUAUUUGCUUCAGUAUAAAGGUAUUGCUCAAGUCGUUUCCUUUUGCAUGAGACUAAUGAGUAUGGUAGUAUUAAAGAUCGGAAAAGAGGAUAGGUGUUGAGUCAUGGUUACUGUUAUAGGUUUUUGUUUUCAGAAUUAUGGUCUUCUUGUGCAUACAGACUUGCUAUCCUUUUUCAAUUAUAGGAUUUCGGUUUAAAUGGACGGACUGACUCUUGUGUGAUUAAAGUUUGGCUUUGGGAAAUUUAUUAUAUAUAUAUAUAUAUAUAUAUAUAUAUAUAUAUAUAUAUAUAUAUCAAUGUUUUGGGCCUUUUGCAAAUUUUAGAAUGGAUGUGUAUGGCUUGUUUUUCUUUUUUGUGAUGCUUGUGUUUUGACCAAAUAUAAAAAAUGUUUAUGUAUGUUGCAUACGGCCAAUACCCUAAUAUAUAUUGAAUAUUCCUUUAAAAAAAACAAAUAUUUCAAGUUUUAAAAGAAAAUGUGUUUUUAUCAUGGAUUUCUUAAACAAAAAAAUUGUUUUCUUGCAUUCUGGAUUUUAUAACAUGUUUGAAAAACUCCAAAGGGUGUUGGCCAAUAUUCCAAAAAAUAUAAGAAUCUUAUUUUUUGGGGAAUUCAUCUAUUAUUCACUGUUAAUGUUUGGAUAAAGAAAUCUCUAAGGGAUGAAUAUCCAAAAUAUUAUUGGGAAUAAUUUGUUAUUAUUCACUGUUAAUAUUUGGAUAAAGAAACUCCAAGUGGUUAAUAUCCAAAAUAUUUUUCUAGGAAUAAUAAGUUAUGAUUAUUUAUCACACAUCCUUGAAAGAAGUCUCGAUUAUAAUUGGGGACAUUUCAAUUUUUGACUCCACGGUUUACGAGCCGUGAAAGUAUGAAAUACUAAGAAAAAAUAGGCUUCUAAAGCACCUUGAAUUUCCUUAGAUAUCUAACUUAGUUUUUUUGUUUCUCUUUCCUGUGAUUUACGAGUCGCAAACACUUGAAAUACUAAGGGAAAAACGAGCUCUUAAGCACAUUGAAUCUCCUUAGUUCUGUCUUACCUAUCUCAUAAAUCAUAGGUUAUAAAUUAAGUCUGAAUCAAACUCAGAUUUCAAGAGAUCUGUAUUGGUUCUUCUAGGUACUUUGUAGGCAUAUCUAAGGGUGUGAUCCAUAUUUACUAAGGGUUCUUUCUUUUUAGACUUUGAGUCCAAGUUUGUUCAUCAUAACAAACUUAUCCUAGGAAAACUAAUGGGAUUAGAUGUCAAAGGAAAUACCUAUACCUACACAUUUAAUGCCAGCAGAUUCUUUGCCUAUUUAUUCUUUCCUUUAUUGGGAUAUAUUAGCUGUAGGUUAGCUGUUUCUAAGGGCUAAAGAUCAGCCUAUAUUAUUUCGUGUACUAGCCUGUAUUAUUUCCUGUUGUAUUGUUUCCUUUCUUAGCUUGUAAAUUCUACUUAUAUAAUGGGCAAUUCUCAAUAAGAAGACAUACAAUUUUAUUCAAAAGACUCUAAACUGUUAUGGUAUCAGAGCUACAACUCUGAAUUAUUAUUUGCUAUCAAGUUUCUUAGUCUCGGUUAUUCUUGAUCAAAGUUCUCUUGACCUCAUGUCUUCAGAUAAGUCUGAUGUUUCUAUGAUUCGUUUUAAUGCCAAGAACUACUCUGCUUGGGUGUUUCAUUUCAGGAUUUUUGUCAAAGGUAAGAAGCUGUGGGGAUAUGUUGAUGGAAGAAACCCAACUCCUGAGAAAAUCAAAGACAUAGACCAGCACGCCAAGUGGGAAGUCAAGGAUGCUCAAGUUAUGGCUUGGAUCUUAGGAUCUGUCAAACCUAACAUCAUCUUGAAUCUUCGAUCCUCUUAGACUGCAGCUCAGAUAUGGACUUACCUGAAGAAAUUCUAUAGCCAAUAAAACACUGCUCGUUGGUUUCAUCUUGAACAUGAAUUGAGCACUCUUCAACAUGAUAGUCUUUCUAUCUCUGAUUUUUACUCUAGAUUCAUUAAUCUUUGGAUUGAAUACACUAAUAUAGUUUAUGCUGGCUUACCAUCCGAAGGUCUUAGCUUUGUUCAAUCUGUUCAUGAAACUACUCAACGGGAUCAGUUUCUAAUGAAACUGAGACCUGAAUUUGAAGGCACCAAAUCCAACAUGAUGAACCGAGAAUUUGUUCCCUCCUUGGAUACAUGCCUUAGUGACCUCCUUUGCGAAGAACAACGCCUUCUCACUCAAACCACCAUGGAACAAUGACGAUCUACAUCUAUUCUUGUGGCCUAUGCAGCACAAGGUAAUCCAAGAGGUAGAGAUAUGAGCACUAUUCAAUGUUUUUGUUGUAAGGGAUUUGGCCAUUAUGCUACAAAUUAUCCUCGAAAAUUCUGCAACUAUUGCAAAAAAGAUGGCCAUAUCAUCAAAGAAUGCCCUACUCGACCUCCCAAGAAAAUAGAGACAGCAUAUACCGUCUUAGUUGGCUCUUCACCUCUGACAUAAAGUGCUCCUACUCCUGUCCAAUCCGUGACUCCUGCCAUGAUUCAAUAAAUGAUCAUUUCUGUAACAACCCGGCUUUCUAAGCCCAAAACAAUAGUAAAUUUUUUUUUUAUAUAUAUAUAUAUUUAAUACACAUGGUGCCGGUAAUCAAAGAACUUGAAUCCUCACAUCAUCAAAAUACAAUCCAUACAAUCAACAGUUCAUUCAAAAGCGAAUCUUACACAAACACAUAAUAUUAAGGUUGCAUGAUUUGAAGUUCAUAUUAAAAAUAUAUAUACAUGGACAUGAGUUUGCACUCUUAUACUUCUAAUAGCCAUCACAAUUUUUAAACAAAAAGGAUCUAAUAAAAGUUAUACAUUCAGUACAUUGAUCCCUACAAAAUACAUUGUGAUUUAGAAUGCAUCUACUUAAUUCCUUGCAAAAGUAGGUUCCCGUGUAUCGGGUAUCCUAGACAUCUCGUUGGUGUGACGUCCCUGCAGCAGUACAAAACAUUUAAGAGAAAACAAAUACUUAAUAAUAAUAAUAAUGGUAACUAACGGCCUAGCAAUUAAAUAAGCAUUAACAUUUAUAAUUUCUUCAUGUAUUUGAUGUAACAAUUAGUAGUACAUAUAGAUACACAAGUUUUCAAAUGCCAUUCGCCGAAACUAGUCGUUUAUUUGUCCCGGCUAUCCAUCCGGAUUCCAUAGCGAUAGCUGCGUCGCUGCCAAUCCUAAAAUCAGCAGCCGAAACUACAUCGCUGCCGAUCAAGGAAUCGGCAGCGAAACUGGGUCGCUGCCGAUGUCUGUAUCGGCAGCGAAGACUGCAUCGCUGCUGAUCCAGAAUCGGCAGCGAAUACUGUGUCGCUGCCGAUCCAGAAUCGGCAGCGGAACUGCGUCGCUGCCGAUCCACAAUCGGCAGCAAAAUCAUCCCUUUUUAACCCGGCCAUCCAUUCGGACGCCAUUAGCCAAAGCUAAUCAUUCUUUGUCCCGGCCAUCCAUUCGGAUGCCAUUAGCCGAAGCUAAUCACUCUUUGUCCCGGCCAUCCGUUUGGAUGCCAUUAGCCGAAGCUAAUCAGUCCUUCAUCCCGGCCAUCCAUUCGGACGCCAUUAGCCAAAGCUAAUCAUUCUUUGUCCCAGCCAUCCGUUUGGAUGCCAUUAGCCGAAGCUAAUCAGUCCUUCAUCCCGGCCAUCCAUUCGGAUGCCAUUAGCCGAAGCUAAUCACUCUUUUAUCAACAAUUAAGCGUUCGACAAUUUAAUAUCGGUUCUAACAAUAUGGUAGUACUCAAGUUAAAAUAUUCCAAGAUUCAACGUAUGAAAAAGAAAGGUGCAAGUCACCUACCUGCUCCACCUGUGGGUCGUUCCUGUCUUGAUGAUGGUCCAAUCCCGACCGCACCACCUAAGACAUCAAUGGUCACAAAUCAGCACAGUUGUAUUUAUUUUAUUUUUGAAUCACAUUCAUCAUCACACUUAUUUCUAUAGUUCAUAUGUUCACAUUCAAGUGUUCCCUAUUUUACACCAUCACAUCAUGAAAUUGUUAUUAGCAUUUAAGUCAUUCCUGCCUAGGAGGCUUAUUGUAGGAAUCGGCAGCGAGAACUGGUUCGCCGCAGGCUGCCAGUUCGGCAGCGAGAACUGCACCGCUGUUGGCGCCACAGUUUCGCUGCACAACGCACAACUCGGCAGCGAAUAUCACUUCGCUGCAGGACGUUCAGCUGCGGCAGCGAAACAGAAUUUCGCUGCGCAACACACAAAUCGGCAGCGAAUAUCAAAUCGCUGCAGGAGGUUCAGUUGCGGCAGCGAAACAGAAUUUCGCUGCGCAACACAUAAAUCGGCAGCGAAUAUCAAAUCGCUGCAGGAGGUUCAGUUGCGUCAGCGAAACAGAAUUUCGCUGCGCAACACACAAAUCGGCAGCGAAUAUCAAAUCGCUGCAGCAGGUUCAGUUGCGGCAGCGAAACAGAAUUUCGCUGCGCAACACACAAAUCGGCAGCGAAUAUGAAUUCGCUGCAGGAGGUUCAGUUGCGUCAGCGAAAUAGAAUUUCGCUGCGCAACACACAAAUCGGCAGCGAAUAUCAAAUCGCUGCAGCAGGUUCAGUUGCGGCAGCGAAACAGAAUUUCGCUGCGCAACACACAAAUCGGCAGCAUCAAUUUCAGCACAAUCAUCACAGCAGAACACAUUAAUUCCAGCAACAAACAUCACAGCAGAACACAUUAAUUCCAGCAACAAUCAUCACAGCAGAACACAUUAAGUCCAGCAACAACAUCACAGCAGAACACAUUAAUUACCCCCUAGUUAAAGCCAGCCCUCUACCAUGAUUUGUUAGAUGUUCUGAAAUUGACUUUAUUUCACUUUUGUUUGCUUGUUCUCUUGGUUAAUUUCAGCUUCCUUCACAGCUGGCUUAGGUCUUAGAUCAAUUCUUUUCUUAGGGUUUUUCUUCUUCAUUUUCGUUUUUGAUCUUACGGGGGAGAGGAAGAGAGUUUCAUGACCCAUACCUUCUGAAUUUAACUAAGUUUGAGGAAGGUUGGACACUAUUCAGCUGCUGGUUCUCCUCCUUCUUCUUCCUCUCACGUUUUCCAGCUCUCUUUUUCCUCUCCUCUAUGCAGCUGCCCACUCCUCUCUCAAGGUCUCAUCUCUCCCUCACAAGUUCACAAAGUAAUCUCUACUGGUCUGAUUCACGUUUCUGUUGUGAAAGGGGAAGGGAAGAACGGCAUGCAGCUGCUGGAUUUGGAAGAAGAUGGGUCAUUCUCUCUCCCCUCUUUGUAUUUAUACUACCCAUCCAAUGAAAUGGGUUGUUUGGGGGUUGGUUUAGGUGUGUCCUUAUCCUUGUUUGGUUUAUCUAAAAUCAGUUUUACCCCUCCCUCCCAGCUCUGCGUCACUGUUCAUUGAGAAAUCGGCAGCGAAAACUGCAUCGCUGCCGAUUUCUGCAUCGGCAGCGAAAACUGCAUCGCUGCCCAGUCCAGAAUCGGCAGCGAAAACUGCAUCGCUGCCCAGUCCAGAAUCGGCAGCGAAAACUGCAUCGCUGCCCAGUCCAGAAUCGGCAGCGAAUACUGCAUCGCUGCCGAUUUCUGCAUCGGCAGCGAAAACUGCGUCGCUGCCGAUUUCUGCAUCGGCAGCGAAAACUGCAUUCAUCAUCAUCUCUCUCUCUCUAAAUAUAUAUAUAUUUUCCUUUGGGUGUUUACAAUUUCUGCAUUUUCAGCUUUGGGACUCUCAGGUAAAAAUCUUUCUACAUCAUCUUCUUGGUAUUUUGAUUCCGCAGCUUCCAAUCAUAUGACAAACAAUGCUGCUUCUCUUACCAAUGUCAACGAAUAUUUUAGAAAUCUCAAAAUUCAUAUUGUUGAUGGCAGUCAUUUACCUAUCACGGCCACUAGUGAUGUUUCUCCUUCUCUCACUAAUGUUUUUGUAUCACCUGGUCUUACCACCAAUCUUGUGUCUGUCGGUUAGUUGGUUGAAAAUGAUUGUAAACUGGAAUUUUCCAAAUCUGGUUGUGUUGUGCAGGAUCAACAGUCAAGGAGAAUGAUUGCGAGGGGGCCUAAAGUGGGACGUCUUUUCCCUCUUUAAUUUCCUUUGUCUCCUUUUUCUUUGCCCUUUGUCACUUGUAAUUCUGCUCAUGUAGAUUACCAAGUGUGGCAUAAACAUCUCGGACAUCCAAACUCUAAUGUUCUUCAUGAUUUAUUGAAAUCUGGUUUUCUUGGAAAUAAAGAUUCACCAUCUCUUAGUGCUGUUCAGUUUGAUUGCAAUUCUUGCAGGCUUGGCAAAAGUAAAACUCUACCCUUUCCUAUUCACACACCACACAUAGUCCAACCUUUCGAUUUGAUACAUAAUGAUGUGUGGGGUAUGGCACCAGUCACUUUUCAUGCUAAUUACAAAUACUUUGUCACUUUUAUUGACGAUUAUAGCCAUUUGACAUGGAUUUAUUUCCUUCAUUCUAAAGACGAAGUAUUUUCUGUUUUUAAGAUUUUUCAUGCACAUAUCCAGAACCAAUUUUCAGCCCAAAUCAAAAUCCUUCGUUCUGACAAUGGGGGUGAGUAUAUGUCUAAUUUGUUUCAAGACUUCUUACAGCAUCAUGGCAUCAUUUCUCAACGGUCUCGCCCUUCAACACCUCAAUAAAAUAGGGUGGCUGAAAGAAAGAAUCGUCAUCUUCUUUAUGUUGUUCGUACUCUCCUAUUAGAGUUGUCUAUACCUUCUCGUUUUUGGUGGGAAGCUCUCUCCACUGUUGUCCACCUCAUCAACAGAUUGCCUUCCCCCACAUUGAACCACGACACUCCUUUCCUCAGGUUGUUUGGUCAUCCUCCAACUUAUUCCAACCUCCGUACCUUUGGUUAUGUCUGUUAUGUGCAUCUUCAUGCACAUAAACGCACAAAACUCACGGCCCAGUCAAUUCAAUGUGUUGUUCUAGGAUAUUGAGUACACCAGAAAGGUUUUCUUUGCUAUGACCCAAAUCUGCGUCGCAUUCGAAAAUCUAUAAAUGUGAUCUUUCUAGAAAACCAAUAUUUCUUUUCUGUGCAUCAGGAUCCUGUUCCUCCUUCAUUUUCUGUUUUGCGUAUGUUUACUAACUCUUUUGUAGCUCCAGUCCCUUCUAAACCUCUCCUAGUAUAUCAAAGAUGUUCAUCUGCUACUUCCCACCAGCCUCCAGACCCUCUCAAGCCCCCUCACGUUCCUUCCUCGAUUACUGCUCCUAUUCUAGCAACUACAACCCCCUGUCAUCGAUAAAGUACUCAGGCUCGUAGACCCCCUGAUAGGUAUGGUUACUCUCCUUCCUCAUCUUUCACAACCACCUUGUCUUCUACUUUUCUUCCUUCAUCUUAUAAACAGGCAAUUGAGCACGAGUGUUGGCGAAAAGCCAUUGAAACUGAACUUCUCACACUUGAAGAAAACCAAACCUGGGAUGUUGUUCCAUGCCUCUCAUCUGUGAAUCCCCUUGGCAGUAAAUUUGUGUUUUCUAUCAAGCGUCGUUCUGAUGGGUCCAUCGACCGUUACAAGGCUCGGUUAGUGGCACUUGGCAACAAACAGGAAUAUGGUCUUGACUAUGAUGAGACCUUUGCACUAGUCGCUAAAAUGACCACUGUCCGAACUAUACUCGCCCUUGCUGCAUCUCAAUCCUGGCCCUUACAUCAAAUGGAUGUCAAGAAUGCCUUCCUUCAUGGUGAUCUCAAGGAAGACAUUUACUUGAAACUUCCUUCUGGUAUAUCCACUUCCUCAUCUAAUGAUGUUUGCAAACUGAAACGUUCUUUGUAUAGUUUGAAGCAAGGAUCGAAAGUAUGGUUUGACAAGUUUCGAUCCACGUUGCUGGGUUUCUCCUUCACUUAAAGUCAAUAUGACUCCUCUCUCUUUCUACAAAAGACAUCCAUGGGUAUCGUUGUCCUCCUUGUUUAUGUGAACGAUAUCGUCAUCACUGGCUCUGACUUGGAGGCAAUCUCUGCGAUUCAGACUUUGUUGCAUUCUACAUUCCACAUGAAAGACCUCGGUUAGCUCACCUAUUUUUUGGGCUUGGAAGUGCAUCAUCAACCUCACGGUCUCUUCCUGCAUCAGCCAAGUAUAGUCAGGAACUAGUUCAGUUAGCCGGCCUCACCAACACUACUUCGGUUGACACUCCCAUGGAACUUAAUGUGAAAUAUCGUUGUGACGAAGGGGAGCUUUUUGAUGAUCCUACUACCUAUCAGAAGCUAGUUAGUAGUCUUAUCUAUCUAACUAUUACUUGACCAGACAUUUGUUAUGUUGUUCACACUGUCAGCAAAUUCAAGCAAGCACCAAGGCAUCUCCAUCUAUCUACUGUCUGCCGUAUAAUUUGCUACAUUCUUGGCACUCCUAGUCGUGGCUUAUUCUUCCCUACAGGUUCUUCACUUCAACUAUAAGCCUAUAGUGAUGUUGAUUGGGCCGGUUGCCCUGACACUAGGAAAUCUACUACCGGCUGGUGUAUGUUUCUUGGUGAUGCCCUUAUCUCAUGGAAAUGCAAGAAAUAAGACCACGUCUCCAAAUCAUUAAUUAGUACUUAAAAGUGCAUUUUUAUCAAGGUUUUAUAUCAUCAUUUUGCACUUAAAGUAUCAAUAACUCCUUAACUAAAGCAUGUUUUAUAAUAACAAGUCUGAUACUAUAAGAUACCUUUAAUUUAUGGUAAAUGUUCAUCUCAAAUACAGGCCUAUCACAUAAAUCAUUGGAUUGAUUAAUGAGUGUAACUACUGAAAUUGAGAAGACAAAGAGAGGGUCAAACUUAGAAAAGAGAUGCUGGUUCUGUCCAAACUAGAACACUAUUCAGUCAUUGGGUCAUAUCUGGAGCUGUAGAUCUUGGAUUUCAAUUUGGUUUAUAUGGCUACAAAGCUAAGACAUAGGCCUAAAACAUUCAUGCGAAGCCCAAGACUCAAUUCUGCUGUUUAGAAGUCCAAAUCUUAGCAACAACAGAGAAAUCAGAAUAUGUCCUGCAGCCCAGACACUGUUCAGUGUUUAGCCCAUAUCUCGAGUUCUAGAAAUCCAAAUGUACUGAUUCUUUUUUUGUUGGAAAGCUGAGACAAUUUCCUAUAAAUUUCAUAGGAUAAUCUAUUCAAAUUCUGACAUUAGUAAUGACGUUUUGUUCAGACAAAAAGAUAAGGAUUGUCACCAAGUCAAGAUGUGGCCACCCACUCAACAAUUAGUCAUCAAAUCAAUAGUUCCAAAUUUUGGCCUAUAAAAGGAGGCAUUUGCCAUGCAGUAGGCAUCUUGGUUUUCAGAUAAAGAUCAUGCUCUUGCUCUCUCUCUUUUUGUAAUGCUUAAGUUUUGUUUAUAUUAAUCUCUUGUUUAUGCUUUUCAUUUCCUUUCGUUUACUUAGUUAACUUAUAUCUUAUUUAUGUUCUUAUCUUGUUUAUUUAUGUUUCUCUUUUUCAUUAUAUUUGGCUAAGUUUAUUAUGUCAAGGUGAAAAGGUUACACUAAUGGUUUAAGAAUAAGUAUAGUGUAAACUCGACGUGGACUUUAAUGUUUAAUACUAACAUGUUUUAUAUUUGUUAUCUUGUUCACUUUUAAUACUUUUCUUAUUAAAUAGUUAAUCUAGAUUUAUGUUGUAUAACACUUGGUACAACAAAUACUUUGCACUUUCAUAGCCCAAACCGUAUGGUAUAACCGACACUUGUGUUAUGAAAGGAACUUGAUUUGUUGUUAACAUAAGUUAUAAUCAUGAAUGUCUAACAACAUUUACAAGUAUUAGCAUUAUUCGAAUGAGAUAACUAAUGUAAUCAUGUUAAUAAUUUAUAAUCUGAUUGAAACCUUCUUUGUGUGUGGUUUCCAGUUGAAUAAUAAGAGUUUAUACUAUACUUGUUUGAAAUACCAUUAGUGGAUCCUCUAACCUUGACAAUUGUUUUUAUCAUUGUUUAAUCCUUAUAUCAAUAUCACAUCUCAAAACUCUCUUUAUUAUUAUUAUUAUUACUACUACUACUACUACUACUACUACUACUACUACUACUACUACUACUACUAUUACUAUUCUUAUUGUUGUUGUUGUUGUUGUUAUUGUAUUAUUGUUAUUUAUAAUUUAUAUAGUUAACCUCCUUUUGGUUCGACCCCGGUCUUGCCGGGUUAUUUAUUACUUCGACACUCCUGCACUUGGGAGAAGACAUCAAUCUUUUGGUUGUGUCAAUCAUCUACUGAAGCAGAGUACCGAGCCAUGUCUGCUGCUUGCUAUGAGAUCAUUUGGUUGCGUGGUCUCCUCACAGAACUCAGUUUCUGUCCAGUUCAUCCUACUCCACUUCAUGCUAACAACACUAGUAUCAUCCAAAUUGCAGUCAAUCCUGUCUAUCACGAACGCACCAAGCACAUUGAGGUUGACUGUAACUCAAUCAGGGAAGCAUAUGAUCAUCAGAUUAUCACCCUUCCACAUAUCUCCACCACUCUACAGAUCGCAGAUAUCUUCACCAAAUCCAUGCCCCGUCAGCGCCAUCAUUUCCUUACUGGCAAAUUGAUGCUUGUCGAUUAACCAACAUCAAUUUAAGGGGGGAUGUCAAAGGAAAUACCUAUACCUACACAUUUAAUGCCAGCAGAUUCUUUGCCUAUUUAUUCUUUCCUUUAUUGGGAUAUACUAGCUGUAGGUUAGCUUAGCUAAUUCUUUCCUUUUAGGUUGUUGUCCACAAGCUCUUGUUGCCUAACUUAGCUGUUUCUAAGGGCUGAAGAUCAGCCUAUCUUAUUUCCUGUAUCAACCUAUAUUAUUUCCUGUUGUAUUCUUUCCUUUCUUAGCUUGUAAAUUCUACCUAUAUAAUGGGCAAUUCUCAAUGAGAAGACACAUAAUUUUAUUCAAAAGACUCUAAACUGUCAUUAGAAAACACCAACACCAUAGCAAUUAUAAGGCAAACCAAACACCAACCAGCUUACCUUAGGUAAGGCAUACUAGGGGUGCUAAUACAUUUCCUUUACGCAACUAGUCCCUUGCCUUAGAAUCUCUGAAAGACCAGUUAGGUUUCCUAAUGACCAUAAUACUAGGUGGCGACUCCCUUAUUCACAAAACAAAAAAACUCGACAUGAAUCCCCGCUUUCAGGGAGGGUCGCCGCGACUCCGCGCUCUGCGCGAGGGUGCGACACAUAGUAUGGUCAAAAUGAAAAUAAAUAGAUUAAAUAUUGAAGGAGGAAUAUAUGAAUUAAUUGUAAAAAUGUGAUUAAUAUGAUACUUAGUCAGUCAUUUGGAUGGGGACUAAGGUUAUAAAUAUGAUAUUUAGUCAGCUAAAAGAGAGAAAGGUUAUGAAUAUGAUACUUUAUCAACCAUAUAGACGAGACUAAGGUGAUGAAUGUGAUAUUUAGUCAGCUAUGUGGAUGGGACUGAGGUGAGGGAAAUGAUACCUAGUCAGUCGUGUGGACAGUGAUUAAGAAUAUGGAUAUGUUACACAAUCAACCAUUUGAACGGAGGCUAUUGAUAUAAACAUGAGAAUUAAUAGGUUAUUUAGAUUGAGACUCACAAAAUUAAAUUAAAGUUGGCUAUUUGGAUAGUGACUUGUGGAUAUGAAUUAAAGUUGGCAAUUUGAAUGGAAACGAACUAGUACUAGGUAAUAAUUGUAGUUAAGGAAAAUGCGUAAGCACUAAAUAUAAUCAAAUACUUCUUAAUUAUUUUUUAUGUUAUUAUGAUAUUUAAAUUGGUAGUAUGUAUAUCAUUUCAAAUGGCUUUUCAUUUGGUAGUGAGUAAAUGUUUUUAUAUGCCAAGAACUUAUGGUUAUUGAUUUUGAAAUGUUUACGUUAGAUUUUCUCAUAUAUUUCAUGGACAUAUUGUAUAAUUAAUAGGGAGAAUGUAUUGUGAUCCAUAGGGGGAGCAAUCAUUCAUAAUUUUUGGUGACAUGUUAAUACUUGUGAAAGUAUUAAUAGUUUGUCAUCAUCAAAAAAGAAAAAAAAUACUAGCAGAAAGCUAUCAUUUGCUCAUAGUUUUGAUGAAUCAAACCAAUAAGAAGUUACUAAUCAUUUUCUUAAAGUUGUGUUGAUAUAGGUUCUUUACUAUGUCUGACAUUUCAAGGAUUAUCGAUAAGUCUUGAAGUUGUGAUAAAAAUAUGAAACUAUAUUAAUGGUAUACUUUUCUUCAAAAUUAGUCUUAGGAUGUUAUAUGUUGUUCAAGUUUUUUUAAAAACUAAAUUCUUAAAACCAACUUUUUAUACCUAAAAUAUUAUCCUGAAAAAUUAGUCAUAAAAUUCCCUAAAAUACCUUAUAACCCUUAAAAAGUCUAAGACCUCUAAUACACCAGAUAACCAUACAAAACACAUCUCUAAAGCCUUUUGGAAUGCUACACUGUAAGCCAAAUAGUAUGUGGUUUACCAAUUAACUAAACUAGAUAUAAAAUUUCAAAGAUAACUACUAAACUAGAUAUCCUUACUAGAUAAACAUUUUUUAGACCACUCAUAUACUAGAUGAUUUUUUAGCAUAUAUGGUUGGCCAUUUAUUACUUGAAUGAGUUGAAAUUAUUCUCUGUCUCUUGUACUCAAGUGUGUAAAAGUCGUACCAAGCUUGUCCUUGCACUUAUGUUUGAAUAUGAAAAUACCUUAUCUCUCAUCUUCCAACUAGGAUAAGCAAGACAAGCAAUUUAAUUUCCAUCUCUAUGACACCACUCUAUUCUCUCUUGAAUAAUAUAGUUUUUACAUCAUUUAGCUUAAACCAUAUUAUAUACCAAUCUUUAAAAAUUCAAAGUUCUUGGCCUAUUCUUACAUAUUCUAAACAACUACAAGCUUGAUUUUCUCUAUAAAUGGGCCUCUUCUUAUAUAUUUUAAAGGUUGUUACAAUCAUUAAGCUUUUAUUCAUGUUUAUACAAAAUCAAUUCCUUUAAUUUCCAAGUGUACUCUUUAUUAUUCUCUUAUAUAUUGAUUGCUUCACCUACCUCACUUAAAAACAAUUAGAUUACACCUAUUAAAGACUUGAGAUUAUUUUCUAAUAUAAUCUAUUUUUUGUGUAUAUUUUAUUUCAUUUGUUUUUAGUAAAACUUCUUGUUAAAGUGUAUAUAGCACUAUAACCACUAAGAUUUUAGUUAUGACCUUUAUGUGCAAGCUUGUAUAGAUUUCGGUCUAUCUUCCUCAAAAAGGAAAUGUUGGGUUUAAUCUUGUUUCCAAUCUUAAAAGGUCAAUUGGUUCUUUGACAUAGAGUGUGAAGUAGACAGUUAGUUAUAAAAGAAAAUGGAGUAUGUGGUAAAAACAAAUCACUAUAAAAUUCAUUUGUUUCUCUCCUACCUAUCUCUUUAUUUAUUUUUUAUUUUUUAUUUUUUUGCACUUUUACUUGUGUUGUUAUGUGGAUUGUAUGCUUAAGCAAGCCAUUUUCAUGUGUAUGGAUGAUAGAAAUUGUUGUGGACAUGUGUUUGAUAUUAUUGUGUGGUUGAAAAGGUUGUCGUGGUUGUGAUCUUGUUCUUUGAGGUGGAUUUAAUUAUAAAAAAAAUACCUCGUCCAUCUCCAUCUCUUAAAUGCUUAGGGGUAUCAAAAGAAUUAUGAGAUCAAGAUUCAUGAUUAAGUUUGUUCUUAUUUUUUUAAAAAAGAAAUCUAAGAAAUGGAUCUUGAGAGGUUUUAAGGUAAAUACAUAUAUAUUUUAGAGUAAAAAAUGGAUUUAUAAAGAUGAUGGGAGAUAAUUUUGAUAUAUUUUUAAUUUAAAUGUUGUAAAAAAUAGAGUUUUAUAGGAAAAAUAAGUGGUGAUUAGUUAUUUUCAUAACUUAAAAGUCACUUGAAAAGAUAACAAACCAGGAAUCUUUUAAAUUAGAUAACUUGUCAUUUUUUAAACCAGACUCACUCUAUCUUUAGCAUUGUUUAAUGUAUUUUUUUAAUUAUUAUCUUUUUAUAAAAAUCAAGUUGGUACUCAUAUAAAUUUUAAAAAUUAAAUACAUAAUAAGAAUAUUAUUCCUUUUGACAUGAUUUUAGUGAAGCGAAUUUUAAUGAAGUGAUAUUGAAAAAGUUUGAGACAAAAUUUUCCAUUAAAAUUUUAAAUUUAUUUGUCGUUAACUAAUAUAAUAUAUUUUUACAUAUUAAUAUUAUUAUCAAUAUUUUUAAUUGAGAAUUUAUGGCGCCAUAUAACUUUAGGGGUUAAGAAGAUUUUCGAAUAAUUGAUAAAUAUUUUUUAUUUUGACGUGAUAAAACUAGAAUGAAAUUUCAAUCUUGAUUUUAGAAACAUUGGUUUAUGAUAAAAAAUUUCAUGUAAAAUUUAUGGAGGAAUAAUACUUUAGAAUUUCUCAGAAUUCAUAAAUCUUUAUGAAAGGAUUUUUUUAGUAAAAAUUAAAAAAUUUUACUUAAUUUAUAAAAAUCAUCUAAUUUUAUAAAACUUAAUCUUGGUAGAUUUGUAAUGCAUAAUAAGAGUUGAUUAAAAAUUAAAACAUAUUUUAGAAGCAGUCUCAUAGCAUCGCGCAGACAUGUUUGCAAGCUUUUUUUAUUUGAUUUGCUUCCACUAUCAUAAUCUUUAGAUUUACCGACGGAAUGUUUCGUCGGUAUUUACACUAUCAUUCUAUUGGUAAUUAAUUUACCAACGAAAUCACCGACGGAAACACUCCGUCGGUGAAUCUUGUGUCAGUAAUUUUUUGUCCGUCGGUAAGUCCGUUUGUAAUAAAAAAAUAUUAUUACUGAUGGAUUUACUGACAGAAAAAGCAAGCAAAAAGAAAAAUUACCCGCUUCAUUCCAUCGGUAUUUCCCUCGGCAAAAUACCGUAUGUAAUUCCGUCGGUAAUUAUUUAAAAAUAUUUAAAAAAAUCUAUUUUACAAAACUAUAAAAUAAUUAAAUUAAUAUAAAUCAACACUCUAUAACACUCAAAAUGCUUGGAAAAAAGAAGAAAAUCAACUCAAACAAAUUUGCAACAAAUAAAUUCAACUAAAAAAAUUCAUAUGAAAAAAAUUUAAAAAUCCUAUAAAUAAAUCAAUUAAAAAUUGAUCUCAUAUGAAAAUAAAAAUCCUACACCAACAUUCAUACAAUUAUUAAGAACAAAAACAAUUAAAAACAAAUAAAAAACAAAUAUAGUGAAAAAAACACGAAAAAAUUAGUUGUAAGUGAAGCUAAGAAGAGAAAAACAAAUUCAUAAAGUAUACUAAUUAAAAAAAAAUUAAGAAGAAAAAAGAAGAAAGGAAAAGAAGACAUACCUGAGCAUAGAGGAGAAGAGAAGGAGUUGAGGAGAGAAGAGAAGAAAAACAAAUGGAUAUUGAUGUUUUUUACAUAUGAGGGAGAAGAAGAAGAAGAAGAAGAAAGGAGACGGGUCUGUUGUGAAAUUAGGGAUUCUAGGUUUUUUAUUGGAGUGUUUUACCGAUGGAUAAUUAAAUAUUAAUAUUUUUAAUCAUUCCGUUAGUGAUUUCGUUUAUAAUAUAUAAUUUAAAAUUUUCAUUUAAUAAAAUUUUUUCAGAAACCGCUAAAUAUCACCGACGACUUUUCAAUCUGUUGGUGAUUCCGUCUGUAAUAUUUAAUUUAAAUUUUUAAUUUAAUCUUAAGUUUUUAGAAAACCGUCAAAUAACACCGAGGACUUUUCAAUCCGUCGGUGAUUUUAUCUAUAAAGAACAAUAAUUAACAGUGCAAUUGGGAAGUGAACAGUUCCAUCCGGAAAAUACCGACGGAAUUUUCAGUCGAUGAUUCCCUUUGUAAUUGACAUGGUGAAUAGUAUUCACAGUUCACCAACGGUUUUGCCGACAGAUUUUACCGACGGAAAUAUUUCCUGUUCCCUCGGUAUAUUUCGGUAAUUUUGUUGGUAAAAUCGUCAGGUCAUCAUUUUUUUUACUUUGUUUUAAUUAUUUUGUUUCUCACUGUAAUUCCCUCGGUAUAUACCAAGAGAAUAUUUUCAUCGGUAAAAUCUGUCGGUAUAUUUUCGAUGGAAAUAUUUUCUCGGUAUUUCCGUUUGUAUUCAUCAAUUUUUUGGUAAUGUUCCCUUUACUUUAAGAUUUAAGAUUCAAGAGUUUCGCAAUAUUUGUUUUUCUUUCGAUUCGUGGAUUUAUUAAAUUUACCAGCAAAUGUACAUAAGUUUCCUGAGUUUAUAUAUAUAUAUAUUAAAAAAAGAUAAAUCACCCUACCAAAUCAUAUCCUGAAUCUAUAGACUUAGAGACUUAGCUUAGUGUAUGCAUCUAAUCCUAUUGACAAAUUUCAGUGCUUAGUCAACAACGACCUUAAUCACUGCAAAUGGAGUUAGGAGAACUAAUUAAUAUUCACCGUAACCUUGAUCUCUGGCCAUGUUCUUCAUUUUCUUUUCAUCUUUUUGAUCCUUAUGUCGUGAAAUUUAUGGCAUUUCAGUCUGAGCUUGCGAGGAACCCUAAUUAGUCUCCAAAUUGUCAGAGUUACUCACAUAUUCCCACUUCGUAGAGCCCCAUUCAUCCUUAUCUAGUGCUUGAGCAAAAGUUGAAGCCCUCCUAGGAACUCGGGUUUUAUUUCCGUUGUAAAAGUAUUUUGUAAUUCUCUCUUCACUGCUUGAACCACUCUUACCACCUGGAGUGAGAUGGCCUCCAUCUGCUUCUUGAUGAGGCCGUGAAUUCCUGAACAAGCGAAUGAGAAAUAGCAGAAAACAAAUAGUAGAUAUCGCAGCAGAUACAAUGUAGAUUCCCUUGAAGCUGCGGAGGCUCAGGCUUUCGACAUUAUUAUUAGUUGCCGAAGUUGAACACUCAGGUGAGGGGGCAAACCACUUUUCUUCGAAAAAUGUUAUGUUUCCAUCCUCCGAUAGGCAUAGAAUCUCUCUAGAAAAAUCAGCAGCAAAAGGAGAGCCUUUUUGGAAUGCCUGCAGGUACAGCAAAUAUCAUAAUAUUUAGUAAUAAACAAACGUUCAAAGAAAUGGCUUCACCGUGUUUCAAGUCUUUAAAAAGGUUCCUGACAUCAUAAUGCAAAGAAAAUAGAAUUGCAGUGGAUAUUAAUACUUACAAAGCCGAGCCCUCCAAAUCUGUAUGUGGCUUUUGAGCCGCUGUAACUUUUACAAUGUUGAUUGAGGAAAAGUCUCUCAUAUGGGAGUUCAAGAAAAGCAGCAGCUAUGCUGUUCCUUUCAAAUUCAGUUGUGUAAUUAUUUUCACGGUUAAAGACCUUGAUUUUAUCGUGAUCAAAUCCAAGAACAUCCUGGAGGUACUGCUGGACGAAAGAAUCAUCAUCACAACCAACAUUCAACUUGUCCUUCUUUAGUUUCUCAAACUCUGAAAAAUUCGGUUUCAUUCGUUGCACGGUGAGCAUUGAAGUCAAACUGGCAGUGUAGCUUGAGGUUAAGAUAAAGACAACACAAAGCCACGCUACCACCACAACUCGAGUGAAGUUGCUAUAAAGUUUCUCCCCUGCAAAAUGUAACAAUGAGCUUCUAAGGUUACUGACAGAGAAUGUGCCGUCAAAGAGUCUUGGAUACAUAUGCCAUAUAUAACUUGUGAAACUGAAUACUUACUCUGAGCAAAGAAUAGAGAUGAAAAUGUGAACCAAAACGCGGUCCCGAACUGAUACUUCCGAGGUCCUCUAAAUUCUGGAUUCGUUUGGUGCUCGAGGAACCAAAUUAUAAGCAUUGUGUAGAUGAAUAUAGCACAACUCACCAUCCACAUCUCUAAGUUAAAAGGCUUCACGAAAAUCCAUGUUGUAUCUUCAGUCUCAAAUGGAACUAUCAUGGACAAUCCUGACUCUGCGUAAGGUUGAGUGAACUCUACGUAUUCUGUUCUUUCAGCUAAUAUGGUUAUAUCUCCAAUGGCAGCAUCAUAAGUCUUCCGAUUAACAAGUGGCACAAGAGUCAAACAAUGGCACUCAGCACAAAAAUAAUGUUGAAAAAACAGCUGAUAGAACGAGACAGGAGCAAAAUAAUGGCAAAAUCAUACAACUCCUCAAUGGGCCUCAAUGAACUAGUCAAAGUUUGUCUAGUUAAACUAUGAGAAAAGUCUGAAGUAUCUCAUAGAAAUGUAUGGUGGAGAAAUUUCAAUUUCUUAUCAGAAACAAUGCUAUAUGAAUUUAUUCUUGGUUUUGAGUUGCAGCCAAUUUCGACUCUGUGUCAUCUCUUCUAUUCGGAUAAGAAUUUAUAGUCGGCAAAUUAAUGAUAUUUAUAUAUUCUAUCUAUAAUAUAUAAUAAUAAAUCAGAAACAAUUCCAAUUAAAAUAUUAGAAUAACAUAUGGAUUUCUGAUUAGAAUAGGCUCAUAUUACUUAAAUGUGUGUGAAUACAUGUGGAUAUGUAGUUUAUGAACACCCUUUUCUUAAUAUUAUCACCAUAAUUAAAUCUUAUCAAUAAUUAUUUUUUUUUUAAUCUUUAACAGCGUCUAUUGGCAAUAGCGUGGCAUUGACUAGUUAUUCUAGAAGGCUAUCUUGAUAUGCAUGCGUUCAUACUGAAAAUUAGAGAAGAUCACAUUUGGAUGUUUUGGCAAUUGGGUUUUUUUUGUAGAAGAUUGUGGAAUCAAUAUUUAUGGAUAUUAUUUAUAAAAAUCUAACUAAACCUAAAAGAUAAAAUUUAAAAAUAUAAUUUAUAUUAUUCUUUAACAUACCCCUAAAAUAAAAGUUAUUUGAAUUUAAAACUUAUACAUAUUUACAUUAACUUGUACUUAAUUUUUAUUAAAUAAAUAGGAAUUGUGACAUUCAAACUCGUGAUUAUGAAGUCAUCAAAAUUUUAAUACCAUAUUAAAAUAUCAAUUUAAUUUAAAAUUUUAAAAUAAUAUUUCAAAAUAUAAUUUAUAUUAUUCUUUAAUAAAUAUCUAUUAUCAAAGUUAAAAUUCAAUUCUUUAAUAAAUAUCUACCAGCAAAGUUAAAGAGUCGUUACCUUGUUGUAGACACCUUCAAUCAUAUCGCCGUACUGCCCAUCAAAGUGGACGAAUACGUGUGGUAUGGAGUAAUUCAAUCGUCUCACAACUUCGUCAAAGAGGUCAACGCAAAAACCUACUGGCCGCUUCUCGCCACUUCGAAAUGUCACAAACUUAUCGAACGAGGUUCUUUGAGGGACUAUUAUUCGCAAUGGCUUUGCUUCAGUAGGCAUUGCCCAUCCUUUUGGGUCUCGGCCGUUGAGAUCACCAGGCCAAAUCACUGGACCGGACAACCCUCCUGUGGUUUUACCACCAUCACUGUUUCUGCACCUUCCUUUGCCUUGUUCCACGUAGAGGGUAUCCGAGAAACCGCAAUUUGGCAACCAAAAAUCCAGUUCCUUACAUUUCUUCCCAUCCACAUUAACAAUCCUUAAUGUAGGAGCAUCUGACAGCAUCCCAUCCUUGAAACGUAUUCUACCACUCAAACCAGUGAAAUCGCUUUCUAAUACGCUGUUUAGAAACAUUUUUGGACUCCUAAUGUUGCUACCUAGUUUUUCUAUGGCCUGUGUGAUAAUACCAAUGCUGUCAUAGGCUCUUAAUGCUUGAAUUCCUGGCUGAAAAUCAUUUUCAUUUAGAUACUCUGACCGAAAAAUUUUCUGGAACAGUGCUUCGAAUCUUUUGUAAGAACUGUUGGAAGAAUAGUAGGUUUUGAUUCCUAGAGUGCCUUCCAUAGAAGAAAAAACAGGAUUGUCCACAGAAUCCAAGAAACUAGUAAUACUGUUUGCAACUAUCCAGACCGUGUCAUUGCCUACAAGCCCCGCUUUCUUAGCUUCUCCGAAAAUACAAGUGAGCAUAGGCAAAGAUGACUGAAGAACAAUAAAAACACGAGCUUCUGUUUGAUUUUGUAGCUUCAUAAGCUCAUCUUGAACAACAUCUUUUGGAUCUGUUAAAAAUGAAAACGGUGGAAGAACCAAGCGGUAUUCAAUCUCCGAACCAACCUCUUGUAGAGCCUCGGUUAAAAGAGCUAAAUUGCCAGAUUCACUUCCUAACACGUCAUCUUCAUAAAUCACGACUACCCUUUUCCAAUUAUAAGAAUGGACAAGAGCUGCAAUGCAUCUCAUCUGUUCUGACCCAUCACUGGCCAUUCUAAUUAGAAAAGGCCAACGAAGUGAAGUUGAUAUCGGGGUUCUGGCUGGUGCUGCAAAUGAAAGAAUUGGAACUUGAGACUGGUUUCCAAUAUUAGCAACCAGGGCUGCUUCCUCCCAUUUGUCCAUGCCAAUAAUCACUUCCACUUUCUUCUCUUUGAUCAGCUCUUCAGCUGCAAGAAAAAUUGACCAGUCACUACUGCUUCAAAUCUUGUUAAUGUUAAGCUAGAAACUCAAAAUCAUUUAGAGAUGGCUAGAUUAUUACCUGCAUAUGCUGCUUGAAGAGGGUCUCCUUUAGGAUGCUUGAAGUGAAGAGAGAGCUUGUGGUUUCUUGAGAUGUUGUUGAAGUUUUGGACUGCAAUUUCCAUUGCUGUUUUCUCUUCUUUCCCUGAACGGGAAUUGCCAUCAAUGAUAGCACCAAUAUUAGUAACCUUGUUAGUGCCGGCCGCAGCUUCAACUCCAUCAGAGAGGAUGAGAAGGAAGGUGAUGAGCACAGAUAAAAGAAAGAAAGGUUUUAGAACUUUAUUAACAGGAAUAAGAGGGCAAGUCCUUAGUUGGGAAUUUACUUUGGUGAACAAAUUAGCCCUUUUCAUUCUGUUAUACGAAGUUUUGAUUUUGAAAGUCUUAGAAUCCUUAUAAUACAUGGAUAUAUAUAUACACACACAUAUUCACCAAAGAUUUAUCUGUAGAAGGGGAAGACCAGAUAGAAUCUGAAAUUGCUAAGAAAACUGGUAUAAUUGAAGAUUAUGUCUGACCUGGUCAGCCUGGACCACAUCAAACUUUGACUUUAAUACGCACCCUAAGUAUUUCUAUAUUCUACACCUUGACUUGCAUAAAAGGAAACUACAUGUACUAAUUAAUAAUUGCCUACAAGAGUCAAAUUUCUUGUUUUCAUCACACCUCUCUCACAUUUGCGGGGUCCUACAAGAGUCAAAUUUCUUGUUUUCAUCACACCUCUCUCACAUUUGCGGGGUCGUUUCGAUUUAGUGAUGCAAUUGCAUGUUUUAACGAAGUGUGUGAUAUUAAACAAUUGUAGUUUAUUCAAUCUAAUCAAAAUGAAUUGAGUUUCGAGCUCUCUGGUUGCUCAUAUGAUGGUCACUGAAAACUUACAUGGUCGUUAACUUCAGGGCCCAUGAGAUUAGUCGAGGUGCGCGCAAGCUGACCCGGACACCCACGUUAAACUAAAAAAAAAAAAUGAACGGCAAAAUCAACUAAACCACCGGACUAAAUCUCUUGUUAAAAAAAUAUAAUAUUAUUUUAUUUUAUUAUUUAUUAAGAAUUCAAUAGUAUUUUCAGUUUUUUUGUUUAGUUUAUAUAUAAUUUUUUUAUAUUUAAAUUAUAUAAAUUCUUUACGAGUAUUUAUACAGUAUGAAUGAAAUUAUACUUCUCUUUAAUUUUUUUGGGAUUGCUUAACAAAUCUAAGAUGAGCUGAAACUAAUAAGUAGCAUAUUAUUAGAAAUUGUUGUUUAUUAUCAGAAUGAAUCCAUUUUUUACCGACAAUGGCAUGGCAUAAUUAAUUAUAGGUCUGUUGAAUUUUGUAGAUAACUUUCCAAACAAAUAACUGUUGAAUUUUAUCCAUUUUCUCUUUAUAGCUUUGAGUAUAAUACUUAAAAUUACAAAUCUAUUUAUAAAUCUCAAGUUCUAACUAAUUAAAAAAUUAAACUAUUCAAAAACUAUUCAAAGAAAAUCCGAAUCUAAUAAAGAAUCUAACAUUCUAUUUAAACAAGAAUUCAUAAAGGAUUCACAAAUCCUUCUUAUAAUAAACUAGUUUAUUAUAAAUCCUUCUUCAUAAAGGAUUCCUAUAUUAACUAGGAUUCCUUCUCUAACUAAUAUUAAAACUCUUAUAAACUCUAAAUCCUAUUAGCCUAAAUCCUAGUUGAUAUUGAAUUUCAACACUCCCUCUCAAUAUCAAUUGUCAUCAUUCUUCAUAACUCUCAACAUAUCUCUCAUCUUUGCAAAAAUAUCAUAUUUGAGUGGCUUUGUGAAAAUAUCUAUAACUUGGUCUUGAGUCUUUACAUACUUAACUUCAAAUUUCUUAUUUGCAAUGCAAACUCUUAGAUAAUGAAAUCUUAUGUCAAUGUGCUUACUUUUGUCAUGAAAAACUGGAUUUUAGCUAAUGCAAUGGCUGACGAGUUGUCCACAUAAAUCUUUGUAUGCUUCUCUUAUGGCAUUCACAACUCCUUCAAUAAUCUUUUUAGCCAUAUGGAAUGACAAACACAUGUUGUAGUAGCUACUAAUUCAGCUUCACAAGUAGAUAAUGUGACAAUAGAUUGCUUCUUUGAACUCCAUGUGAAAGUUGUGUCUCCCAUGUAGAAAACAAAACCUAUAGUGCUCUUUCUAUCUUCAUAUCUCCAGCCCAAUCACUAUCACUAUAACUCACAAGAUCAAAGCUAUUAGAAUAACCAUAGAAUAAGCCAAAAUCUAUGGUACCUUUGAUGUAUCGUAAAAUUCGCUUCAAGGCUUUGAAGUGAGUCAUAGUUGGUGUCUCCAUAAACCUAGUUACAAGUCCUACUCCAUAAAGAAUAUUCGGACGAGUGCAUGUCAUAUAUCUCAAACUCCCAACUAAACUCUUGAAUGUUGUAGAGUUUAUUUUCUCCCCUUCAUCAUUCUUUAACAUCUUCACUCCACACUCACUGGAGUAUUCACUUUUGUACAAUCUUCUAUUUUGAAUUUCUUGAGAAUCUCCCUUGUAAACUUCUCUUGAUUCACAAAAAUUCCAUCUUUUCGUUGUUUGAUCGUAAUCCCUAAGUAGUAGGAUAUAAUACCAAUAUAUGUCAUCUCAAGCUCCUUGAUCAUUGCUUGCUUGAAGUCUAUAAACAUCUUUGGAUUAUUUCUUGUGAAGAUUAAGUCAUCCACAUCCAAACAUACAAUAAGUGUAUCACCACUCUCUUUGAUCUUUACAUAGAUAACAUAUUUAUGGGGGCAUUUAACAAAUCCAUUCUUUAGGAGAUAGCCAUCAAUGUGACAAUACCAAGCCUAUAGGGCUUGCUUCAAUCCAUACAAGCUUUUAUUUAACUUUAAAACCUUGUCUUCAUAUCCCUUUACUUCAUAACCCAUAGGUUGCUCAAUGUGGAUUUAUUCUUCAAGAAAACCAUUAAGAAAAGUUGAUUUGACAUCCCUUUGAUGAUUCUUCAUCUAUGUUGGGCAGCGAUGGCAAUAAUUAAUCGAAUGGUCUCCAAUCUAGCAAUAUGAACAAAAACCUCUUCGUAGUCAAUCUCAUGCUUUUGACUAUAGCCUUUUGGCACUAAUCGUGCCUUACAUCUCUCAACCUCUCGUUUGGCAUUCUUCUUUUCUUUGUAGAUCCAUUUGACACCUAUUAACUUCUUUUCAUUUAGUCUAGAAACCAAUCUACAUGUGUCAUUUUUCUCAAUUUAUACAAUCUCCUCAUCUAUAGCAAUUCUCCAUUUUACAUUUUUUAUUGCUUCUUCAAACACUGUAGUAUCACAUGUAGUAAGAUGACAAUAUAGUGUUAUAUCAUUAAUAAGAUUAGUUACCUCAUAUAAGUCAUCAAGGCUUUUCAUCUUUCUUGGCAGAUUUAGUGGAGUGCCACUACUUGAGCUUUCAUUAGAAGAAGAAGAAGUUAAGCUCAUUGGUGUUUAUGGAGGUAUGACUAUAGGUUCUUGAUGAUCUUCAUAUCUUUCCUCAUCUUCAUCAAGAAUUAGUAAGAAUUCAUAUUUCCCACCAUCAUUUACCUUCCAAUCCCAUGUUUCUUCUUCAUUGAACUCAACAUCUCUAUUAAUCAUCAUCUUUCCUUCAUUACGGUUAUAAAACUUGUAUCCUUUAGAAUUUUGGUCAUAGCCUACAAAGAUCAUCCUUUUGCUUUUGUCAUCGAGCUUGGUUAUUACUUGAUCAUCUACAUGCACAUAACCAAUGCUCUAAAAAACUUUCAAAUGAGAGACACUUGGUUUUCUUCUACUCCAUGCUUCUUUUGGAGUCAUGUCAUUCAAGCUUUUAAUAUGACAUCUAUUUGACAAGUAAAUAACACAAUCUACAGCUUCAACCCAAAACUCUUUAGGCAUUUUCUUGGUUUUGAGCAUGUUUCUUGCCAUGUUGAGGAUGCUUCUAUUCUUUCUCACCACUAUAUCAUUUUAUUGUGUGGAUCUAGGCACCGUUAGGAGUUUUUUUUUAUACCAUUAUAUUCACAAAACUCAUUAAAAUUACUAGAACAAAAUUCACCCCCUAUCGUCUUAAGUGAUUUUAUAGAAUAAUCACUCUUCUUUUCAACUAAUAUCUUAAACUUCUUAAAAUAACUAAACACAUUAGACUUUUCUUUUAAGAAGUAUACUCAAGUCUUUCUACUAUAAUCAUCAAUAAAAAGUAGAAAAUAUAAAUUUCUACUAAACAAGCAUGGUUUGAUAUGAUCACAAACAUAGAUAUAUAUUUCUUGUAGGGGUUGAUUUGCUCUUGAUGUAGACUCUUUAAAAAAACUCUUGUGAAAUUGCUUGCCCACUAAACAUCCUUCACACAACUUAUUUGGAUGUAUAAUGGAUGGUAGACCCUUUAACAUCUCCUUUUAUGUCAUUAUCUUCAAGCUCUCAAAGUUUAUAUACCCAAGUCUCAUAUAUCAAAGUCAAGUUUCAUCUUUCACACAUGUGUUUAGACAUUUAGGCACAUUCAUCUCUAUGUUUAAGAAGAACAUUUUAUUCUUUUUCAUGGCUACCUUUACAAUCAUAUCUUCUUUAAUGUCAAGUAAUGUCAAAGUACGAUAUUUCAUCUUAAUCUCAUACCCUUUUUCCAACAAUUAUCCUAAGCUCAAUAUGUUGUUUUUCAUUAUUGGUAUAUAAUAGACAUCACCAAUAAAUUGAUAACUUUCAUCUUUCAAUUUAAUUAAAAUCGUACAUUUUCCUUUGAUGACAACCUUUGAAUGAUUUGCAAAGGUGACAUUACCUCUAAUUGCUUCAUCAAGCUUCAUGAACUUGUCUUUAUCUCCACACAUGUGAUUACUGGCUUCAUUGUCUAGAUACCACAUGUUCUCUUUAUCUUACAUUCUCUCAUUAUGCACUAGUAGUAGAGUGGCUUCCUUCUUUUCUUCUACCACAAGAUUUACAAUCUUCUUAACCUUCUUAGUUGGACUCCAGCAAUCCCUAGCAUAAUGACUUGUCUUUUAAAAAUUAUAGCAUCAAACUUUUGAUUUGUCAAAUCUGCUGUAAAAUCUAGAUCUCGUAUUGCUACUGCCAGUUAAACCAGUUGAUCAGAUCCCUUCAUUCGAUCGACUGUUUGAUCUGUUGAGGUUGCCUCAACCUCAUUUCCAAAUCUUCCUCUUCCUCUUUCUUAUUGGGAAUAUCCAAAACCAUCUUGCUUUGAAAAAAGUGCUUGUGCACCCAUAUCCUUUUGAAUCUCAUUGACUUUUUCCUCAUGGGCUUGUAAUUUUGCUAUGAGACCUUAUAUUAAAAGAAAACCAUAUUUUGUGACUCCUCUAUAGCGACCACUAUAUAAUGGAACUUCUUUUGCAGCAAGCAUAGGAUUUUCUCUAUCAUACGUGUCUCUUCCAUCUUCUCCUCAUAUCUCUUUAUUUGAUUGUAUAUAGCCAAUACUCUUGCAAAGUAUUCUGAAAUAUUCUCUGAUUUAAGCAUAUGUAAAUUUUCAAAGUCACCACGUAGUUUUUGUAGACGUACAUAUCUCACAUUGUUAGCUUUUUGGUUUGAUUCUUGUAAAACUUCAUAUGUUUGCUUAGCGGUGGUUGCAUUGGCCAUUAUCUCAAAUGUGGUGUCAUCUAGACAUUAGUGGAUGAUUGUUAAUGCAAGUUGAUCCUUCCUUCAUACCUUUUGCACGACCUUUCUUUGGACUGAAGUCAAUAUUGCUUUAUUUAUAGGCUCCUUAAAGCCUUUUUCAACCGUUUCCCACACAUCUUGGGAACCUAAUCAAGAUUUUACUCGAAUACACCAAGUUUGAUAGUUGUUCUUCGUCAACCUAUAACAUUAAAGUGGAAGGUUUGAAUUGACCAUGUUAAAUAAUCAAACCUAAGCUCUGAUACCACUUGUUGGAAAAGAAUAAUAGGGUGUGGUAGCUAAUUUAUAAGAACAAAGCUAACGAACAAGAAGAAGAAUGUGAGGAAUGAUAUUUUAUUAAGAGUUUUCUCAAAAGAUCACCUUUAUAGCUCUUUUCUAUCAUAAGAAUUAUGUUGAUGAUGCAAGAUGAAUAUACGUGUGAUUUAUAUUUAAUUGUAAUGGUGGUGAUCAUAAUAUAGAUAUGAAUGACUAUAAUGAUAGUAGUCCAUAUAUAUAAAUUAAAAUUGACCAUAACGAUGAAAGCUAAAAAAGAAAAAAGUAUAUAAAUCAGUGGCAACAACAAAUUAUUCUAUUAUUUGUUAAAUGUGUUUGGAAUAAAAAGAAUUGAGUUACGUGAUUGGAACGGAAAGAUGCAUAGUAUGGUCAAAAUAAAAAUAAAUAGAUUAAAUAUUGAAGGAGGAAUAUAUGAAUUAAUUGUGAAAACAUGAUUAAUAUGAUAAUUAGUUAGUCGUGUGGAUGGUGACUAAGGUUAUGGAUAUGAUAUUUAAUCGGUUAGAGGAGACUAAGGUUAUGAAUAUGAUACUUUUUCAGCCAUGUAGACGACACUAAGGUUAUGAAUAUGAUACCUAGUCAACUAUGUGGAUGAGACUAAGGUGAGGGAAAUGAUACCUAGUCAGUCGUGUGGAAGGUGAAUAAGAAUACAGAUAUGUUACAUAAUCAGCCAUUUGGACGGAGGCUAUUGAUAUAAAUAUGAGAAUUAGUGGGUUAUUUAGAUUGAGACUUACGAAAUUAAAUUAAAGUUCGCUAUUUGAACCGAAAUGAACUAGUAUUGGGUAAUAAUUAUGGUUAAGGAAAAUACGUAAGCACUGAAUAUAAUCAAAUACUUCUUAAUUAUUUUUCAUGUUAUUAUGAUAUUUAAAUUUGUAGCAUGAAUAUCAUUUCAAAUGGCUUUUCAUUUGGUAGUGAGUGAAUGUUUUUAUAUGCCAAGAACUUAUGAUUAUUGAUUUUGAAAUGUUUAUGUUAGAUUUUCUCAUGUAUUUCAUGGACAUAUUUGUAUAAUUGAUAGGGAGAAUGUAUUAUGAUCUAUAGGGGGGCAAUCAUUCAUAAAUUUUGUUGACAUGUUAAUACUUUUGAAAGUAUUUAAUAGUUUGUCAUCAUAAAAAAAAAAUAUUAGCAAAAAGCUAUCAUUUGCUCAUAGUUUUGAUGAAUCAAACCAAUAAGAAGUUAAUAAUCAUUUUCUUAAGGUUGUGUUGAUAUUGGUUCUUUACUAUGUCUGACAUUUCAAGGAUUAUUGACAAGUCUUGAAGUUGUGAUAAAAAUAUGGAACUAUAUUAAUGGUAUACUUUUCUUCAAAAUUAGUCUUAGGAUGUUGUUAUAUGUGAUUCAAGUCUUUUUAAAAACUAUAUUCUUAAAACCAACUUUUUAUACCUAAAAUAUUAUUAAGAAAAAUUAGUCAUAAAAUUCUCUAAAACACCUUAUGACCCUUAAAAAGUCUAAGGCCUCUACUACACUAGAUAACCAUACAAAACACAUCUCUAAAGCUUUUUGGAAUGCUACACAGUAAGCCAAAUAGUAUAUGGUAUACCAAUUAACUAAACUAAAUAUAAAAUUUCAAAGACAACUACUAAACUAGACAUCUUUACUGGAUAAACAUUUUUUAGACCACUCGUAUACUAGAUGAUUUUUUAGCAUAUGUGGUUGGCCACUUAUUACUUGAAUGAGUUGAAGUUAUUCUCAAUUUCUUGUACUCAAGUGUGUGAGAGUCGUACCAAGCUUGUCCUUACAUUUAUGUUUGAAUUUGAAAAUACUUCAUCUCUCGUCUUCCAACUUGGAUAAGCAAAACAAGCAAUUUAAUUCUCAUUUCUAUGACACCACUCUUUUCUCUCUUGAAUAAUAUAGUUUUUACAUCAUUUAGCUGAAACCAUAUUGUAUACCAAUCUUUAAAAAUUCAAAUUUCUUUGCCUAUUCUUAUAUAUUCUAAACAACUACAACCUUAAUUUUUUCUAUAAAUUGGCCUCUUCUUGUACAUUUUAAAGGUUGUUACAAUCAUUAAGCUUUUAUUCCUGUUUUUACAAAAUCAAUUCCUUUAAUUUCCAAGCUUACUCUUUAUUAUUCUCUUACUUAUUGAUUGUUUCACUUAGCUCACUUAAAAAAGAGUUAGAUUACACAUAUUAAAGACUUGAGAUUAUUUUCUAAUAUAAUCUAUUUUUUUGUGUAUAUUUGAUUUCAUUCAUUUUUAGUAAAACUUCUUGUUAAAGUGUAUAUGGCACUAUAACCACUUGGAUUUCAGUUAUGACCUUUUAUGUGUGAGCUUGUAUAGGUUUCGGUUUAUCUCCGUAAAAAAGGCAAUGUUGAGUUUGAUCUUGUUGUUAAAAGGUCGUUUGGUUCUUUAACAUAGAGUGUGGAGUAGGCGAUUAGUUAUAAAAGAAAAUGGAAUAUGUGGUUAGAACAAAUCACUAUAAAAUUUAUUUGUAUCUCUCUUACCUAUCUCUUUAUUUAUUUUUUAUUUUUCAUCUUUUUUUGCACUAUUACUUGUGUUGUUAUGUGGAUUAUAUGUUUAAACACGCCAUUUUCGUGUGUGUGGGUGACAGAAAUUGUUGUGGUCAUGUGCUUGAUAUUAUUGUGUGGUUGAAAAGGCUGUCGUGGUUGUGAUCUUGUUCCUUGAGGUAAUUUGGUCUAAAACCAAAUUAUUGGAUAUAGUUAAAAAAUACCUCAUCCAUUUCCCUUUCUUAGAUGCUAGGGGUAUCAAAAGAAUUAUGAGAUCAAGAUUCAUGAUUAAGUUUGUUCUCAAUUUUUUUAAAUGAAAUCUAAGAUCAAUAAUAAUUUUGGAAAAGUUUAAUUGGAUCUUGAAAGAUUUUAAGGUAAAUAUACAUAUAUUUUAGAGUAAAAAAUGGAUUUAUAAAGAUGAUGGGAGAUAAGUUUGAUAUAUUUUUAAUUUAAAUGGUGUAAAAAAUAGAGUUUUAGAGGGAAAAUAGGUAGUGAGUAGUUAUUUUUAUAAUCCAAAAGUCAUUUGAAAAUAUAAAACAAACCACAAGUCUUUUAAAUUAGAUACCUUGUUAUUUUUUAAACUACGAGUCUUUUAAAAUUUUAAAUUUAUUUGUCACUAACUAAUAUAAUUAAUAUAUUUUUACAUAUUAAUAUUAUUAUCAAUAUUUUUAAUUGAGAAUUUAUGGAGCCAUAUAACUUUAGAGGUUAAGAAGAUUUUUGAAUAAUAAUGAUAAAUAUUUUUUAUUUUGACUUUUUAUUUUGACGUGAUAAAAUUAUAAUUAAAUUUCGGUCUUGAUUUUAGAAACAUUGGUUUAUGAUAAAACUUUUCAUCUAAAAUUAAUGGAGGAAUAAUACUUUAGAAUUUCUCACAGAUUCAUAAAUCUUUAUGAAAGGAUUUUUUUAGUAAAAAAUAAUAUUUUUUUUACUUAAUUAAUAAAAAAAUCAUCUAAUUUUAUUGAACUUAAUCUUGGUAGUCCCGCGCAAACAUGUUUGCUAGUUUUUUCUAUAAGAUUUACUUCCCUUUACUUUAAGAUUCAAGAGUUUUGCAAUAUAUUUUUUGCUUUCAAUCCGUGGAUUUAUUAAAUUUACCAGCAAAUGUACAUAAAUAAUACCCAUGAGUUUCCUGUGUUUAUAUAUAUAAAAAAGGAGAUAAAUCACCCUCCCAAAUCAUAUCCUGAAUCUAUAGACUUUGCUUAGUGUAUACAUCUAAUCCUAUUGACAAUUUUCGGUGCUUAGUCAACAACGACUUUAAUCACUGCAAAUGGAGUUCGGAGAACAAAUUAAUAUUCACAGUAACCUUGAUCUCUGGCCAAGUUCUUCAUUUUCUUUUCAUCUUUUUGAUCCUUAUGUCGUGGAAUUUAUGGCAUUUCAAUCUCAGCUUGCGAGGAACCCUAAUUAUUCUCCAAAUUGUCAGAGUUACUCACAUAUUCCCACUUCGUAGAGCCCCAUUCAUCCUUAUGUAGUGCUUGAGCAAAAGUUGAAACCCUCCUAAGAACUCUGGUUUUUUCUCCGUUAUAAAAGCAUUUUGUAAUUCUAUCUCCACUGCUUGAACCACUCUUACCACCUGGAGUGAGAUGGCCUCCAUCUGCUUCUUGAUGAGGCCGUGAACUCCUUAACAAGCGAAAGAGAAAUAGUAGAAAACAGAUAGUAGAUACCGCAGCAGAUACAAUGUAGAUUCCCUUGAAGCUGCGGACGCUCAAGCUUUCGAAAUUAUUAUUAGUUGCCGAAGUUGAACACUCAGGUGAGGGGGCAAACCACUUUUCUUCCAAACGUGUUAUGUUCCCAUCCUCCGAUAGGCAUAGAAUCUCUCUAGAAAAAUCAGCAGCAAAAGGAGAGCCUUUUUGGAACGCCUGAAGGUGCAGAAAAUAUCAUAAUAUUUAGUAAUAAACAAACGUUCAAAGAAAUGGCUACACCGUGUUUCAAGUCUUUAAAAAGGUUCCUGACAUCAUAAGGUAAAGAAAAUAGAAUUGCAUGAGUGCAUAUUAAUACUUACAAAGCCGAACCCUCCAAAUCUGUAUGCUGCUUUUGUGCUGGUGUAACUUUUACAAUGUUGAUUGAGGAAAAGUCUCUCAUAUGGGAGUUCAAGAAAAGCAGCAGCUAUGUUGUUCCUUUCAAAAUCAGUACUUGUGUAAUCAUUUUCAGGGUUAUAGAUCUUGAUUUUAUCGUGAUCAAAUCCAAGAACAUCCUUGACGUACUCCUGGAUGAAAGAUUCAUUAUUACAACCAACAUUUAACUUGUCGUUCUUUAGUUUCUCAAACUCUGAAAAAUUCGGUUUCAUUCGUUGCACGGUGAGCAUUGAAGUCAAACUGGCAGUGUAGCUUGAGGUUAAGAUAAAGACAACACAAAGCCACGCUACCACCACAACUCGAGUGAAGUUGCUAUAAAGUCUCUCCCCUGCAAAAUGUAACAGUGAGCUUCAGAUUAAGGUUACUGACAGAGAAUGUGCCAUCAAAGAGUCUUGGAUAUAUAUGCCACAUGUAACUUGUGAAACUGAAUACUUACUCUGAGCAAAGAAUAGAGAUGAAAAUGUGAACCAAAGCGCGGUCCCGAACUGAUACUUCCGAGGGCCUCUAAAUUCUGGAUUCGUUUGGUGCUCCAGGAACCAAAUUAUAAGCAUUGUGUAGAUGAACAUAGCACCGCUCACCAUCCACAUCUCUAAGUUAAAAGGCUUCAAAAAAAUCCAUGCUGUAUCUUCAGUCUCAAGUGGAACUAUCAUGGACAAUCCUGACUCUGCAUAAGGUUGAGUGAAUUCUACGUAUUCUGCUCUUUCAGCUAAUAUAUAUGGUUAUAUCUCCAAUGGCAGCAUCAUAAGUCUUCCGAUUAACAAGUGGCACAAAAGUCAAACAAUGGCACUCAGCACAAAAAUAAUUUUGAAAAAACAGCUGAUAGAA